CACACUUUAUGGAAUCUUUCCACUGUUGAGGACCCUCAUGUGCUCUGCUCGUACGACCUUAAAUACUACCCUUCAAAUGGGGAGUUUACCCAUAGGUUGAAUCUUGCUUGCUUUAAGUUCUUAUUCCUCUCCUCUUUCAAUACAGUUUUGAGUUAGGUCUUUAACCUCUUCUCUUUCUGUUAGCUCAUUUGAGCUUAGUUCUUGGAGACUAAGAAUCCAUUCUUCCAAUUAUGGCCAGGUUCAUUUGCACUUGCAUCUUUUUUUUUUAUUAAUGAUUGUUUCUUAUGAAGUUCUCCAUAUUGAAGGAAGGAACUUGGAGUUACAAAAGAAGUUGUGCGCAAAAUGCUUGAGGCCUGAUGAGGAAAGCAUUACUAUAAGAGAGGCCAGAGAAAUUGAGGCUAGCAACUCGCACCCUGACCAUAGUAGGCAAACUAUGGAUUGAGGGGACUUCUGAUUUUCUCUUCUCCAUACUACUCUUCAAAUGGGGAGUUUACUCAUAGGUUGAAGACCACAGUUGAAUAAGCGGUCUAGCUAGCUACCCUCUCUUCUCCCUUUCUUGCUCUCUUUCUCUGGUAUUAAUUGCCGAAUUUGCCAUCUCUCUUCUCCAUGGCAAACACUAGGUUCUUGGGUGCUUGUGCUGUUCUUCUUGUUUUUUUAUUAUGCCAUGAAUUUUCUUGUGUUGAAGGAAGGCAUUUGAGGUCUGCGUUGUGCAAAAAAUGCUCAAGGCAUUGCCAGACCACUCUGCGAGCGACCAAGGCGGGUGAGGCCCCAAGUGGCCUGCCACAAAUGCGCACAAGCAAGAUGGAACACAUUGAAGACUUUCGACCCACCUCACCAGAACACAGCCCUGGUGUCGGCCAUUCUAUUCAUAAUUGAACUUCCCAAAUCCAAGUCCUUGUAAUUAUAUUUGUUGCGUGGUCGCACCACGAAACAUGGCAUAGUCAUUGCUCAAGGCAGUGCUGUAUGAUUUGUUUUCCUUCAUUGAUGUAUAUAAAUGUUUGCUUGUGAUCAUGAAUUCUCCUCUCUGCAGCCUCUUUAUUUCUACAGUUUACGUGCCCUUCUCCAUAUCUAAAUACAAACAAAACAAGGAAAUCGAACAAAAUUAAACUGAAUAGGCCAAGUUUUCUCAGUGCCUUGCUAAGUUUUGAAUCAAUAAUAAAGGAUAAAUGUUCCUUGAAUGUAUGCAUCUCUGUGUCCUCGAAAUGCACCCAAAGAAUUGAAAAGAAAAAUGAAGUCAUGUUCCACUGGAUUGAAGGCUUUGCUUGGGGUUGGUGGGGAGGGAAUUGGAGAUAUGUAUAUAUGCACAGCCUUGUUGGAGACUCUGGGAAUCCUAUCCAAAAAAGUGGACAAAUGGAAAGAAGUUUGAGUUAGUACUUGAAUGCUGUAACGUGCAGAAUCAAAUCUUUCAGAUCAUAGUCUAACAUGGCCUGAUAUUGACACUGUCAACUUGUCUCUGCAGAGUCCCAAGUCACAACUGAAUCUUUUCCGUAUGCCCACAUUCAUAUAGAGGGAGAGAAUGUCUUUGUACCUCUAGGCGCCAUGCAUAUUCGCUUCACAUGCAAAGUUAUGGACGUGCUUUCUUCUUUUUGUUGGCUAUUUAGUUACCUACACAAUUGACUUUCACAUACAAAGUUACUAACAAGCAAAUAUGCAUGCAUGCAUUCCCUCGGGUGAACUUCAAACCUCUUGUUAACCUAAGCUUUGUAUUGCGUUAAACCAUUGAUUUGACCUAAAAAAAACACUCAAAAGCUUUAAUUGAUGGGAUCCUAAUAUUGGGCACGUACUAUACAAUAAUAUAUUAUCCCUGUGCAGUCGUGCUUGUAAAGCAUAGAAAAGUUAUUAAUGUUUCUUAGCCCCCUGUGUAUGUAUUGUGGGUGUAUUAAUUACCUAGUAGUUUAAACUUUAGGUCAAAAAUUGAUAAUUUAUCAUGGUAUCAGAUUUCUAGUUAACUAGAUAUCGAGAGCUUAGCCUCUUAGAUUAAAUUUGUGGCAUAAUAAUGCCCCCGACUAGCAGGACUCAUGAUUGAGGCAUCCAUGAAUGGGUCUUAGAGAUCGAGAGCUUAGCCUCUUAGACCCAUUUAUGGAUGCCUUGAGCAUGUUUUGCACAUUAACGCAGACCUCAAAUGCCUUCCUUCAACACAAGAAAAUUCAUUGCAUAAUAACAAAACAAGAACAGACCAAGCUGAAUUUACUAGUUCAUGGCAUAAUAACAAAACAUGAGGUUAUUUAUGGUCUAAUAGAAAUUUAAGAUUUUUCGUGAGAGUGAGGCACAGAAGGGGGGAGAUGACUGGUGAGAUAAAUAGAAAUUUAAGAUUUUUCCUUUAUUUAUUUUAUUUUUAACUCCAGCAUUGUUUUUAAUGUGCUGAAACUGUGGGUAACUUAUUUUGUGGGUCGAUAUGACUUCUUGAUUUAUUUUUGUGACGAUUCUUUCAUUUUUUUAUUUUUUAUUUUCUCUCUUAAAGCUUAUGGAGAAAAAUCCAUUUACAUUAAUAAACAUGAAUGUAAUUUUCAUAAUUUUUAAAAUAAUGAAAUUCAUAGGAUUAAUUCAUGCAAAAUCAAUUGAGCUUUGGUUGGGGCCGUAUGAGUUUUCUCGUCUUAUUAUUAAUUGUUAUGCUUAGUGAAUAUUGAUUAAUUUUUGUCUUAUUACGUAAUAUGCAUAUAAUUAUUUUAUAUUUGAACUAAUCUUGCUUUCAUGAUAACACAUUAUUAUUUGUUGCUAAGAUACACUCUCACUCUCACUCUCACUUUGUUUAUUUAUUCUUCAUGCAUGACUUGCAUCCAUUGUAUAAUUAUUCCUUGGUAUCCAUUAAUUUUCUUAUUAAUCAUCAUAUCUGCAUUAGCCUCAUUUAGUAUAAAAUCAUUUUUAAGGACUUAGAGGGUGAUACGAUUUGUUCCCAAUAGGUAAUCCAACCCUCGGACCAAAUUCGAUUUUCACAAAGUAUGUUUUCCUUUUAGGAGUCGUACUUAGGGUUUUUAUUUCUUAUUUUAUUUUUUAAGAAAAAAAUAAAAUAAAAAUAAAUAGCGACUUCAAAUUUUUUAUAAAAAUAAUUUUUUCAUAAAUAAAAAACAAAUGAAGCCAUCAAGUGGAACACAUCGUGAAAAAUACGGGUCCACAAAUAUAUUAUUAUAAUUCAUUUUUGUUAAAAAAAUAAAUUUUUUAUUUAAUGUGAUGUGUUAAAAAAUGGAAAAUAAAAAAAAUUCAAUUAUUUUUUAUUUAAUUAUAUAUAUAAUCAAAGUAAGAUGGUCAAAACAAUACUAUAACGACCCGCAUCUAACCAUGUAGAUAUUGUCCGCUAUAGGCCUAAGGGGGUCCUCACGAUUUUAAAACGCAUCUACUAAUGUGAUGUGUUAAAAAAUGGAAAAUAAAAAAAAUAAAUUCAAUUAUUUUUUAUUUAAUUAUAUAUAUAAUCAAAGUAAGUUGGUCAAAACAAUAUUGUAACGACUAGCACCUAACCAUAUAGAUAUUGUCCGCUUUGGGUCCGAGGAGGCCCUCACGGUUUUAAAACUAAGGCCAAACAAACCCUCACAUCGGGGUUGAGGAUCGGCUCCAAUACCAUUUGUAAUGGUCCGCUCCCAACCGUGUAGAUAUUGUCCGUUUUGGACCCAAAGGGAUCCUCGCGGCUUUAAAAUGUGUCUACUUAGUUAAGAGGAGUCUCUACAUAUAUAGCAUCAAGAACUUUCUCCCCUAUUCGACGUGGAACACCACAAUUACAAUAUCCAAACUCCAAUCAAGAUUUUUUAUUUUUUUUUUAAUUUCCUUCUACGCCAUUGCCAUUCCUAUAUCUCAAUCCCUAGGCAGCUUUUGCACUGGGCUUUUAUCGUUUGCAGCUCCCCAAGGCUAUAAAAGUAGUUGUGUCCUUGCUAGGAAGCUUCUAAGGGGAGUUCCCACUUCCUAGGGAUACCGACAAGUGAGGUUGGAGCCGAUCCCCUCUAUCCCACCCUAUUUAAUUUUUUUAUUUUUAACUUUUAAAAAAAAAAUUAAUUACACUUUAUAAAUAAAUAAAACAUUCUAAUUUUUAUAACUUAUUUUAUUGAAAAGUAACAUUUUAAUUAUUUUAUAUUCAUUAAAAAUAAAGAAUUUUUAAAUUUUUAAAUAAAAUUACUUUUUAAAAUUAAUUAAUAUAUAUAAUCAAGACAUGACAAAACAAGAUAAGACAAUAUUCGAACCUAUAUCAAAUUUAAUAAAAAAUUCUUAAACUCGUACCUAACCUAUUUAUUUUAAGUUUAAACCUAUUGCAUUAGACGAAAAGGUACUCAUCACCAUCCCUAAGGGUUCCUGAAGGAAAAACAAAAAGGCUUGCCAACAAUCUAAUUUGGUACAUAUCCAAAAAGUAUGACCAAUCAAAUUGCAUGUUGUGUAUAUUUUGAACCCAUUGCAAUCCACCUUAGUUUCGCUACUUAUAUUUGAUCUUACUGUUUCUACUCCCAUCCAAUGGUUUAUAAUUUAUCAUGCACUCUCAACAAUCACAAAGUUUGAUGGGUACCUCUUUGGUCUCUUCCAAACCAAAAGAAAGAAGGCAACACUAUUCAGAAUCUAAACAUGUAGAGAAUUUGAUCAGGCUUAAUAAUAAAAUUUGCAGAAACAUUCAUGAAUUGCAGCCUCACUAUGAUUUCAGUACGAAGUAAUCCUGAUCGAAAACAAAUGGAUAGAACUGAGGGAAGCUUGCAUUUUUAUUUAAAUAAAUAGUACAGAAAACACAUUUUGGGAUCCCAAAAGAAGAGCAACAGCCACAAAGGUUUGAAAUAGUUGCUACCUAAAAUUAGACAGGGACAGGAGGCCAAAGAGGAACAACUGCUUUCUUAAUUCUCUCCACGGCUGCAUGUAGGGUGGAGAGGGAUGCAGCAUAGGAUAUGCGAAUGCACUUGUCGUCUCCAAAUGCAUCCCCUGGGACAAGGGCAACCUGCAACCAACAUCCAUAACCUAAUUACUAACUAGUGCUGAUGUGCCUCCUAAUGAAUUAAUCAACCAUUGUUUCUCUCUUUCUGUUUUUUGUUUUCCAUGAGCUUACCUGGGCCUGGUCCAGCAGAUAUCGGCAGAGGGACUCUGAAUUCUCAAUUAUACCAAAACCUUCAGCCUCUGCCCCAUAGUAAGAGCUGAAGUCAAGAAAGAGGUAAAAAGCUCCCUGCAAAUGAGAAAGUACAGAGGAUUAGAAGUUUGGGAUAAUAGUGGGAGCAGAAGUACAAGUGUGAACAGCAAAGCAAGCUGAUAAUUGGGGUAUGUUACUCUUAAGACUAAACAAAAAGAGCUGGUACCUGGGGCUCUGAUAUCUUGACACCCUCCAGUUCUCCAAAGCUUUUAACCAAGAAAUCUCGCCGUUCCCUGAAUGCUUUUACCAUUGUGGAAACAGCUUCCCCACCAGCAUAGCCCAUUCCCAAUGCAGCAACUGCUGCUUUCUGAGAUAUGCUACUGGCACCUGAAGUGAACUGGAAGAACACAACAUAGGAAUCAGAAAGACCUAGCCAUUUAAAGUGCAAGGACAUGGUUUGAGGUGUCCAUCCACUAUUGAAAUGAGCAUGUCGAAAUAUCCAAUUGCAGUAGAAGUUAAUAUAAAUUGAUUUUUCUCCAUAUGAUUUAAAAGAGAAAAAAUGAAAGAAUCAUCACAAAAAUAAAUCAACAAGUCAUAUCAACCCACAAAAUGAGUCACCCACAGUUUCAGCACAUUAAAAACAAUGCUGGAGUUAAAUCUUAAAUUUCUAUUUAUUUCACCAGUCAUCUACCCCCUUCUGUUCCUCACUCCCACGAAAUCCACUUUCAGAACCUCAAUGAUGAGCCCUAAAAGUACAACCAUCCACAGAUAACACAUAUUUAUGAGGUUCAGAAUUGCUAAUUGUGUUGAUAUCCCCUUAUAAAUGGCAUGUACAUGGAAAAGACCCAACCACACCCCCCCCCUCUUUUCAAUUUAACUACUGCAUCCAGACUACAAGACUUGUUUCAGACACACUUAUAAUUUUAUGAACACUUGAUAGAUUAAAUUCUCAAUACAAUCCACUUUAAUCAACACAAAAAAUGCAAGCAGAGCAUAGAACAAUAUUUCAUAUUCAGAAACAUAUAGAGUGAACACAUAGACAAAAUAUUUAUCCAGCGAUCACAAUAGACAUGGCUGGUAAACCGUACGUGUAUGUUCAAUUCAAUUCACGAUCCACCUAGCAUCGCUUGUGACGUGAUGCCUUAAUGAGGGACACAAGAUGCAUGCUGAAUAGAGCUUUCCCAUUGGAAAGUGAUAGGUGUGGUAUAGAUGUAAUAUACCUGACUCUGAAUCUUUCCACAUGCAGCAACAAAGUGUUUAGGACCAGCAAGAUACCCAAGCCGCCAGCCAGUCAUUGCGAAGGCCUACAAAUUAGCCACCCUAUAAAUGUCAAUCCACAAGAUGAGGCCAACACUUGACACGUAUCACUCAUGAAUAUAUGAAAGAUUGAAAGUAGAACUAUCCAAAAAGGAGAAUAUGAAAUCUAUGUCACAAGGAAAUACUUGAAUGAAUAUAACUAACCUUAGAAAACCCAUUGACUGUCAAAGUCCUCUCCCACAUGCCUGGCAAAGCUGCAAAGCUUGUAUGAGUUGCUGGUGCAUAAAUAAUAUGUUCAUAUAUUUCAUCAGACAAAACCUGAAUAUGACAGAAAAAAGAAAUUUUAGGUAAUGUCAGCUGAGUUUGGCAUGUUCAAGUGCAGAUCUCACUGUUGAGGUUCAAGUUCAUUCAUUCUUACCAGAAGCCUGGGGUGCCUUGCUACAAUCUGAGCAAUCUCUUCAAGCAGUUUCCUGGAGUAAACUGAUCCGGUUGGGUUGGAUGGAGAACAUAGAAUCAGCAAUCUUGACUUUUCAGUGAGUUUGGACUCAAGAAACUUUGGAUCUAGGAGAAAAUUUUCAGAGAUAAGUGUUGGAAGAAUGACAGGUGUUGCAUCUGCCAGUCUUGCCAUUUCUGGGUAACUCACCCAGAAUGGAGCUGGAAUUAUAACCUGAAGAACAAAGGCUAGUCAAUAAAUGAGAACCAUAUUUGCAGAUAAAAAGAAUCCAGACAAUAGCACAACUAGUAGCCCCUAAUCUAUAUUGCCAAGAACAUGACUUUGGUGAGUAUGCAUAAGAUUUUCCUUCAAAAAAUAUCGACUUAAAAAAAAAAGACAGAAGAAGAAAAAAAGGUAGAAACGUGCCAAUAUGCAAGUUUUGACACAUGGAGGAGGGCUAAUGGACUUCAAAUUGCCAUCAUGCUGGCAAUUUAAGUGAAUGGCCUGAACAGAUUGUGGAUAGCAAUGUCAGCAAAACAUCAGCAAAUUGAGUCAUUGGUUUUUGCCACAGUUUGUUUCACAUAUAAAGUAGGCAUCUCUUAGAACUGAUACCUGUAUGAAAUGCAGUUCAGAGAUGAAUUACAGCAGGCCAUGUUUCCAACAGAUGUAGAUUGGGAGGGACAAAAUUCCCAUAUGCUAACAUCUUUCUUGACACGUGCUAACAGGAUAAUUUAUUUUGCUAUUAGUGCAUGUUCGUGUAUUUUAUUGUGUUAAGGUACAGGCAGGGUAGGUGCAGAUGAUUACUAUCACUUGCAAAAUUUACAAAUCACCAGCUCUCUAUGAUUUAACUAACACAUUGGAUUUUGUUCAUACCAAAUUAAAUAGAGCAUAAAGUCCCGAUGGCACAAUGAUACCACAACUACUUUUUGUCAUGACUCCACAAGUUGUAAAUUUCAAUCAAACAGAAGAUGAUCUAGUAGAUAAACAGUUUGAUAGCUUUAUUUAUUUAUUUAUUUAUUGGAAGGAAAAUGGUAGCUUUAUGGACUUAUAAUUUUGUCUAAUUAAAGUCAGAGCUGAACAAUGGAAGAGGAAAGGUAUUCACUACACAACAUCCAAAUGAAGGUACUUCGUAGUUCAGCCCAAUAAACUCAGAUAGGAAAGAGCCAAAAGAAUAGUUGAGCAGACUAACAGCAUUUUUAAAUCUAAUGAUGAUUAUGAAGGUAUGAGCUACUUCACCUCAUCUCCUGGGGAGCAAACUGCAAGCACUGCUUGAAGAAUAGACUGUUUGGCUCCAUUACUAACCAAAAUCUCAUCAGGUGUAUAUGAGAGCCCAUUUUCCUCUGUCAAAAUAGUAGUAACCGUUAGAACCAUUAUCUCUGCAUUUCAGAAUAGAUAAUUAAUAGAUAGAAACACCCCACAUAUAGCAAACUAACCCUUCAACUUAUGACAAAUUGCUGAACGGACUUCCAAAGUACCCGCAUUUGGAGUGUACCUUGUGUAACCUUCACGAAUUGCAUUUAUCCCAGCCUAACAUUUUCAAAAAUAUCAGAAGAGAAGAACAGAUAGUAUCAGUGGUGUAAGUAUAGGUAAACACAUUAGCCACAGACCAAAAGAGAUUAAAUUGAAAAAGGUCAAAAAGAAAACCUCAGCUAUCACAGCUGGAGUAUCAAAAUCAGGUUCUCCAGCUGCUAAUCGUAUAACAGGGACUCCAGCUUGUACAAGAGCAGUUGCUUGGUCAGUAAUAGCUACUGUUUUAGAAGGCUUUACAGAAUUUACUCUGGGACUCAGUGAGAUAUCAACCUCCAUUUUCUCAGAUGUGCCCCCUGCCCUUACUAUAACAUCUAAUCUAGAUGACUGUACUUGUCUUGUAGACUCCAAGGAUCUAUCAGCACAGAUAUGAAUCAGAAAGCAAUAGGUGUUCCAAAACAUAGAAAGGAGAAAACAGAAAAUAUAAUAUUUAGGGUCAAUGGCUUGGUGGCACCUGCAGUUGCCCUUGAGGCCUGGCCAAGUAGCAAAAUGUUGGGAAGGGGAUAUGGGAAGUUCCAGGUUCAAAUCCCAACAGGGAGGGCAAAACAAUGUUACCUAUGUAGGACAUGUAGCAGCACUUAAACUAAGGCCAAAUCUUCAAAUAGAACCAGGGGUAAGCUAAUCAAUUACAAAUGAAAAGCAAUUGACAUUUCAACAUGACCACAGUAAUUUCAAGCAACCAGGAAGUUAGAUAUAUUGUUAUAGAUCAAGGCACAAAAGUGUAAAGGUAUUAAUUGAACCCUCUGCCACCAUUUAUUAUGCUCUUGUAAAGUCCUUUUAAGAAGCAAGAAAAGUAGUGUUUCUUUUUUGCCUUCCUUAAAAGCAAGAAUUGAAAGUUUGUAUUGUUAAACAGUAUCAAAAAUGAUAUUUGACCGAGAAAAACAUGAAAGUAGGUGCAAGAGUGGAAUUAGCAACAUUAACAAUGGUGGUGGUGGAAAAGGCAAUAGCAGCGGUGGGAAGUGCUGGAAAAUUAAGUGUGGUGGCAACUGUGAGCAAUGGCAGUUAAGGUAGAAAAGACAAUUGAAGCGAUAAUGCUGAAAAAAAGAUUGUUAUGGUUGUCCUGCAAUCCCAAAAGGAUGGUGGCAGACCAGUUUUGGGUUGAAUGCCUAUAAUUCCUGUAGCGUAGUGAUGAGUCUAGCAACAACUAUGGUGGUUUGUUGGCGAAGGUCCAUAAAAUAUAAAGGCAAUCAAAUUUUUUGCUCUCAACAUAAAACGCUUCUUAUUUCAUUCAAAAGAAAGCAAAAAAUAAAGCUCUCAUAAUGCAUUCCAAACCCAAGUUCCCAUCUUCUAUUACUUCUUGCUUCACCAUUUUUCCAAAGUUCUUGCUUCCAAAGCUGAGAAAAGAACUUCCAAGAUGCUAAGAAGGAACCAGGAAGUGCCUAAUUUCCUCACAUUAAACCAAGAACAGUCCCCCAAUUUCAAUAUCCAAAAAGUCAGAACUCUUUUUGCUUUUGAAAAUCAGGAAAAAAAAAAUGACAUAAAUGCCUGCUUUUGAAGAACUACUUUCAAAAAAGGCAAUUUUGAAAAUGGGUAUGGUUUAGGUAACAUUAAAAAUUAUAAUACACGAUAGGGUUUUUCUAUUUUCCGUACCACAACAAAAAGUGCUCCCAAUCGAGUGGUCACAAUUCCAAAGGAAAUGAGUUCGCAAAUCUCAUUCUCUCAUUUCCUUGUACUUGGUUGCAUUCAUUUGUACUUGAAUCUCUUUUUUUCUAUUUUUUGUUUUUAAAUUUGUUGGGCUAGAUUAAUGCUUGUUGUGGAUUCGAAAGGAAUGAAAAUAUUUCUGAAAAAAUCAUUUUCAUUUCUACUGCCAAAACGCGUUUUAAACACCAUAUCUUAAAAGAAAUGUGAUGCCAAACAAAUAGUAAAAACAAAACAGGUUCAUUCAAACCCUAUGCGCCACAUAAAGGAUCAUUACAAAAAAAAAUGAAUUUAACAGCAAAUUCAUAGUUUCCAGAAAGCAAACAAACAAGACUCAUCUAAAGCUCCGUUGUGCUGUUGAAAACGAGAGGGAAACGAGAAUUGAUAACUUCAAAAUUUUGAGCCCUUGGGUUCACGAAGUAUCGAUCACCCUUUCCCUCUUUCAUUUUCCUCCAGUUUCUCAGCAACCAAACAGACCAUAACGUUAGAAUUAAAGAAACUUCAAAGAAAGGAAUGAGAAAAGUAAAUUGAAAUGAAGGGAAGCAGGAAGAAAAAAAACAGACUUACUUGAGACUGUGAAAACGAGAGGGAAAAGAGACGGAUCUGAAGCACUCCGAUCCUAUAGAUUGAUCUGCGAAGCAUAGGCGAGUGGGUUUAGGGGUGAAAGUAGUGAAAGAGGAGGCUGCCAUCGAUGUUUGGUGAAUCGGAUUCGAAGUUUCCAAUGAAGCAGCCAACUAUAGUUACCUUAUAAUAUAGUGAGGGAGUGUUUCACAAGAUGAGCGGGGUUGGUGGAGACCAGGGUUGUUGGAGGAGGCUGCUCUCCUUUGGUCCCCUUUCAAGACAGGAAGGUAGUGGGUCCUUUCAUCAUCCGACUUACCCUUUCAGCGCUGUCUCCCUUAUAGUCUGAAUUAUGUUUCAUUUUGAGUUUUUUAUUAGGAUAGAAAAUGGUGAAAAUAUAAAAUAAAAUUAUUUUUACAAUAUACAUGUGUGAUGGUAUGAGAGAUAUUAUUAAAAAUGAUAGUAUUAUUAUUUUUGUAUGAUACUUGUUUGUGAUAUUAUUAUUAUAUUAGAUUUAUUUAUUUUUUGUUAUAUUUUUUAUUUAAAAUAAUUUAUUAAUCCCACAUAAUGACCCCUAGAGGAUUCAAACUGAUAACCAUUGAAGAGCAAACCUAACACGGAACCAACUUAGCUACCCUCAUAGUUAUAAUCUAAUAAAUAAUAUUCUAUUUCACAUAUAUAUAAGAUCACAUUUUAAAUUAAUAAUUCUUUGAUAUUUAUAAUAUUCAUAUUCAUCUUAUAUGAUUUUAUUCCCUAUUUCACUUUCAAUAUUUUUUAAAAUAAUUUUCCCUUAAAAAUUAAGAAAAAAAAACGAUAGAAUAAUGUUUUCACUUUUUCUAUUUUUAUAUAUGUUUUCAUAUCCUAAUUUAUGUUUUCUUUGAAAACAAAAACUGAAAAAAAAUGUAAACUUCUAUUUAGUAAUGAUUUUAAGAAUGAUUUUUUAAUCUAAAAAUUAUUUUUUAAAAAAUAUUAGGUAUUUGAUAAAAUUUAAAAAAUAUUUCUAAAAAUUUGAAAACUAAACACUUAAAAAAUAUUAGGUGUUUGAUUUUUCGAUUCUUCUAAAAAUACAAACACUCCCAGACGUACUCUACAUUUAGUGUUGAUCUUUUUAUAUUUAAAAAAAAAAAAUUGUAACUUUUAUGUAAAAUAUAACAAUACUUCAAAAAAAAAAAUAUCAAUCUUGUCUUGUGUCUUUUAAAAUUUAAAGUAGUAAAAAAAAUUUAGUAUGUUAUUUUUUUUAAUCAGUUUCAAUCACUUUUUUCUUAAAAUAAGCCUCCGAAAUUCGUCCAUUUUCUAUUUUUAAAAGCAUGAAAUAACAUGAGAAGAAUGUCCAGACCACAACGUAGCCUAUCUAUGUUUUCCCCCUUUUUUAAUUCUCUCUAUGGGGUUGAUGUUAAUGUGCUGAAACACAAGGUUUCUAGAUGUGAUAUGGUAUAAUAUACUUCGAGUAGGUGUACCUACCUCCCCAAGGCGUCUCUCACUGACAGGGGAUUAUGCAAAACGAUGACGUUCGGCUGAGGCAAAAUGUUUUUAUAACCCACCUUACCAUCAGGAUUGGCAUGGGAGAUGGGUGCUCGAGACUUUCAGAUAUCCCACCAAAGUACUUGUCUGAUUGCCCCUCUCUUGCCAAACUUCUCUCGACUGAUGUUUGAGGUUUUAGCAGCAAAAGAUUUAGUCAUGCCUAACUGGGUGGCACCUUUGGCACCCAGCUAAAUGUGGUAAUUGCAGUCUUUGAACAAAUCUUUCAGAUAUAUUAUAUUACUCGGUUAGAUUUCUUGCUAUGUUUCUUUCACAUUUUUAUUUUUCUGCAAAAGCCGAAUAUUUUCCUGCACGCCAUACUAUAAAAUCAUCAAUGUCUAAGCGGAGGCAUACUACAGAAUUAGAACAGAAACAUGCUAUAAAGAAUUGGAAUGGAAAACUUAUUUAGAGCCCCUCAAUUUGAAGUAGAGGGUUGCGUAACCUGUAAAGUGAAUAUGUACGCAUGGGUCCCCAUUGCUGGAAGCUGCAGACAGUUCAAAUAAGAUGCUUCCAGGUUCCUCUACAGUCUAAUUCAUGAUCUCCUUAUUAACAAAAUAGACUAAGAGUUCAUUUGAUAGUAAUUCUAAAAAAUGUUUUUAAUAUUUUUAAUACUUGAAAAUUUUUAUCAUUUAAGUGUUAGAAAUACUAAAAAUGUUUUCUAGAAUUACUCCCAAACGAACUUUUAAAGUGUGUUUGACAGUAAUUCAAGAAAACAUUUCUACAUUUUUUAACACUUGAAUGAUAAAAAUUUUCAAAUAUUAAAAAUGUUAAAAACGUUUUCUAAAAUUACUAUCAAACAGGCUCUAAAUAAUUGACACCGCAUCGCAUUCUUUGUAGAAGCCUCUCUGCUUCCUUCAUCAAAAUACCAACAAAAAGGGGAUUAGAGUAGAAGCUUACUCGCAUAGCUGAGGCAUCACAUUUGAUUGGGGUGCAUUGUCUGUUUAAGCCCCCUUCAGCUGUUCUGCCUUGGCCUCCACCAUAACAGAAACUUUCUGUGUUCAAAAGCUGCAAUCACAAAACAAUUGGAGAUUUUUCUUUGCACUCCUAUGGUUUUCUUUAGGUUACAAGAUUAAUCCUCAAGACCCAACCCACCGUAUCACUCCCUACCCUAACCUAUCAAUGGAUUGGAGAGUCACCAUCCAUCCACUUUGUAAUGUUAAAGCACCUAACAUCCUUAUCAGGCUCUGUACAGCGAUGUUAAUGUCUGGUAUAGCUGGUAAUCACAUAUUGCAACAUUCUGGUCGGCUUCACUUUCAUGCUUAGCUUAUAAUUAUUAUAAGCUGCUAUCAAGACUCUGAUGACUUGAUCCAAAUUGAGCCACCAUGCUAGAAACCCAUGGUUAAAAAGUUCAGUGGUUUUCUAUUAUUGAAUCUCCCGAAUCCGUAAGGCACAGCUAAACAUUUUUUUUUUUUUGAUACACAAACAAGAAUAUAUAAAAGACAUCAAUCAAAGAGCGGGUGUUGCACCCCAAGUACAGGGGAGGUAUACAAAGGAUGCCAAAACAACAAACAAACCACCUCAAACAUGCACACAAAACACUGUCCCACUAACUAAACUGAUAAAUAAAAUCUAACAAGAAAAGAGGUCCAUCUUGAAUAUGUUGGCAAGUCCAUUGGAAUAGGGCGCAGAUAAGAGUGUCCUUUAGCACUUGAUCUCACCAUUGAAUUCCAUCAAAGUAUCUUCAGUUCCUCUUUUGCCAAAGAAUCCAAAACAAGCAAAGAAGGUUUGUCCUCUAAAUCUCUUUCUAUUUUUGCUAACAAAACUCUCAUGUCAUCCUUUUAGCAAAUCUUUCACAGAAAAAAUGGCCUAAAAAAGGGCCAAAUAGAGAAAAUAAAAAAUGCCAAAGACCCCUUGACUUUUCACAAUGGAUUAGCAUAUGAUUAAUUGGUUUUGUUGAACUCAUAUAUAAACACUAUGAUACCUGGAUCCUCCAAUCUGACCUAACUUAGCUAUCUCGAUAUGACAUGACAAGGGUGUGGAUAUGGGAUCGUUAUCAAAUAUUCGAAUUUUACUUCGAGUGUGAUUAUUUGAUUUUUUUAUUGAUAUCCUUUUAUUUUUUCAACUUUCUUAGUAAUUAUAUUAUAGAAAAAGAAGAGUUGGCCGAAAAGUAAAUUUUUGUGAGAAUAAUUAGCAAUAUGAGAAAAAAAAAAAAAAAAAAGGGGGGGCGGGGGGGAUUAGAGGGAAAAUAUGAGAGCUUUUUAAAAGGAUAUCUUCAUUUUCAAUUUAUUUUUAAUUGAUUUUUCUUUCAUUAUGUCAUGUCCUGGUAACCAUAUCCCCUUUUCUGGAUCCUUUUUAGCCAAGUCCUUGUAUCCUAAUUUGAGUUGUGUAAGAGGCACAUACCCAAAUCCAACAUUCAUACCUGGACCCAUGCAACAUAGCAUAAAUAACAAUCAUUAGCCAACAGUCAACCUCUUCUCUUAAGUUGAUCUAGGGUUGGUAAGCUUUCCCAUACAGCCUCCUAAGCAAAAAAAAAAAAAAGCUCACUUUGAAAGACACCCAAAAGCCCCACACUACCUUUGAGGAAAAAGACACUCCACCCGAUUCUAGGGAAGAAUAGAAAGAUUUAAACAACAAGUUCCCGCUCUUGCUAGCCUUCCAAAUCAGCUUAUCUGCGUCCUCACUGCACUUCCCAAGCACUUGAAGCCUCAUAAGCAACUCUUUGAUUCUAUGUAACUCCCAAUCUUGAAACUAUCUCGUUCCAAACAACCUGCCCGCUUAAGACCUCCCAAGUAGUCAUCACCCAAGCCUCUCUAUCAGAUGCACAACUAAACAUAAAAGAUUAAUGAUAGAACAAAUUUUGUCAAGCACUUCAGUCACUUGCAUUAAUGCAUAUCACUCACAAGGCCUGAAUUCACACAACUCAGGAUUGUCUAUAUAAAUCAUUCACCAUUCAUCUCUACCAAUGUCCAAAGCCUCCUAAAUCAUAUGCCUACAUGUCAAUUCUCACCAACUCAGUCCACAUCUUUUUUAGCCUUCCUCCUUUGGUCCUUCCUCUCUUCUUUCUUACACCCUUUGUCUGAAUCAAAUCAGGCCACAGGACCCUUAUAGGAAAUACUUAUAACGAGUUCACAACCUUUUCAAAACUUUAGGCUGACGGAUAAGGACAGACAUUCAAUAAUUGAAAUAAAAAUGUGCAGAGGCAAGAAUUUAAGAUGUAUACCAAGAAGUUUAGGCUCACUAUGUAUAACAUGUUAGAAUUUCAUGAUUUCAAGAUGCAAUUAGGAAACUAGUAGUAUAAUCUAAGGUGGCAAAUUGCCAGUCCAUAAUGACAAAAUUGAAUCCUAGUUAGAUACCAAACUCAUCCCAUACAACAAAAAUGAGUCAUUCAGACUAAAGAUUAAACUGAAAUAUGAACAUCAUCUCCAUCAAAUCAUAUAUAUCCAAAUCUCUCAUCUCAAAACCAUCAAUUAUUAGUUAUUACCAGAGAAACAGAUUUGACAAUGUAUAAAACAUGUAGAUAAAUCAAGCCCAAAAAGGAAGGGUGCCAAUUCUGAAGAAAGAAUACCUCAUAUUCGAGUACAAGAUGAAUCAAAAUCAUCAGGAGCAACUCGAGCAAUCCAAUUGCUCAGCGUCCUCUUAAUAUCAGAAUGAUUAACAUAGGCCAACUCAUACAUGCUACACAAAUUAACCACAAGAGUCUCAUUCAGAGCUACUGUAGGAACCCUUUCGAGGGCAUUCUCCAACACCUUGAUCGAAUCCGAUAAGUCCCUCAAAUACAUCAAGCACAGAGCUUUGUUAUUGAUAGCCACAACAUCCGAACCAUCCCUCUCAAUGCACUCCUCGUACUCCCUCACUGCAGACACAUAAUCUUUUCCCACUAAGUAAACCAGCGCCUUAUUCCGAUUCACAAGGUUCUUGAACUCAAUUUCGCUCAAUGAACCUAAUCUCUCUUCCUUACCCAUCUUCUCUACCAGUUCGAACGACGCCUUCGCCCCCUCCAAAUCCCCAAUCUGCAGCUGAAUGCAGCCGAGCUUCGACACCAGCGCCGGAUCAUCGCGACAUCUGCCGCUCAGUAACUGCCUGAUCAAACUCACACACACACCAAAUUCCUUGUGACUCAAAUGGUGCCCGAUUAUCGAAUUCACCACAAAAACCUCCCUCCUCUUCCACACAUCCGCAGAAACCCCCAGCCCCCUCGACCCUUUCUCAUCCACCCUCGUCCGCGCAAAAUCGAGCAGCGUAUACAACCGAUCUAGGGUUUCCUGGCGCUUCCCCAAUUUCAACGGAAUCUCGGCAUGGAUCCACCGGAGAGCGAACGGAAUCAUGGAACCAGACCGGCCGGGGUACACAUCAGGGUGUGAUUCGUACUGGUAGAUGGAGUGAUCGAGAUCCUCCAGCGAUGCCAGCUCCUCCGAAACGUCGCCGUAUCGACGGAGCUUGAUGAGAGCCAGGACGUUGUAGGAGAAAUAGCAUAGGUGUUCGUGGGGCUUUUGGAGGAGAGAGAGCUUGCGGGCGCGAGAGACCUUGUCGAGAAUGGAACGCCAUGAGCCUCGAGUGGCGAGCUCUUGGAGAGACGAGAGCUCGUAGCAGAGGUCGUUGAGGGAGCCGAACGGGCUCGACAGUGGGUCGCUGGCGAUAAAGCCAUCAGCGGCCGGAGUUGAAUCCUCCGACGGGGCAUCAGUGGCCAUGUUUCGUGAAUUGAAGAAUGGCUCGACUCAGCUUCACUGCUGUGGGAAUAGCUUGCGACGAUCAGAUCCGGCUGCUUUUAAUUAUUAUUAUUCUUUUUUACUUAUGAAUUUAUUUUUCAAAAUAUGUUUUAUACAUUAAUCACUCCUAAAUUUGUUUAAUAUGAUAUAAAAUUUUAAAAUUUACCUAAUAAUAUCUUAGGCUUAUAAAUGGCUGGUUUCAAGCCCAAUUCAACCCAAAUUGAGUAAUAACUAAAGUGAUAGUUAAUAUUUUAUUUUUUUAUUUUUAGUUUUACCGUUUUUUAAGUCUUUAAUUAUAUAUUUAAUUUUUAUUUAUUGAUCUCAAACCAAUUCUCAUAGUAAAAUAAAUUAUCUAUUGAUAAAACUGUCAUUUCAAAAAAUAAUUAUUUAAAUUAUGAUAUAUAUAUAUAUAUAUUUAAAUAGAGAAAGAUAAAUCUAGUUUAUAAAAUUUAACGUUCUUUUUGCUAUAAAUAUAUAUAUUUUUUUUAAAGUUAAACCCAUUUUUCCCUUUGAAUUAAAUACACCUAAUCAUCGUUUAUUUGAAAUUCCAUAAAAUAUUUUUUUUUUCAUUUUUCAUUUGUUAUUUUUAUUAAUCUAUUCUUUAAUUUAAAAUAGGAAAAAUAUUUAAUAAAAUAAAAAAUCAAACCAAUUAUUAAAACGAAAAAGUUAUGAUUUACUAUUCAAUGGUUGAACGAUAAUAGAACCCAUAACAUCAUAAAUAUAUAAUUUAUAUAUUAUUAAAUUAAAAAUAAUUUUAAAAUUUUAAAAUAUACAUAUAAAUAAAUUAAAAAUCAAUAAUAUUUAUUUUUUAUCUUUUAUAUUAUCAAAUUAAAUAAUGCAUAAGUAUAAAUGUAUUAAUAUACUAAAUUUCAUUAAAUGAGAUAUGUAUAAUAUUUUAAGUGGAUAUAUUAAAAAUCAAAGAAAAUCCAAUUAUUUAAUUUUAGCUAAUUUUAUAAUUUUUAAAAAUAUUAUAUUAUUGUUAUUCAAUAUUUUAAAUUUUUAUUUUAGAAAAGAAAUAUAUUGUUUUUUGUUUGCCUUAAAAGCAUCAAAACAUGUGUAGCCGGGUGAUGCCCCAUACCACUUUCUGAGCGCUUUUCAAAAUUAUUCAAUAAAAACUGAAGAAAAAACUAUAUCUCUUAAUCAAAAUUUAGAAAGUCUUCAAUUAUUGAGUCAAAACACUAUUAAUCAUCAGAGGAAGAAAUUUAACUAUAUUCAUAUAGGAUUAGUUCAAGUUGCCAUAAAACCUUUGUUUCAUUUAGGUUUAGAUAUUCUUAUUUUUGUUUGUUUAAGAGACGCUAGGUCAACAAGAUUUACUGAUUCCGUCCUUAGUACGAUUGAUUCAAACCUUGCCAAUGGUCUCGUUUAUUUUAAUUGUUUUCCAAACUUUUCCAUGAAUAUAAAUUACCCAAGUAUUCUUUCAAGUUUAACCUUAAACAUUAAAACCAAAAAUAUGAAUUUUGUAGAAGAAGCUUAAACUAUAGCAAUAAUCUAUAGGAUAUAUUAUAAAGUCAUGACAACCCAAUUAAAUCCUAGAGCUAUAUGUUAAUCCGUCAAAGAUGAAACAUUAUUAUUACAAUAUAAUCCUAAUAAUACUCAAGCUUUUGUUCCUAAAAAAUUAAAAUGGAAUGAAAUUACUCAAGAAGGUCAAUGGGAAUUAAAAGAUUUAACUUUUCCAAAACCAAUUAAACCUUUAACAACUCCUUCAAAAAUUAUACAACAUACAAAUGGUACUAUUCAAAUAUAAUUUAGUCCAGCUUCUAGAUAUUCAUUUAAUCAAGAUUUUAUAUCUGCAAGACCUUCUACUUCAAAUCCUAGCCUAAAUGGUGUUGAUUUUACUCCAAAAAUUCCUAUUCCUGUAUAUCAGCAACAAGAAUCUCCUCCUGCUUCACCUACUCAUUGAGAUAUGUAUCCUAAUCAAGUUAAUAUUAUUCACAAGAAAAAUUAUAAAAAGACUCCUUUUACUCCUAAUAUCGAAUGGAUAAAAUCAGAUUAUUUUGCCCCUUAUAAUAAUACCAAAAGAGUUUAUUUUCAAACAUUUCCACUACAAACUAGAAAUGCAUUAAGAAAACAAUAUGAAAAAUAUAUGAAUCAAAAGAAAUUACUAUUCCUUUUUUCUAUUGGUUUUUCAAAAUUAAAAAACAAAGAAAACAAAUUAUAACUUUAAGAGAUAAAGAAAGACAUCAAUUGGCAAUAAAACAUUCAGAAAAUGUUCAAAAAAGAAUUUUAACAAUAACCUCAGAAUUAGGUUCACAACCACCCUUAAAUAAUCAUCAAUUUAAUUUUGACAAUAAUUCAAUUUCUGCAUCACCCUUCAAAAUUCCAAUAACCAAAUAUGAACAAAGUCCCAUAAUUUAUAAGGAUAUUAGACAAGUUCAACAACAAUUAAAUUAUACAAAUCAUUCUCUUCAACAUUUAAGUCAACAAAUAACAAAAAUUUCCAAAUUUUUGUUUUCUUCUACCCCGGGAGGGAAGAUAGGAGAAACGAAAACAUUAAUAUCAAAAUCUUCAAAAAUUUCAUCAACUUUAUCAUCAUCAUCAUCAUCUUCCAAAUCUUUAGAACAACCUUUUAUUAUUCCUAUAAAUGUUGCAAAAUCAAAUAUUCAAUUAGUCAUACCAAGAGAAACAAUGUUAAAAGAAAUACAAAUUAGAUUAGAUAAACUCAAUAUUAACGGUAUUAAGAAUCAAAUUCAAACUAUAACAAAAGGAAAAUCAGAAAUAAAUAAAAUAGAAGAACAAUUCAAAAUGUCUCCUGAUUCAAUAGAAAAACCCCCUGCAACAGUCAAUGCAAUUUCUAAUAAUUUUAUAAGUAGAAAAAAUUAUUAUUCAAAACCCUAUUUUCCUGAUGUUCAAUUAGAAGAAAGAAAUUAUCAAUUAGCUGCUAGUUAUGAUGGUAGUAGUUUUUAUGAAUGGAAUAUAGAUGGAAUGAGUGAACAUCAAAUAAUUAAUUUACUUCAUGAAAUGAUGAUGGCUGCUAACGCAUAUAGAAUCAAGACUAGUAACUCUGACUUUCAUGCUGCAGGCACCUUAGUAAUAGGAUUCAUUGGAUUACUUAAAGGUUGGCAGGAUCAUUAUUUGAGUCAAAAUGACAGAGAAUACAUAUUAAAUGCAAAAAAGACAAUAGUCAAAGAAGAAGGAACAUCGGUCCAAACUUAUGAAGAAGAUGAUGUCAAUACAUUAAUAUUUGCAAUAACAAAACAUUUUAUAGGAGAUCCAGUUUAUUUUCAAGAAAGAACUUCUGAAAUCCUUAAUAAUCUUAGAUGUCCAACACUUCAAGAUUUCAAGUGGUAUAAAGAUAUGUUUUUGGUUAAAGUUAUGACAAGACAUGAUUGUGGAAGUCAUUAUUGGAAAGAAAAAUUUAUAUCAGGUUUACCCACUCUAUUUGUAGAAAAGGUUAGACAAAGAAUAAGAAAUAUUCAUAAUGGUAGAAUUCCUUAUGAGUCAUUAACAUAUGGAGAACUAAUUACUUUUGUCAAUAAUGAAGGAUUAGCUCUUUGUACAGAUCUCAAAUUAAAGAGUCAAAUGAAAAAAGAAAAACAAGACAAUAAAAAAGAAUUAGGAAAAUUUUGUUCAUAUUAUGGUUAUGAUACAAUAGUUGUCCCUUCAAAAAGAAAAAAUAAGCAAAAUAAAAUAAAAAGUAAAAAACCAUAUAUAGAGCCAAAAUUUCAAAAGAAGUUUGUAAAAUCUACUCCUAAUAAACCAAAAUCAUCAAAUAAAAUAGCUUUAAAGAAAAAAAACCCCAACAUGUUAUAAAUGUGGAAAAGUAGGACAUUACUCAAGAGAUUGUCAAUUAGAAAACAAGAUCAAUUCAUUAGAAAUAAGUGAAAACCCCAACAUGUUAUAAAUGUGGAAAAGUAGGACAUUACUCAAGAGAUUGUCAAUUAGAAAACAAGAUCAAUUCAUUAGAAAUAAGUUAUAAACUUAAAAAUUUAAUGAUAGGAUUAAUGAUUGAUAAAGAAAAUGAAGAAUCAAGUGAAAAUUGUGACUCAGAAGAACAUAAUCAAAUACUAAUAACACAAGAAAUAUCAAGUGAAGAGUCAAGUCUAGAAGAAGAAUUAUAUAAUAAAAAAGAUUGUGAUGGUAUUUGUGCAUGCUCAUAUAAAUCAAUAAAUGUGACUUCAAAAUAUUCAAAAUCUCCUUUUAAUCUCAUUAUUCAAAAUUAUGUGUCUCUCAUAAACUUAAUAUAUUUUCAAUUUUGGUAUGAUAAAGACAAAACCAUUAGAUACUUGUUUUAUUCUUCAAAAAAGAAACUAAAAUUUGAAAUUUUUCUACAGAUGGAGCAAGAAAGGAUUACAUUUGGGAAAUUUACUCUUCCAAUAAUUCCUAAAAGUAAUCUGUCAUUCAGGAUUCAUAAAGAUAUAGAAGGAGUAGACAGAUCACAAAAGUGCAUUUUAGACAACCUCUGGAAUGCAAAAAGUGAUAUUCAAAAGUUGGAAGCUUUAAAUGCUUUAUUUUUUCAUUUUAAACAGUUAAAUGAUAAAUUAGAAAGUUUUUCUAACAUUUCAAGUUCUGAUAUACAUUGCAUCCCAAUGGAUACAGAUCUUGAAAAUUUCAUUUGCAGGAAAAAAGCAAAAGAAUCCAAAGAUACAUUUUCAAAAUCUUUUCAAAAUGAAUUUCAAAAAGAAAAAUCAAAUCAAAAUGAAGAUUCAAAACUUUAUGAGGAUAGCCAAGAAUUUCAACUUUCUAGAUUUUCAUUUUUCAAGCAAAAGAAUUUGAAUCUUCCUCAUAACAUUAGACAGAUGAUCAGUGAAAAGGCUCAAGCUAUAGGGGAAGCAAAGCAAUAGCAUAUCAUGCAAUUUCUUGCUGACUGUAGCACUUUUGGAAUUCCUAUUCAAGGGAUGAGGUUUACCUGGAUUUCUCAUUAUGACAACACUUAUAAUAAUUGUCCAAAGACCGAUCCCUUGUGUACGGAAAUUCCAUUAGAAAAGCAUGAUUGUACGUGUGCUCUUAUUUACAGUAUUUACAAAGUCAAUAUUGACCUAGACAGUUACAAACCAAUAAUCAUUAAGUUCAACAAUGAGUCAAUAGAACUAACUCCUUCUCUUCUCGUGGAUUAUGGAGUUCUUUAUCAACUAAUUUUCUCCAAUCCUGAUCAAACCGAUGGAUUUGGAAGAAAAUUAGCAAUCUGUGUAUUAAAUGCCUUCAUCAGAGAUUUCAAAUCAGUUGAACUCAUUAUAGAAAGCAAACCUCCUGAAUGGUCGAAUGAUGGAGGUGUUUACCUUGCUCAAUUUCUCAUCCUUCUCAAAGCCAAUCAAAGAAAACAUCAAUUGUUUGGUACAGAGAGCCCUUGGCCUUGUACUAAAUUCAGCCUUAAAAAACAAAUCAGACAUUGGAGAUCAAGAAUGAUUGCAAGAAAUCUUGAUUAUGAGAUUUAUAGUUCUUCUAACUAUAAUCUCAUUGCUGAAGACAACAUUCAAAAAAUCAUUUCUGCAACCAAUCUUCCUGAAGUCCCUCUUCUUUUUCAGACUCAAUUUACUUAUCUUGUUGAUAAGUACAAAAAGGAAUAUGUCCUUGAGGAAGAAGCCCGAAGAACUUUUGAAAAAUAUCUCUUAGAAAUGCUAAGCUAAGAGAUAUCAAGAAUCUUUUGUACAUUUAUACCUUUGUAAAUUGUUCCCUUAUGUUUAUAAAAAAAAAAAGUUUGUAAAGCCUGAAAGUGUGAAAAGUAUGUAAUGUAAAAAAAAAAUUCAAUAAGUCAAAAGUCAUGAACAGUAGUGAACAGUAUACUUUGUCUACUAAUUCACUUGGCAAGCAACGUGGAGAAAACAAAGAGAAAUUUUCUUCUCAAGCUUCUGACAAAGAAAAAGAAAAUUAUUCUUCCUCUGUAGACUUCAAGGCCACAACUGUCUCCACACGUGAUGAAGUUAAAAAUUUUCAAGAUUGAAAGAAAGUCUCAAGUCCGCUCCCUCGCCUAUAAAUUGAGCUCAAACCUUCUUCAUUAGGCAGAGCUUGCGAGAGUGAGAGUGAGAAAUUAAGAGUUCAAAAAUUUUCUCUUGUAAUUUUCUUCCUUUUGUAUUCAUCAAUCUGAGUCAUCCUUCUACUGUCAACCAACUUGUAUUCAUCAACUCUCUGUAAUCAAGGUAUAUUUCCAAUAAACAAUAUUUUCAGAUUCAAAUAUCUGUAUUUUUAUGUUUAAAUUUCUGCAAUAAAUUAGACAUAAUUAGACAUUAAAUAUUUCCGUUUUUAUGCUUGGAGAUCAUUAGACAAAAUUAAUUAUUGCGUGCAUGAAUUGUUAUAUGUCCUGGGUGCAAAUGGUAUCAAAGCCACGUUCUGCUUGAGAACCGAGUGGUGUUACGAGUUGGAACAGUAAUUAAUCAUAGAUUUAGUCCUGACUUAGUUCGGGUUGAAUUUCCUGUGAACGGAUUGGUCAGCCUGUGAUAGCGGUGCUUAAGGGCAGAAGGAGCAUAAGUCCCCUGUCGAUCCGCUUGUGGUGGUCCCUGUUCAAGAAAUUAUCUGAAUUGAUUAAGAAGAAAUUUGUGAUUAUUUUCUGUGACAAUGAGUAAUAUUAUUAGGGAAUUAAGUAGAACCAGUUCUUCCAGAUCUCUUAGGUCUCAUGAUAGUUCUGCAUCUACAUUAAAUAAUUCUGCAUCUGAUUUAGAAAGAUCUUCAUAUAAGAUAAUCAGCUUAUCUGCAUCAUAUGUUGCAUCAUUAUCUGCAUCAUUUUAUAGUCAUCACAUAAAAUUUAAUAUUUCAAAAUUAGAUGAAGAAAUGAGUCAAAUAGAAAAUCAACUAAAAAAUAUGUCAAACUUUGUUCCGGAAAUUCCUCUUUUUAAAGAAGAGUCCGAGUCAAUUAAUUUUUCUCAAUAUAAAUCUCCUUUAAACAUAAAUAUCAUUAGAAAAAAAAAUAUUAAAAGAAAUCCUUUUGUUCCUGAAGUAGAAUUGAUCAAAACAAAUUACUUUUCUCCUGAAAAUACUGCAAAAAGAAAUUAUUUUCAACAACUUCUUCCUCAAGUUAGAAAUGCUUUAAGAAAAGAAUAUGAAAAAUAUAUGCAACAAGUUAGGAUGACUAUUCCUUUUUUCCUUUGGUUUUUCAAAUAUAGGAAACCCCUUAAAAGAAUUGCAACAUUAACUUCAAGAAAAUCAAUAGAAAAUUCUCCACAUAAUAAAAAAUUGUUAUAACAACAAAACUCAAAUCCAGAAGAGUCAAGUAAAAAAUCAAAAGAAGAGUCAAGGAAAACAAAAUUUAAUCAAAUUUUGUUUUCUUCUGCCCCAGGAGAGGUGGAGGAAUCAAAGAUAGAAGAAAAAACAAUAAAAGAAAUUAAUGAAAUACAAAAAAUAGAAAAUAAAGAAAAAACAAAAACAAUAAAUGUAAUAUCUUCAAAAGUAGAUAAGCAAAUAUUUUUUGAUGUUGUAGAUAAAAUUCAAGAUGAAGAAACACAAAGAAACUAUUUAAAAAAUUUUAAAAAUUUAAUUCUCAAUGAAGAUUCAAAUAAAAUUCAAAUCAAACUUACACAAUACUCAAUGGAUGAAAUUUAUAAUAGAUUCAUAAAAAAUCAAAGGCCAAUAACCAUUAAAGACUUGGAAGAAGAAAUAAAAGAAAUAAAAAGUCAAAUAAAUCAAUUAAAAUUAAAUAAUGAACAAAUAAAAUUAGAAAACAAAAUAAUAAAACAAAAAAAUGAGCAAAUAAAACAAGAAAAUGAACAAAUUAGAAAUGUAAUACAAUAUAAACAAGAUUUUGCUGAAACCUCUGAUAAUCAAGACCCAGGAAUAAUAAUACCUAAUAAACAAACUCCUAUAGAAUCAUUUAUAAAUACAAUAACAAAAAUAGAUUUUUAAAGAUGGUAUACAAAUAUAAAACUCAUAGUAGAAGAUUUUGAAAUGGAAAUAGUAGCAUUAAUAGACUCAAGAGCUUAUAUGAAUUGUAUUCAAGAAGGAUUAAUUCCUGUUAAAUAUUAUGAACAAACCGGACAAGAACUUUUUGCUGCAAAUAAAGGAAAAUUAGAAAUAGAAUUUAAACUUCAAAAUGUUCAUAUAUGUCAAAAUAAUUAUUGUUUUAGAACUCAAUUUAUAUUAGUACAAAAUAUGACUGAAACUAUAAUCUUAGGAACUCCUUUUAUUACAUUACUUUACCUUUUUCAAGUAAAUGAUGAAGGUGUCAAAACUACAAUAUUAGGAAACACUAUAUUUUUCCCUUUUAUAUAUCCAUUAACUAAAAAAGAAAUACAUCAAGUCCAAAGUGAUUCAAUAAAUAAAAUAAUAAAUUUAAUUCAAAAAAAACAAGCUCAUAUAAAUUAUUUAUCAAAAGAAAUUCAAUAUAAAAAGAUAGAAGAACAACUUGUACUAGAAAAGGUUCAAAAUAAAAUAAAAUAAACUCAAGAUCUUUUUCAAAAGGAAAUUUGUUCUGAUCUUCCAAAUGCUUUUUGGUCCAGAAAGAAACAUGAGAUAAGUCUGUCUUACAUUCAAAGCUUUGAUGAAUCUAAAAUUCCAACUAAGGGUAGACCUAUUCAAAUGAAUGAAAACUUUUAGAAUAUUGUAAACAAGAAAUUAAUUCAUUAUUAAAGAAGAAAUUAAUCAGAUCUCAAAAUCUCCUUGGAGUUGCUCGGCUUUUUAUGUACAAAAUGCUGUUGAGAUAGAAAGAUGAGCACCAAGAUUAGUCAUUAAUUAUAAACUUUUAAAUAAAGUAUUACAAUGGAUAAGAUACCCUAUUCCUCAUAAGCAAGAUUUACUCAAAAGACUACAUAGUUCUGUAAUUUAUUCAAAAUUUGAUAUGAAAUCUGAAUUUUGGCAAGUUCAAAUUAAAGAAGAAGAUAGGUACAAAACUGCUUUCACUGUCCCUUUUGGUUAUUAUGAAUGGAAUGUCAUGUCUUUUGGUCUCAAAAAUGCCCCUUCUGAAUUUCAAAAUAUUAUAAAUGAUAUUUUCAAUCCUCAUUUUCAAUUUAUAAUUGUAUACAUUGAUGAUGUUUUAGUAUUUUCUGAUUCAUUAGAAAAACAUUUUAUUCAUUUAAAGAAUUUGCUGACAAAUUUCCUAAUGAAAUAAAAGAUAAAAAACAAUUGCAAAGAUUUUUAGGUUGUUUAAAUUAUGUUUCUGAUUACUUCAAAGAUUUGAGAAUCAUUUGUGAACCCUUAUAUAAAAGACUUAGAAAAAAUGCACCUGCAUGAACUGAGCAUCAUACUAGUUUGGUCAAAGAAAUUAAACAAAGAGUCAAACGUUUACCAUGUAUCAGCAUCCCUCAUCCAAAUGCAUUGCUCAUUGUAGAAUCAGAUGCAUCCAAUUUAGGUUAUGGAGGCAUAUUAAAGCAAGAAUAUAACAAUCAAGUGCAUAUAGUUAGAUAUCGUUCAGGGAUCUGGUUGGGCGCUCAAAUAAAUUAUUCAACUGUAAAAAAAGAAGUUUUAUCCAUAGUUUUAUGUAUUUCAAAAUUUCAAAGUGAUUUGAUAAAUAAAAAAUUCCUUUUGAAAAUUGAUUGCAAAGCUGCAAAAGAUAUUUUACAAAAAGAUGUUAAAAAUUUAGUUUCAAAACAAAUUUUUGCAAGAUGGCAAGCUUUACUUUCAAAUUUUGAUUUUGAAAUCGAAUUUGUCAAAGGAGAGUUGAAUUCCCUUCCUGACUUCCUUACUCGGGAGUUUUUGCAGGGUAAGGAUCCUUCUCCAUCCUAAUGGGCACUCCCGUUAGGCCUCAACUUCCUUCAUCAUCCAAGAAAACCAAAGCUUCAUAUGCCAUGAUUUCAAACUUUUCAAAAAUUCGUCCUACUUUUCCUUUGCAAACAUCAAAUUCCUUUCAAGUUUUGAGUCCAUAUUUUCCUCCUCCUCAACUUUAAUAUCAUAUUGUGCAUAAGAAAAAAAUAUGGGCUGGCAUUUUAAAAUGGACCUGAUUGAAUAAAAAAAGAAAGGGUGGCAAUAUAGGGAGGGCCUUGGAAUUGGGCCCAUCUUGAAUUUAAAAAAAAAAACGGUCAUUGGACCGAGACUGUUCGGUUCUGCAUUGUGCGGAAGAAAAAAUUAUGGGCUGGCAUUUUAAAAUGGGCCUGGUUGAAUAAAAGAAGAAAGGGUGGCAAUAUAAGCUGGCCAUUGGAAUUGGGCCAUUUUGAAUAUAAAAAAAAAAGGGUCAGUUUGGUUUACUCGGUUUACCGGUUCGACCGGUUCUUGACUGGUUUCCAAAGGAGAAAAUCCAGACCGGAAAGAUUAUCGGAUGACAGUUGGACCAAAAUUAAAAUUUAAAACUAUUAUAUAUAUAUAUAUAUAUAUAUGAGAAAAAAAUUGAGAGAAAAAAUAGAAGAUAAAAAAAAUAUAUAAGAAAAUAGAAAAUAGGUUUAAAAUUAAUAAAUUAUUUUUAAGUUUAUUUAUUUUUAUAUAAAGAUUAAAUAAUUUUAAAAUAUGUAAAUUUUUUAUUAAUUUUAAACACAAUAAAAUUAUUUUUUAAUAUUUUUUUAUUUUCUUAAUAUUUUUCAAGAAUAAAAAAUAACUUAUAAGAAACCGGUGAAACGUUAUUUAGUAUUUAUUUCUUUUAGAAAUUCAAACAUGAAGUUGGUUUUGAAUGGUCAUCCUUGAAUUGGUCAAAGCCACGGACCACGUGCCUUGCUUUCUUUUUCAAGCUCUAACAAUAACAAAAAGUCAAAAAUCAAUCAGUUCCAAUUGUAACAUUCUUGGUUACUUCCAAGUUUCAAUUCUAGUGGGAUUACUUUGAAAGUUGAAAUUCUCUUACAAAUUACGACUCCGUCCCGUGAAUACAUCAUGUUUUGGAAUGUUUUAAAAAAAAAAAUUUAACAAUUUUUGUAAAACAAAACAAUUCUCAAUUAGUUUUUAAAAUAAAACUUUAUUUUAAAAUUUAAAUAUAAAAGAUAGUUUUUUAUUUAUUCUUCGAAAAUAUACUAUCUAAUUAUAUAUAAUGUCAAAUAUUUUAAAAGAUUUUUCAUAUUGUUGAUUAUCAUUUAAAACAUUAUAAAAUAUAAUUAAAAAAAAACUUAGGUUAUGGUUGGUUUCGGAAAAUAUAAUGAAAAAAAAAUAGAAAAGAAAUGGGUAAGUAUGUCCUUUUAAAAUAAUAUUUUUAAAGGUGUGUUUAAAAGAUCAAUUUACUUUAAAAGAAAAAUAAUUCCAAUUUUGAUUAAGAUCAUUGAAUUAGAGCUAUUGAAGGACAUAUAUCAUUACAAUCUACAUUUGAUAAGAUUUGGAAGAGUGUUUUAUAAAUAACUAAUUUUCAUAAUAUUUAAAAUUUGUUUGAUGGUGAUUUAAAAAAAAAGUGUUUUUAACGUAAUUUCAUAUUUGAAAUUUUUUAUUUUUUAAAUAUUAAAAAUACUUUAAAAUUAUUAUCAAACAUAUUUUUAAUUUCAUUGAAUUCAAAGUUGACUUGACGUUUUAAUGGAUCAAAUUUAAUUAAAAAUUAUUGAAUUUUAAAAUUAAAAAGAAAAGACAAUUUUAAUUCUUACACCAAAAUGAUUUUAAAAUCAUUUCUAAUUAAUCAAAAAGAAAAAUCAUUUAUAUUUAUCUCACUUGCUUAAUCCUGUCAAAAUGAUUUUUUUAUAAGCUCCCAUAUGUAUUUAUAAAUUUUAUAUAUUUAAAAAUAUAAAAUCAUAAAAUACGUUUGUAAAUAUAAAUAUUAUAUAGUUAAAAAAUUAAAUAACCAAUAAAGCAAAAAUUUUAUAUAUUUUGUAAAUAUAUAAAAAAAAAACUUAGGUUAUGGUUGGUUUUGGAAAAUAUAAUGAAAAAAAAAAACACUAGAAAAGAAAUGGGUAAGUAUGUCUUUUCAAAAGAAUACUUCCAAAGUAUGGUUUAAAAGGUCAAUUUGCUUUAAAAGAAAAUUGAUCCUAACUUUGAAUAAGGCCAUUGGAUUAGAGUGAUGGAAGGAAAUAUAUCACUUCAAUUCACAUCUCUGAUAUCACAAGUUUGUUUGGUGGUGAUUUUUAAAAAGUGUUUUUUUUUUUUUUUAAUACUAAGAAUUUUUUAUUUUUAAAAUAUUAAAAAAAAUUAUAAAUAUUUUCUAAAAUUACUAUCAAACACAUUUUUUAUUUCAUUAAACUCAAAAUUGACUUAACGUGUUAGUGGAUCAAAUUUAAUUGAAGUAUUUGAUUUUAAAAUUAAAAAGAAAAGACAAUUUUAAUGCUUACACCAAAAUGAUUUUAAAAUCAUUUCUAAUUAAUCAAAAAGAAAAAUCAUUUAUAUUUAACUCACUUGCUUAAUCAUGUCAAAAUAAUUUUUUUUAUAAGCUCCCAUAUGUAUUUAUAAAUUUUAUAUAUUUAAAAAUAUAAAAUCAUAAAAUAAGUUUGUAAAUAUAAUAUUAUAUAGUUAAAAAAAUUAAAUAACCAAUAAAGUAAAAUUGUAUAUAUUUUGUUAAAAAAUUAAAAGUUAAUAUAUUUUUUAUUUUUUAUUUUUAAAAUAAAUUUUUUUAUAUAAAAUAUAAUAACUCUUACCAAAAAAACUUCACCUUGUGUUCUUAAAACCAUUUUUUUAUUUUUUUUUUACUUCCUUAAGCUUUAAUUUUUUUUUUGUAUAAUAAUUUCCAUCUUUUAUACAAGAUUUUCUAUUUUUAAAAAUAAAGGAGAUGUAUUUAAAUAUGUAUUAAAAUAAUAAAAAAUUUAAAAGUAAUUAAAAAUUAUUUUAAAAUAAAAUAUUUAUAAAUUUUAAAAAAAUUAAACAAGUUAUUAACAAAUUUAAUGGGCUAUAACUCAAGUGAUGGUCUCCAAAAAGCCCGCGGCCCGCUUUAGGCCCGGCCCGGCCCGUAGGCCCCUUAGGCCCGCCCCUUUAAAAAAAAACUACAAAAAUAAAAAGUAUUAAAAAAAAUAUUCAUUUCAAAAUUUUAUUCAUUGAAUGUAUAAUUACAUUUAAAAAUGUGGGAAAAAUUUACAUCACUACAAAAUAAAUACAUCCCAACUAGGUUGGCACCUAUUUAUUUGUCAAUCAUCUGUAUUUUUCAACCACAAAAAAUAAAAAUAAAAAUAUAAUAUACAUUUAGUCAUUAUUUUCUGGCGGUGAUGGCGAACUAUCAUGCAUCCAUGAAGAUCUUGAUAAUUUUAAAGAUUCCAUAUCGGCAAGCAUCUUUGUUUCUCGAAUGGAAUCGUACAUCCUUUUAUCUGCUAUUUCUCAAUCUUUCACACAUAUCCCUACUUCAAUAACAUCUGGCGCUAAGUUGCAUUGUUUUUUACUAACUACUCUUCCACCUGCACUAAAAGCAGCUUCUGAUGCAACUGUACUCACAGGAACUGUUAGUACAUCACGAGCAAUUAUAGAAAGCACAUGAUAUUUGUGUUGAUGUGAUUUCCACCAUAUUAAAAUAUCAAAAUCUUCUUGAUCUUCAAAUGAAAUUAUAUGAGUAUUAAGAUAUUUAUCUAAAUCAGAUGUAUUAUUUGGAGAACUAUUUGUUGUCUUUUUUCGACUUUUCAACAUUUCUAUAGCUCCUUUAUAAAAAGAUGAGGAGUUUGUAGAUGUAGGUGGUAAUUUAAUACUAUUAAUAUUCUUACCAUAUUUUUCUUUAUAAUAGUUAUAUAAAUUAUGUAAUAAUGAAUUUAUUUCAUUUUUAAUUUCUUCAAUUUUUAUUUGGUCAUUAAAAUAAAUAAUUGUUAACCAUUCAUCCAAAGCUUCAAAUUUCAAUCUAGGCUCCACAAUUAAAGCAAUAUAAAAAAUUAAAGGUAUUUCCCCCCAAUAUUUUCUAAAUUUUUCUAUCAUUGCAAAUAUUGUAUCAUUAAAUAUUUCAAAACUUAAAUAUUUUUGAAGUACAAUAAAAAUAUUAGUUAUUUGCAUAAUAACUCGAUUUGAAGUUGGAUAAUAUACACCACAAAAAAUGUUUGUUGAAGUAUCAAAAAUUUCAAAAAGAUCUCUUAAAGAUCUGCAAUAUGCCAAUCAUAAUCACUUAAUGCAUAAAUAUCUGCUUCACAAUCAUUGUUAAGUAAUUGUAUUUCAUAUAAUUCGACUACUUUUCUAUAUUUUGUAAUAUUUUGUAAAAGUUUAUAUGUGGAAUUCCAUCUAAUGGCCAUAUCCAAAUUUAUAUUUUUUCUUUUCAUAUUUAACAUUUUGCAACAAUAAAAAAAUAAUUCAUGUUUUGCUUGAGAACUAUUAAUACUAUAUGCAAUGCCUCUAAUUUUUUCCAAUGUAUUAUCAACAUUUUUUAAUCCAUCCUUUACAAUUAAAUUUAAAAUAUGUGCACAACAACGCACAUGAAAUAUUUUAGCAUGAUCUUCUUUUACUUGCUAAUAUCGUUUUAGUCUAUGUAUUGCUGUAUCAUUAUUAGCAGCAUUAUCUAAUGUUAUUGUCAAUAUUUUAUCACGAAUGCCUAAAUCUAUAAUUUCAUCAUUUAUUAAAGAUGCUAUAUUUUUACCACUAUGUGGAGCAUUUAUUAAUUUAAAUGAAAUUAUUCUUUUAUUUAAUUUCCAUUCAUUAUCAAUGUAGUGAGCAGUUAUACAUAAAAAACCAGUGUGAGUUAAAGAUGUCCAAAUAUCAGAUGUUAAACAAAUAUUUCCUUCAAAAUUUGCAAAAAAAAAUUUUAAAAUUUCUUUUUGUGUAUAAAUUUUUUUCAUAAUAUCUCUUUUAACUGUAUUUCCAGACCAACCUUUAAAUUGAGGAUUAAUACCUCGUUGAAUUGUUCCUACAAAAUCAUGAGUUUCCAUCAUGUUGAAAGGUUGUUCUGCUCUUAUUAAAAAAUAAUAUACUUUAUUUAUAUAUAUAUAUAAUUAACUCAAUUGUUAAGCACAAAAGGAAUGUAGCUCAAUUGGUUAGAGUCUUGAUAUGAAAGCAUGAGGGGAGAGGUUCAAAUCCUCCCCUCUCCCUUUCUUUCUUUAAAAGCCAUUUUGGCUUAUUUAAAAAAGCCCACGGCCCGUCGGCCCGCCAACCCGCGGGCUUAUAGGCCGGGUCGUGGGCCUAACAUUUUUCCAUGGCCCGGCCCGAGCUGGGCCGCGGGCCUCCUAUUUACGGCCCGGCCCGGCCCGUUGGAGACCCUUAAACUCAAGUCGGCAUAUUAUUUAUGCCAAUUAUAUUCGAUUCAACUCGAGUUGACUAGGUACUUAAUUAUAAAAGACAAAAAUAGUCAAUAUAAAAGACAAAAAUAAAAAAAUAAAAACAAAAUUAGUUGGUCCAUACAAGUGUACUUAAUUAUUUAAAUUUAUUCUCAUUCUCACAAAAAAAAAAUGGAAAAAAAAGAAGACACUAGUAGACAAAAUUGGGAUAGGUGAGAGAAUUUCUCAUUCCCACCCAUCUUAUUUAAUUUUUAUUUUUUAAAAUUUAAAUUAUAUUAGAACUCAAUAUAAUUUAUUCCCAUCUUAAUUAAUUUUUUAUUUUUAAAAUUUUAAAUUAUAUUAGAAAUCAAUAUAAUUUAUAAAUUUAUGCAUUAAAAAUGAACGAAACUAAAAAUAAUUAAAUUAAAUUAUUUUUAAAUUAUAUUUAUAAUCGAUGAGGUGAUGUCCACUCUCAAAUUUUUUUUUUUUUUUAAAAUAAAUUUGUUUCUAACUCUUCCUAAAUUCUUCUUAUUGCCAUGGAACAUGCAAACAUUCAAAUAUAGUGUUCUUUUACAUCUUAACAAAACUAUUAUAUAAUAAAAGAGUGAUAAAAUAAAAUAAAAAUUUUCCAUGAUGAUAAUAAUAAUAAUAAUAAUAANNNNNNNNNNNNNNNNNNNNNNNNNNNNNNNNNNNNNNNNNNNNNNNNNNNNNNNNNNNNNNNNNNNNNNNNNNNNNNNNNNNNNNNNNNNNNNNNNNNNAAGGUUAUGAUUGUUCCAAACAAUGAUGAAUUUUAGUAAUUUGAUUUUACAAAUAUAUCAAAAAAAAUCGAUGAGUAUUUUAAUAUAAGAUAUUGAUGGAUAAAAAAUUAAUCAAAACUCAUAAAAUUAUAAAUAAAUAAAAAAAGUAAAAAACUCUUAAAAAUGAAAUUAAAAAUAUAAUAAAUAUUUUUAAGUUAUUUUAUUAAAAAAAUUAAUACAUAAAUAAUAUAAUUUAUAAUAUUCAAUAAUAAUACUUAUAACUUAAAAACAUAUUUUAUAUACAUCAAUUUAAUUUAGAUAUAUUCAAUGACAUAAAAAAAAUGAUAAUAUAUGUAUAAGUAUUUUUUUAUUAAAAUGUUAAUAAUUUUAUUUAUUAAUUUAUAUUUAUUUUGUAUGUAGUUAUUAUAUAUAUAUAUAUAUAUAUAUAUAUAUAUAUAUAUAUAUAUAUAUAUAUAUAUACAUAUAUAAGUAUUAAAAAAUUAUUUUUUGAAUAUUAUAAAUAAUAAUUUUAACGUUAUAUAACAAACAUAUGUGAAUAAAAUAACAUAAGUUGAUUGGGUGGCAAGGCUUCCCCUUUCAAAUGUGAAGUCUGGGUUUCAACUUUCAAAGCGUUCCACCACGAUCUAAAUCAUGAUGGCCCACGAAAGGUACAGCGUGAAGAGUGGGGACAAAAAAGUCAAAACUAAUAUGGAAGCUUCUGAGCUGGGGCCCGCAAACCAGUUUUCAUCGUGGGUCCCAAACUCCAACUUAGUCUUCAAUAAUUUCCACAUGGAUGUUAAAAUUUUCGGGAUACCGAUAUUGACACUUCAUCCCUUUCCAAAAAAAUCUUUGAAGGGGGGUUAGGUCCGUUCAUAUGAGAAAUCCCUAUCCCUCUUCCAUCUUGCCUUAUCUCGUUUAAUAUUUUUUUUUAUUUAUAAUUUUAAUUAUAUUAUAAAUUUUUGUUAUUAUUAUUAUUUUUAUAAAAUGUAAUUUUCUUUUAUGUAUUUAUAAGGAGGGGAAAUAAGCGUUGAUUUGCUUGAAUUUGUAGGAGGUUUUAAAUUUUUUAAUCCUAUUUAUAUAUUAUUUAUGUCUCUCUAGCUAAUCUUAAAAAGGGGUGUAGUAAAAAACCCGAUAAAGGAUAUUUUUAUCAAGGUAGAUGUUGAAUGGUUUAAAUAUUGGGUAUGACUAAAUUGAAGUUAACAAACAAAUAACAUAAAUACAAGGGCUAAAUCAUAAAAAUAUACAUAGUGAGCCCACAAAAAAAGAAAAAAAUUAUGGAUUGAUAGUAAUAUCAUAAUAAUAAGACAUAAAUAAAUGGAUAAAUGAAUAAUAUUAUAAUAAUUAAUACAUUAAAAAAUGUGAUUUUUAUAAGAAACACUUGCAUUGAUAGUAUCUAAAUUUAACUAUUUGAUUUAUAAAUGAUUAUUUAUUUUUAAAAAUAAAUAAUUAUUUUUUAAAAUUUUGUAGUAUCAUUUAGCUAUUGUCAUUUCACAAUAGUUUUUUUUUUAAAAUAAUAGCUUCUCUGAAUGUCCUCAUUAAACAAACAUAUUUCAAAUCAAAUCAAACUUAACGCAUAUUUGUUAAUUUAAAAAAAUAAAAAAUCUAUGGAAUCAAUACUUGAAAGUCACAAUAUCCAAAUUAAUAUACUUAAUACUAAAAAAUCAUAAAUCAAAAUUUAUUGGAAACUGGAAAUACUUUCCUAAUUUCCCAUUUUUAAUAUAAUUUUAAUUUUUUUAUUUUUCUAUUAAGUAAGUAAACUCUAAAUCAAGUGAGGUUAGUGUAUUGGAUUCAUAAAAAAAUAAUUUUUAAAAAUAAUUAUAAACUUAAAUAUUAACCCAAUAGAUAAAAAAAAUCAAGAACAAAAAGAUUGUAUAUAUUUUUCUCAAUUUUCUCAUUAAAGUACGUCCAUUUUCUAAACUAAUUAAAAAAACUCUAUACUUUAAUAUUUUCUAAAAUAAAAUCAUCUUUAAAAAAGAGUUUAAAAACCAUUUUUUAAAAUUAUAAUGUCAAUCAUAUUUUAUAUAUGACCAUUCUUUAACAUUCAAAAACCAAAUCCCAAACUAUUUUUAUUAAUAAUGUAAACACCUGGGUUAUGUUUAGUUCCUCAAAAGUUUAAGGAAACUCAAGAAAGUUUGGAGGACAACACAUGGAAAAAAAUAGAAAGGAAUAUAGAUGGAAAGAAAAAAAAAAAAGAAUAGAUUUAAAGUCAAUAAAUUAUUUUUAUAUAUUAUUUUAUAUUAAUUUUUUAUAUAAAAAUUAAAUAAUUUUAAGAAAUAUGUAAUUUUCUUAUACAUUUUACUUUUCUUCACAUUUUUCAUAAUAAAAUCAAAUAUAAAAAAAUUAUUUUUCUUUUUUUCGUUUUUUCCUAAUACUUUCCAUGAAGUAACAUGACCCUAAGAGUUGAUUUGUUCUCAAGACUUUUUUUUUUCUUUUAUCCUAAUACUUUCCGCAAAGUAACAUGACCCUAACAGUUGAUUUGUUCUUAAGUCUUGACAACUAAUUUUCUUUAGAAAGCGAGAGGGGUUUUUUACUAUUCCACAAAGAAAAACAAAAAAAUCAACUACAUUUAUGAUUUUAAUGACCAUCCUUUGUGUUUACUUCCAUGGAAAGAAAAUAAAAAAUGGAUUUAUAGAAAGUGAAGGAAUACGUGAGGUGAAUGAUAUCAUCAAUCAUAAGCAAUAAUACUUAUGUAUUAUAAAAUUUAUAUUCAAACAUAAAUUUCAUAAAAAAAUCUAUUAAUUGUAAGUUAAGAAAUAAAGAAAGAAGAAACCAUCGAUGAAUGAGGUGACCAAUUCCGUGUAAAGCAUAUUUAACUUUUAAUAGUUAUGUAUUAUAAAAUUCAUAUCUAAAUAUUAAAUUUUAUCAAAAAUCGAUUAAUUGUAAGUGAAGAAAUAAGGAAAGAAAUCAUUGAUAAAGUAUAUGUAACCAAUACUACUUGUAAAGUUUAUAUUCACAUAUAAAUUUCAUUUUCACCACUCACGUGAUUUUUAAUAAUUAAUUGAUUAAAAUUGAUAUGCUAUACAAAUAGUGAAGUAGAAAUUGUUAAAAAAAAAAAUUAAUAAUUUUGUGGAAGGGUUAAAAGUGGGUUAAUUUUUUUUUUUUUUUUUUCAUUUUUUAAUAGUUCGAUGUAAUUUCUAACAACGAUCGUGGAAACUCCAAUGCCAUUUCGUUUGAGAGUAUCUUUCAUUGGUCCAAUGGACCGGAGGAACAAGUUGAAUAUAUCAUCGUAUAAAUAAAAGACAAACAUUUGGGGGAUUAACACAAGUAUCCAACCCAUUCCCACCAAUUCACAGUAGCUCCACGUUUCAUAAUCUGUCUCAAAUUCUUGAACUUCUUUAAAGAGCGUUGAAGGGUGUGAUGAGAUUUUUGGCUUUGUUUAGUCUUCUCUUUUCAGUACUGAUGUUUCCAGCAGCAGAGGCUAGAAUCAGAAGGUAUAGAUGGGAGGUGAAGUAUGAGUACAAGUCUCCUGAUUGCUUUCAGAAGAUGGUUAUCACCAUCAAUGGAGAAAGCCCCGGUCCAACAAUCCUGGCCGAAGAAGGAGACACCGUCAGUGUUGAGCUCACAAAUAGUUUGUUGACAGAAAAUGUUGCAAUCCACUGGCAUGGUAUCAGACAGGUAGAGCAAAGAUUAAUAUAUAAUGUUUUCUUUUUUCUUCCCCUUUCUGGGCUUAAUUUUGCAGUUCUGAUGGUUCAUCUUCUUGAUAAUUACAGAUUGGGACGCCGUGGUUUGAUGGAACGGAAGGGGUGACCCAGUGUCCAAUCCUGCCAGGAGAUACCUUCACAUAUGAGUAUAAAGUGGAUAGGGUAAGAUUGAUCAGUGGUCUUAAUCAAGAAAGUUGGAACCAGUACUACUUUCAAUUAUCUGAUGAUAUUAUUCUUUGGUUUAUGCAGCCUGGGACUUAUCUAUACCAUGCCCAUUACGGAAUGCAAAGAGAAGCUGGGCUGUAUGGAUCGAUUUGUGUGUCGGUUGCUCGUGGGAAGACUGAGCCCUUUUCCUAUGACCACGACCGGAGCAUCAUCCUCACUGACUGGUACCAUAAUACCACUUAUGAACAAGCCCUAGGCUUGUCCUCCAUUCCUUUUGACUGGGUCGGGGAGCCUCAGGUGAAUGCCAACUACUACUGCUUCCGCCAUAGCAUACUGGUUUGUUCUGCUCUUCAUCUUCUGACGCCUUUUUCUGUCUGUUAAUUUUUCAGUCCCUUCUCAUUCAAGGAAAAGGAAGAUACAACUGCUCCCUAGUUUCAAGUCCUUACGUCUGUAAUUCAACAAGUCCUCAGUGUUCUCCCUAUGUACUCACUGUAGUUCCGGGGAAAACAUAUCGCCUUCGGGUCUCCAGCUUGACUUCCCUGUCAGCUCUCAGUUUCCAAAUAGAGGUUGGUAUAAUUAAAAACUUCACCGUGGUUUCUUAUUCGUUGCUUCUACUUGGUCAAGUCACAUUCCACACAAAAAAGUCAGAACACUACAUAUUUAAGAACUCAUCUUUAGCUAUAUAAUUGUGUUUUAAAUAAGUAAAGUUUCUGUUAUGAAUAGUAUUAGAGUUAAUUCUUAACUUCAUUGUAUGAGUUUGAUUGGUCCCAUAAGUGAUGUUUAUAUGUUUGAUCCUAUGAUCUCAUGAAAUAUAAUGAGGAUGAUGUAUUUGUACAAUAAUAAUUGUAAUAUUCUAUAUCAGAUAUUGAAAAAGUUUUUAAUAUUAUAUAUAUAUAUAUAUAUAUAUAUAUAUAUGAACUUCUCUUAACCCCGUGGACUUUAAACAUGUGAGGGGGUUUUGGGUCCAAAAUGAAGAAUAUCUACACAUUUCAAAAUGGUUUAUCACAAAAACUGUGCAUGUUCUAAUACAGUUUUAAUUUAUAACACUGUAGGGUCACAACAUGACUGUAGUUGAAGCAGAUGGGCACUUUGUGGAACCCUUUGUGAUAAAAAACCUCUUCAUUUACUCAGGGGAGACCUAUUCAGUUCUGGUGAAGGCUGAUCAAGACCCUUCAAGAAAUUACUGGGUCACAACCAGUGUGGUCAGUAGAAACAACACUGUCACUCCUCUGGGCUUGGCCAUUUUAAAUUACUACCCCAACCAUCCCAAGAAGUCUCCUCCAACAGUCCCACCCGCUGGCCCUCUUUGGAACGACGUAGAGCCACGCAUCAACCAAAGUCGUGCCAUUAAAGCCCACCAUGACUAUGUUGUCCCCCCUCCUCUCACCUCAGACAGAGUAAUUCUGAUGCUCAAUACACAGAAUGAGAUCAAUGGUUACAGGAGGUGGUCUGUGAACAAUGUGUCCUUCAACCUCCCACACACACCCUACCUAAUUGCUCUAAAGGAGAAUAUAACUGGUGCCUUCGACCCAACCCCACCUCCAAAUGGUUAUGAUUUUGUAAACUAUGAUAUCCACAAUGUGUCGAAUAACACCAACGCUACAUCCAGCAACUCAAUUUAUAGGCUGCAGUUCAAUACAACAGUGGAUAUUAUACUGCAAAACGCAAACACCAUGAAGAAGAAUGACAGCGAGACGCACCCAUGGCAUCUCCACGGGCAUAAUUUUUGGGUACUGGGCUAUGGAAAAGGUAAGUUCGACAAUUUCAGUGAUCCAAUAAAGUACAAUCUGAUCGACCCAAUUAUGAAGAACACAGCACCUGUUCAUCCUUAUGGAUGGACUGCCUUAAGGUUUCGAUCUGAUAACCCAGGUACCUGGGCAUUCCAUUGCCAUAUAGAGUCUCAUUUCUAUUUGGGUAUGGGAGUUGUUUUUGAAGAAGGGGUGGAGAGGGUGGGAAAGCUGCCUUCAUCUAUCAUGGGUUGCGGUAAAGCCAAGGGUCUCGGCGGCAGGCCAUAAUAUGCAGGUAAGUUGAGCAUGAAAAAAGAAAAUAAGAUUAUCAAAUCUUUACAAACCUCUCUAGUUCAAAGCCCCAAACAUCUUGUAAUAACAAUAAUAAUUACUAUUACCUGUUUUUUAUACAUAGUAUCAAUGCUAUUUUUUAUUUUGAGGUGAAAUGCAUAGAAAAAAGAAAUAGUAUUAUGCAUAGAAAAAAGAAAAAAAAAAUCAUGGUUGGAAAUAGGGGUCUCCAACGGGCGGGCCGGGCCUAUGGGCCCGUUGACUGGUCAACGGGCCGGGCCGGGCCGGGCCAUGCUAAAAUGCUAGGCCCACGGCCCGGCUUAUGAGCCCGCGGGCUAGCGGGCUUUUUGAAAUAAGCCAAAAUGGCUUUCACAAAAGCCAAGAGAAGGGAGAGGAGGGGAUUGGAACCCCUCCCCUCAUAUUUAAACUUCAAGGUUCUAACAUGCUGAACUACAUUCUUUUUAUGUUUAUUAAUUGAGUUAGUUAUAUAUAUAUAUAAAUAAAGUAUAUUAUUUUUGUAGUUUUUUUUUAAAGGGGCGGGCCUAAGGACGGGCCUACGGGCCGGGCCGGCCCUCCGGGCCUAAAUUUAGGCCCGCGGCCCGGCCCGCCCAUAAACGGGGUCGGGCCGGGCCUAAAGCAGGCCGCGGGCCGCAGGCUUUUUGGAGACCCUUAGUUGGAAAGGUUAAGUAACAAAAGCCAUUGAAAUGACUACUAUCUAUUUAUUUAAGUUAAAUUAUAAGAAAAAAGAUUUUAAACCUUCAAGUCAAGUAAUAAAAUUUCUCUUCAGCUUCAUAUUGGAUGAAGGUUCAAACCAAAAACGCUCCGAUGAUCAAACCUAUCACUCAGAUUAGGUACAUAAAAAAAACUUCAAAACAUUAGAGAAAAUACAACAAUAAUAAAUUAACAUAAGUUUAUGUGGUAUGAUAUUAAAAAAACAACAUCCCCAAUAAAGUGGGAUAUCUCCAACAACCUUUUCAAAACUUUAGGCUGACGGAUAAGGACAGACAUUCAAUAAUUGAAAUAAAAAUGUGCAGAGGCAAGAAUUUAAGAUGUAUACCAAGAAGUUUAGGCUCACUAUGUAUAACAUGUUAGAAUUUCAUGAUUCCAUGAUGCAAUUAGGAAACUAGUAGUAUAAUCUAAGGUGGCAAAUUGCCAGUCCAUAAUGACAAAAUUGAAUCCUAGUUAGAUACCAAACUCAUCCCAUACAACAAAAAUGAGUCAUUCAGACUAAAGAUUAAACUGAAAUAUGAACAUCAUCUCCAUCAAAUCAUAUAUAUCCAAAUCUCUCAUCUCAAAACCAUCAAUUAUUAGUUAUUACCAGAGAAACAGAUUUGACAAUGUAUAAAACAUGUAGAUAAAUCAAGCCCAAAAAGGAAGGGUGCCAAUUCUGAAGAAAGAAUACCUCAUAUUCGAGUACAAGAUGAAUCAAAAUCAUCAGGAGCAACUCGAGCAAUCCAAUUGCUCAGCGUCCUCUUAAUAUCAGAAUGAUUAACAUAGGCCAACUCAUACAUGCUACACAAAUUAACCACAAGAGUCUCAUUCAGAGCUAUUGUAGGAACCCUUUCGAGGGCAUUCUCCAACACCUUGAUCGAAUCCGAUAAGUCCCUCAAAUACAUCAAGCACAGAGCUUUGUUAUUGAUAGCCACAACAUCCGAACCAUCCCUCUCAAUGCACUCCUCGUACUCCCUCACUGCAGACACAUAAUCUUUUCCCACUAAGUAAACCAGCGCCUUAUUCCGAUUCACAAGGUUCUUGAACUCAAUUUCGCUCAAUGAACCUAAUCUCUCUUCCUUACCCAUCUUCUCUACCAGUUCGAACGACGCCUUCGCCCCCUCCAAAUCCCCAAUCUGCAGCUGAAUGCAGCCGAGCUUCGACACCAGCGCCGGAUCAUCGCGGCAUCUGCCGCUCAGUAACUGCCUGAUCAAACUCACACACACACCAAAUUCCUUGUGACUCAAAUGGUGCCCGAUUAUCGAAUUCACCACAAAAACCUCCCUCCUCUUCCACACAUCCGCAGAAACCCCCAGCCCCCUCGACCCUUUCUCAUCCACCCUCGUCCGCGCAAAAUCGAGCAGCGUAUACAACCGAUCUAGGGUUUCCUGGCGCUUCCCCAAUUUCAACGGAAUCUCGGCAUGGAUCCACCGGAGAGCGAACGGAAUCAUGGAACCAGACCGGCCGGGGUACACAUCAGGGUGCGAUUCGUACUGGUAGAUGGAGUGAUCGAGAUCCUCCAGCGAUGCCAGCUCCUCCGAAACGUCGCCGUAUCGACGGAGCUUGAUGAGAGCCAGGACGUUGUAGGAGAAAUAGCAUAGGUGUUCGUGGGGCUUUUGGAGGAGAGAGAGCUUGCGGGCGCGAGAGACCUUGUCGAGAAUGGAACGCCAUGAGCCUCGAGUGGCGAGCUCUUGGAGAGACGAGAGCUCGUAGCAGAGGUCGUUGAGGGAGCCGAACGGGCUCGACAGUGGGUCGCUGGCGACAAAGCCAUCAGCGGCCGGAGUUGAAUCCUCCGACGGGGAAUCGGUGGCCAUGUUUCGUGAAUUGAAGAAUGGCUCGACUCAGCUUCACUGCUGUGGGAAUAGCUUGCGACGAUCAGAUCCGGCUGCUUUUAAUUAUUAUUAUUCUUUUUUACUUAUGAAUUUAUUUUUCAAAAUAUGUUUUAUACAUUAAUCACUCCUAAAUUUGUUUAAUAUGAUAUAAAAUUUUAAAAUUUACCCAAUAAUAUUUUAGGCUUAUAAAUGGCUGGUUUCAAGCCCAAUUCAACAUAAAUUGAGUAAUAACUAAACUUGAAGUGAUAGUUAAUAUUUUAUUUUUAUUUUUUUAGUUUUACAGUUUUUUAAGUCUUUAAUUAUAUUUUUAAUUUUUAAAAUUUUUUAUUUUAUUAAUCUUAAAUCAAUUAUCAUAUUAAAAUAAAUUUUCAAUUAAUAUUAUUAACUUGGCAAGAGGUCAUUUCAAAAAAUAAUUAUUUGAAUUAUAAAAAAAUUUAUAUAUUUUAAAAUAUUUUUAAAUGUAUGAAAAUAUAGGGUUGUUUUUGUUAUAUAUUAUUUUUAAAAGUCAAAACCUAUUUUUUUUUUCUUUGAAUUAAAUACAUCUAAUCAUCAUUCAUUUAAUAAAAUUUAAAGUUCAUGGUGGCUAAAUUUAUUUAGUUCAAGGAGGGUGAAAUUUACCAUUUUAAAUGGUAAUGCAUCAUUUCUAAUUUCAAGAAUCAUUACAUGUGGAUAAUACAAUAUAUGAUUAAAUAUGACAAAGUCAAAGAAAAAAGUGAGUAGGAUGCCAGUGCACAGAAGCUACUUGACCCAUAAGGUUAAGGGUACAUUAGCCACCCAAAAUGGGCUGAGUUUCUUAGUCUGGGUCAUUCUCCAUACCCACUUUGGGCCAAGUUCGACUAGGCCCAAAGUCGAUAUCCAGGUCGACUUACGACCCAAUCCUAUCUUGGUUUGGGCCUUGGCAAGGUCGGGUUAGGCUUGCUAUUUUUUUAUUUAUAAUGUAAAAAUGGUUCAAAUAUUCUCCGUGUUUCUAAUUUAUGUUCAUUACAUCUUUUGAAAAAAAAAAAUCAAAAUGCCAUAAAUUUGUUUUGAAAACAACCCAUUUUAAAAACAAAUUCUCCAAAAAUAAAAAAUUGUUUUAAGUAAAAGAUUUGUUGAACUUGUUUUAUAAGUUACAAAAGUUUUUUCUAUUUUAAAAAAUAAAAAGUUGUUUUAGUUUUCAAACAAACUCAUCAACCAAAUAAGAUGAAAUAUUAAAUAAAUAAAUAAAUUUAAAUUUAUUUUCUUUGUUUUUUUAAGCAAUGUUUUAAAAAUCAAACUGAUUAUUGAAACGAAAAAAUUAUGAUUUACUGUUCAAUGGUUGAACUAGUGGUUGAACGGUAAUAAAACCGAUAACAUCAUAAAUAUAUUAUUUAUAUAUUAUUAAAUUAAAAAUAAUUUUAAAAUUUUAAAAUAAACAUAUAAAUAAAUUAAAAAUCAAUAAUAUUUAUUUUUUAUCUUUUAUAUUAUUAAAUUAAAUAAUGCAUGACUAUAAAUGUAUUAAUAUACUAAAUUUUAUUAAAUGAGAUAUGUAUAAUAUUUUAAGUGGAUAUAUUAAAAAUCAAAGAAAAUCCAAUUAUUUAAUUUUAGCUAAUUUUAUAAUUUUUAAAAAUAUUAUAUUAUUGUUAUUCAAUAUUUUAAAUUUUUAUUUUAGAAAAGAAAUAUAUUGUUUUUUGUUUGCCUUACAGAGCAUCAAAACAUGUGUAGCCGGAUGGUGCCCCCAUGCCACUUCCUAAGCGCUUUUCAUUCACUGAUUUUCCCUUAACUUUAAGAUCAUAUUGUCCAUAAGAAAAAAAAAUAUGGGCUGGCAUUUUAAAAUGGGCCUGAUUGAAUAAAAAAAGAAAGGGUGGAAAUAUAGGGAGGGCCUUGGAAUUGGGCCCAUUUUGAAUUAAAAAAAAAAUAAUAAACGGUCAUUGGAUCGAGACUGUUCGGUUCUGCAUUGUGCGGAAUAAAAGAAUAUGGGCUGGCAUUUUAAAAUGGGCUUGGUUGAAUAAAAGAAGAAAGGGUGGCAAUAGAAGCUUGCCCUUGGAAUUGGGCCAUUUUGAAUAUAAAAAAAAUGGGUCAUUGGAUCGUUCGAUUUACCGGUUCGACCAGUUCUUGACCUGUUUCCAAAGGAGAGAAUCCAGACCGGAAAGAUUAUCAGAUGACAGUUGGACUAAAAUUAAAAUUUAAAACUAUUGUAUAUAUAUAUAUAUAUAAAAGAAAAAACUUGAGCGAAAAAAUAGAAUAUAAGAAAAUAGAAAAUAGGUUUAAAAUUAAUAAAUUAUUUUUAUGUUUAUUUAUUUUAAUACUUUUUAUAUAAAGAUUAAAUAAAUUUAAAAUAUAUAAUUUUUUAUUAAUUUUAAUUAUAUAUAAUUUUAAACAUAAUAAAAUUAUUUUUUAAUAUUUUUUAUUUUCUUAGUAUUUUUCAAGGAUAAAAAAUAACUUAUAGGAAACCGAUGAAACGUUAUUUAGUAUUUAUUUCUUUUAGAAAUUCAAACAGGAGGUUGGUUUUGAAUGGCCUACCUUCAAUUGGUCAAAGUUUGUAGAAGAAAUGACGCCCACGAACCACGUGCCUUGGUUUCUUAGUCAAGCUCUAACAAUAACAAAAAGUCAAAAAUAAUUAAUCAGUUCCAACUGUAACAUUCUUGGUUACUUCCGAGUUUCACAUAGUGGGAUUACUUUGAAAGUUCAAAGUCAAUCUAACAAAUUACAAGUCCGUCCACUGAUAUGGUAGGGGGACCCACACGUUUUCUAUUGACUAACAUUCUUUAAAAUAAUUCUUCAAAAUAUACAUCAUGUUUUGGAAUGUUUAAAAAAAUUUAAACAAUUUUUGAAAAACAAAACAAUUCUCAAUUAUUUUUUAAAAUAAAAUUUUAUUUUAAAAUUUAAAUUUAAAAGAUAGUUUUUUUAUUUAUUAUUCGGAAUUUACUAUCUAAUUAUAUAUAAUGUCAAAUAUUUUAAAGGGUUUUUCAUAUUUUUUAUUAUCAUUUAAAACAUUGUAAAAAAUAACUGAAAAAACUUACGUUAUGAUUGGUUUCGAAAGAUAUAAUGAAAAAAAAAAAAACACUAGAAAAGAAAUGGGUAAGUAUGUCUUUUCAAAAGAAUACUUCCAAGGUGUGGUUUAAAAGGUCAAUUUGCUUUGAAAGAAAAUUAAUUCCAACUUUGAAAAAAUCCAUUGGAUUAGAGUGAUUGAAGGAAAUAUAUCAUUUCAAUCCACAUCUGAUAAGACUUGGAAGACUGUUCUAUAAAAUGACUAAUUGUUUGGUGGCGAUUUUAAAAAAGUUUUUUUUUUUUUAGUUUUUUAAUAUUUAAAAUUUUUUAUUUUAAAAUAUUUUAAAAAAUUAUAAAUAUUUUCUAAAAUUACUAUCAAAUACAUUUUUAAUUUGAUUGAAGUGUUAAUGAAUCAAAUUUAAUUGAAGUAUAGUAUUUUAAAAUUAAAAAGAAAAGACAAGUUUAAUGCUUACACCAAAAUGAUUUUAAAAUCAUUUCUAAUUAAUCAAAAAGAAAAAUCAUCUAUAUUUAACUCACUUGCUUAAUCAUGCCAAAAUUAUUUUUUUUUAUAAGCUCCCAUAUGUAUUUAUAAAUUUUAUAUAUUUAAAAAUAUAAAAUCAUAAAAUAAGUUUGUAAAUAUAAAUAUUAUAUAGUUAAAAAAAUUAAAUAACCAAUAAAGUAAAAUUGUAUAUAUUUUGUUAAAAAAUUAAAAGUUAAUUUAUUUUUUAUUUUUUAUUUUUAAAAUAAAAUUUUUUAUAUAAAAGAUAAUAACUCUUACCAAAAGAACAAAAAUUCACCUUGUAUUCUUAAAACCAAUUUUUUUUUUUUUUUACUUCCUUAAGCUUUAAAUUUUUUUUGUAUAAUAAUUUCCAUCUUUUAUACAAGAUUUUCUAUUUUUUAAAAUAAAGGAGAUGUAUUUAAAUAUGUAUUAAAAUAAUAAAAGUUUUAAAAGUAAUUAAAAAUUAUUUUAAAAUAAAAUAUUUAUAAAUUAAAAAAAAUUAAAACAAGUUACUAACAAAUUUAAUGGGCUAUAGACUCAUGUCGACAUAUUAUUUGUGCCAAUUAUAUUCGAUUUAACUGGAGUUGACCAGGUCAACUAUCCAUGUACUUUGAAGGAGUCAAUGGUCAAUAUAAAAGACAAAAAAACAAAAUUAGUUGGUCCAUGUAAGUGUACUUAAUUAUUUAAAUUUAUUCUUAUUCUCACAAAAAACAAAAAAAAAAAAAGAAGAAAAAAAAGACACUAGUGGACAAAAUUGGGAUAGGUGAGAGAAUUUCUCAUCCCCACCCAUCUUAUUUAAUUUUUAUUUUUUAAAAUAUAAAUUAUAUUAGAACUCAGUAUAAUUUAUUCCCAUCUUAAUUAAUUUUUUAUUUUUAAAAAUUUACAUUAUAUUAGAAAUCAAUAUAAUUUAUAAAUUUAUGCAUUAAAAAUGAGCGAAACUAAAAAUAAUUAAAUUAAAUUAUUUUUAAAUUAUAUUUAUAAUUGAUGAGGUGAUAUCCACUCUCAAAUUUUAUUUUAUUUUUAAAUAAAUUUGUUUCUAACUCUUCCUAAAUUCUUCUUAUUGCCAAGGAACAUGCAAACAUUCAAAUAUAGUGUUCUUUUUCAUCUUAACAAAACUAUUAUAUAUUAAAAGAGUGAUAAAAUAAAAUAAAAAAUUUCCGUGAUAAAAAUAAUAAUAAUAAUAGUAACAUGUAAGAUGUUGUCCAUUAUAGUCGAAGUCAGUCGUUAUGGUUAUUUGCCUUCGUAUGAAGGUUAUGAUUGUCUCAAAUAAUAAUGAAUUUUGAUAAUUUGAUUUUACAGAUAUAUAAAAAAAAAAUAUAGAUGAGUAUUUUAAUAUAAGAUAUCGGUGAAUAAAAAAUUAACCAAAAAUCAUGAAAAUAUAAGAAAAAAGUCAAAAACUCUUAAAAAUUAAAUUAAAAGUAUAAUAAAUAUUUUAAAGUUGUUUUAUUGAAGAAAUUAAUAUAUAAAUAAUAUAAUUUAUAAUAUUCAAUAAUAAUACUUAUAACUUAAAAACAUAUUUUAUAUACAUCAAUUUAAUUUGGAUAUAUUCAAUGACAUAAAAAAAUGAUGAUACAUGUAUAAGUAUUUUUUUAUUAAAAUGUUAAUAAUUUUUUUUAUUAAUUUAUAUUUAUUUUGUAUGUAGUUAUUAACUUAUUAUACAAAAGACAUGAUAAUUAAAAUUAAUUUAUGAUAUAUAUAUAUAUACACGUAUUAAAAAAUUUAUUUUUUGAAUAUUAUAUAUAAUAAUUUUAACGUUAUAUAACAAACAUACGUGAAUAAAAUAACAUAAGUUGAUUGGGCGGCAAGGCUUUCCCUUUCAAAUGUGAAGUCUGGGUUUCAACUUUCAAACCCUUCCGCCACGAUCUAAAUUAUGAUGGCCCACAAAAGAUACAGCGUGAAGAGUGGGGAUAAAAAAGUCAAACUAAUAUAGAAGCUUCUGAGCUGGGGCCCGCAAACCAAUUUUCGUCGUGGCCCGUGGGUCCCAAACUCCAACUUAGUUGUUAUUAAUUUCCACAUGGAUGUUAACAAUUUCGGGAUACCGAUAUUGACGCUUCAUCCCUUUCCAAAAAAAUGUUUUGAAGGGGGUUAGGUGCGUUCAUAUGAGAAAUCCCUAUCCCUCUUCCAUCUUGCCUUAUCUCGUUUAAUAUUUAUUUUUUAUUUUUAUAAUUUUUAAUUAUAUUAUAAAAUUUUGUUAUUAUUAUUAUUAUUUUUAUAAAAUGUAAAUUUUUUUUUAUGUAUUAUAAGGAGGGGAAAUAAAAAUUAAAUCAAAUUAAUUAUUAUUAUUAUUUAACCAUGUAUAUAAUGAUAAGCGUUGAUUUGCUCGAAUUUGUAGGAGGUUUUAAGUUUUCCAAUCCUAUUUAUAUAUUAUUUAUGUCUCUCUAAUCUUAAAAAGGGAUGUAUUAAAAAACCCGAUAAAGGAUAUUUUUAUCAAGGUAGAUGUUGAAUGGUUUAAAUAUUGGGCAUGACUAAAUUGAAGUUAACAAACAAAUAACAUAAAUACAAGGGCUAAAUCAUAAAAAUAUACAUAGUGAGCCCCACAAAAAAAGAAUAAAUUAUGGAUUGAUAGUAAUAUCAUAAUAAUAAGACAUAAAUAAAUGGAUAAAUGAAUAAUAUUAUAAUAAUUAAUACGUUAAAAAAUGUGAUUUUUAUAAAAAAACACUCACAUUGAUAGUAUCUAAAUUUAACUAUUUGAUUUAUAAAUGAUUAUUUAUUUUUAAAAAUAAAUAAUUAUUUUUUAAAAUUUUGUAGUAUCAUUUAGCUAUUGUCAUUUCACAAUAAUUUUUUUUAAAACAAUAGCUUCUCUAAAUGUUCUCCUUAGACAAACAUAUUUCAAAUCAAAUCUAACGCAUAAUUGUUAAUUUAAAAAAAAAUAAAUAAAUAAAUCUAUGGAAUCAAUACUUGAAAGUCACAAAAUCCAAAAAUUAGUAUAAUUAAUACUAAAAAGUCAUAAAUUAAAAUUGAUUGAAAACCGGAAAUACUUUCCUAAUUUCCCAUUUUUAAUAUAAUUUUAAUUUUUUUUAUUUUUCUAUUAAGUAAGUAAACUCUAAAUCAAGUGAGGUUAGUGUAUUGGAUUUAUAAAAAAAUAAUUUUAAAAAAUAAUUAUAAACUUAAAUAUUAACCCAAUAGAUAAAAAAAAAAUCAAGAACAAAAAGAUUAUAUAUUUUUUUCUGAAUUUUCUCAUUAAAGUAGCUCCAUUUUCUAAACUAAUUAAAAAACUCUAUACUUUAAUAUUUUCUAAAAUAAAAUCAUCUUUAAAAAAGAAUUUAAAAACCAUUUUUUAAAAUUAUAAUGUCAAUCAUAUUUUAUAUACGACCAUUCUUUAAUAUUCAAAAACCAAAUCCCAAACUAUUUUUAUUAAUAAUGUAAACACCUAGGUUAUGUUUAGUUUCUCAAAAGUUUGAGGGAAAACCUGAGAAAGUUUGGAGGACAACACACGAAAAAAAAAAUAGAAAGGAAUAUAGAUGGAAAGAAAAAGUAAAAAAAAAAAAAAAGAUUUAAAGGUAAUAAAUUAUUUUUAUAUAUUAUUUCAUAUUAAUUUUUUAUAUAAAAAUUAAAUAAUUUUAAGAAAUAUGUAAUUUUCUUAUACAUUUUACUUUCCUUCACAUUUUUCAUAAUAAAAUCAAAUAUAAAAAAAUUAUUUUUCUUUUUUUUCCUAAUACUUUCCACGAAGUAACAUGGCCCUAAGAGUUCUCAAGACUUUUUUUUUUCUUUUGUCCUAAUACUUUCCACGAAGUAACAUGACCCUAACAGUUGAUUUGUUCUUGAUUUGUUCUUAAGUCUUGACAACUAAUUUUCUUUAGAAAGCGUGUGGGGUUUUUUACUAUUCCAGAAAGAAAAACAAAAAAAUCAACUUCACCUUUAUGAUUUUAAUGACCAUCCUUUAUGUUUACUUCCAUGGAAAGAAAAUAAAAAAUCGAUUUAUUGAAAGUGAAGGAAUACGUCAGGUGAAUGAUAUCAUCAAUCAUAAGCAAUAAUAUUUAUGUAUUAUAAAAUUUAUAUUCAAACAUAAAUUUCAUAAAAAAAUCUAUUAAUUGUAAGCUAAGAAAUAAAGAAAGAAGAAGCCAUCCAUGAAUGAGGUGAUCAAUUCCGUGGCAUAUUUAACUUCUAAUAAUUAUGUAUUAUAAAAUUCAUAUCUAAAUAUUAAAUUUUAUCAAAAAUCGAUUAAUUGUAAGUGAAGAAAUAAGGAAAGAAGUCAUUGAUAAAGUAUAUGUAACCAAUACUACUUGUAAAGUAUAUAUUCACAUAUAAAUUUCAAUUUCACCACUCACGUGAUUUUUAAUAAUUAAUUGAUUAAAAUUGAUAUGCUAUACAAAUAGUGAAGUAGAAAUUGUUAAAAAAAAAUUAAUAAUUUUGUGGAAGGGUUAGAAGUGGGUUAAAUUUUUUUUUUUUUCGCUUAGUUUCUAACACCUUUGACUAACUAUAUGUUGUAUUUAGUUCCAAAUAUUAAAACAACGAUCGUGGAAACUCCAAUGCAAUUUCGUUUUAGAGUAUCUUUCAUUGGUCAGAUGAACCGGAGGAACAAGUUAAAUAUAUCAUCGUAUAAAUCAAAGACAAACAUUUGGGGGAUUAACACAAGUAUCCAACCCAUCCCAACAAUUCGCAGUAGCUCCACGUUUCAUCAUCUGUCUCAAAUUCUCGAACUUCUUUAAAGAGCGUGGAAGGGUGUGAUGAGAUUUUUGGUUUUGUUUAGUCUUCUCUUUUCAGUACUGAUGUUUCCAGCAGCAGAGGCUAGAAUCAGAAGGUAUAGAUGGGAGGUGAAGUAUGAGUACAAGUCUCCUGAUUGCUUUCAGAAGAUGGUUAUCACCAUCAAUGGACAAAGCCCCGGUCCAACAAUCCUGGCAGAAGAAGGAGACACCGUCAUUGUUGAGCUCACAAAUAGUUUGUUGACAGAAAAUGUCGCAAUCCACUGGCAUGGUAUCAGACAGGUAGAGCAAAGAUUAAUAUAUAAUGUUUUCUUUUUUCUUCCCCUUUCUGGGCUUAAUUUUGCAGUUCUGAUGGUUCAUCUUCUUGAUGAUUACAGAUUGGGACGCCAUGGUUUGAUGGAACGGAAGGGGUGACCCAGUGUCCAAUCCUGCCAGGAGAUACCUUCACAUAUGAGUAUAAAGUGGAUAGGGUAAGAUUGAUCAGUGGUCUUAAUCAAGAAAGUUGGAACCAGUACUACUUUCAAUUAUCUGAUGAUAUUAUUCUUUGGUUUAUGCAGCCUGGGACUUAUCUAUACCAUGCCCAUUACGGAAUGCAAAGAGAAGCUGGGCUGUAUGGAUCGAUUCGUGUGUCGGUUGCUCGUGGGAAGACUGAGCCCUUUUCCUAUGACCACGACCGGAGCAUCAUCCUCACUGACUGGUACCAUAAUACCACUUAUGAACAAGCCCUGGGCUUGUCCUCCAAUCCUCUUGACUGGGUCGGCGAGCCUCAGGUGAAUGCCAACUACUACUGCUUCCGCCAUAGCAUUCUGGUUUGUUCUGCUAUUCAUCUUCUGAUGUCUUUUUCUGUCUGUUAAUUUUUCAGUCCCUUCUGAUUCAAGGAAAAGGAAGAUACAACUGCUCCCUAGUUUCAAGUCCUUACGUCUGUAAUGCAACAAGUCCUCAGUGUUCUCCCUAUGUACUCACUGUAGUUCCGGGGAAAACAUAUCGCCUUCGGGUCUCCAGCUUGACUUCCCUGUCAGCUCUCAGUUUCCAAAUAGAGGUUGGUAUAAUUAAAAACUUCACCGUGGUUUCUUAUUCCUUGCUUCUACUUGGUCAAGUCAUAUUCCACACAAAAAAGUCAAACACUACCUAUUUAAGAACUCAUCUUUAGCUAUAUAAUUGUGUUUUAAAUAUGUAAAGCUUUUGUUAUGAAUAAUAUUAGAGUUAAUUCUUAACUUCAUUGUAUGAGUUUGAUUGGUCCAUAAGUAAUGUUUAUAUGUUUGAUCUCAUGAUAUACAACGAGGAUGUUGUAUUUGUAUGAUAAUAAUUGUAAUAUUCUAUAUCAAAUGUGUAAAAAGUUCCUAAUAUUAUAUAUGUCUGAACUUCUACACAUGUGACGGGGAUUUGGGUCCAAAACAAAGAAUAUUUAUACAUUUCAAAAUGGUUUACUACAAAAACCGUGCAUGUUCUGAUACGGUUUUAAUUUCUAACGCUGCAGGGUCACAACAUGACUGUAGUUGAAGCAGAUGGGCACUUUGUGGAACCCUUUGUGAUAAAAAACCUCUUCAUUUACUCAGGGGAGACCUAUUCAGUUCUGGUGAAGGCUGAUCAAGACCCUUCAAGAAAUUACUGGGUCACAACCAGCGUGGUCAGUAGGAACAACACUGUCACUCCUCCGGGCUUGGCCAUUUUCAAUUACUACCCCAACCAUCCCAACAAGUCUCCUCCAACAGUCCCACCCGUUGGCCCUCUUUGGAACGACGUCGAGCCGCGCCUCAACCAAAGCCGUGCCAUUAAGGCUCACCAUGAUUAUAUUGUGCCCCCUCCCCACACCUCAGACAGAGUAAUCGUGUUUCUAAACACUCAAAAUAAGAUAAAUGGUUAUGUUAGGUGGUCUGUCAACAACAACUCCUUCAACUUGCCACACACCCCCUACCUAAUCGCUCUCAAAGAGAAUAUAACUGGAGCCUUCGACCCAACCCCACCUCCAAAUGGUUAUGAUUUUGUAAACUAUGAUAUCUACAAUGUGGCGAAUAACACCAACGCUACAUCCAGCAACUCAAUUUAUAGGCUGCAGUUCAAUACAACAGUGGAUAUUAUACUGCAAAACGCAAACACCAUGAAGAAGAAUGACAGCGAGACGCACCCAUGGCAUCUCCACGGGCAUAAUUUUUGGGUACUGGGAUAUGGAAAAGGUAAGUUCGACAAUUUCAGUGAUCCAAUAAAGUACAAUCUGAUCGACCCAAUUAUGAAGAACACAGCACCUGUUCAUCCUUAUGGAUGGACUGCCUUAAGGUUUCGAUCUGAUAACCCAGGUACCUGGGCAUUCCAUUGCCAUAUAGAGUCUCAUUUCUAUAUGGGUAUGGGAGUUGUUUUUGAAGAAGGGGUGGAGAGAGUGGGAAAGCUGCCUUCAUCUAUCAUGGGUUGCGGUAAAGCCAAGGGUCUCGGCGGCAGGCCAUAAUAUGCAGGUAAGUUGAGCAUGAAAAAGGAAAAUAAGAUUAUCAAAUCUUUACAAACCUCUCUAUUUCAAAGCCCCAAACAUCUUGUAAUAACAAUAAUAAUUACUAUUACCUGUUUUUUAUACUUAGUAUCAAUACUAUUUUUUAUUUCGAGGUGAAAUGCAUAGAAAAAAGAAAUAGUAUUUGUAGGGACCACUCCCCCCGAUGGCGCGUGACACACAUUUACUAAUGACACGUGGCACACAUUUCUAUCCGGAUUAUCCCCAUCUGGAUUUCCCCAAGAAGACACGUGGCGCGCUUCUCUUAUCCGGACUUCCUCAGGGAGAGGCACACGACACUCACAAACAUCACAUCUGGACGAUCGCCAUAUCACAUCCAAACGACCGACAUAUCCUAUCCGGAUAUGUUUUUAUCCGGAUCGUUGACUGAAGUAAGCAGGUCUUGCACGUCAUGUCAACAGCCUGCCACGACCCACGUUCCGCCACCUGCAGAGUGAAAGGACAGGAAUGAAGUGAUGACAAUCACUUCCCGCGAUCUCUGACAGCCGUGGCGCCUCCCACGAUCUCUGUCAGCCGCCCGUAGGGUGAUGAUGGCCCUGCCACCACCUAGAGGCAUCAUGACAAGCCAAAAUAUCUCCCUACCAUUAAAAAGAGAAACAAAGCUUCUAGACGCUAUAUAUAUGGACCUUCACACAAAGAGGAAGGUAAGAUAACUUGUUAUACCUAAUAAAAGACCAAUUGAUUAUUCUCUCUAACCAUGGCUGACAAAACCAUCGGAGGGUGUGUCCGGACGCCUUUUGUAGGAGCGACUGAACCAGGAAUCUAUAUUGGUUGAGAUCGCGUGUCCAUCCAUUUGGCAACUACGUGGAUCACAGGGACGCGAGGCUUCAACAGUAUUAUGCACAGGAAAAAAAAAAAAAUCAUGGUUGGAAAGGUUAGAGUAACAAAAGCCAUUGAAAUGACUACUAUCCAUUUAUUUAAGUUAAAUUAUAAGAAAAAAGAUUUUAAACCUUCAAGUCAAGUAAUUAAAUUUCUCUUUAGUUUCAUAUUGGAUGAAGAUUCAAACCAAAAACGCUCCAAUGAUCAAACCUAUCACCCAGAUUGGGUACAUAAAAAAAACUUCAAAACAUUAGAGAAAAUACAACAAUAAUAAAUUAACAUAAGUUUAUAUGGUAUGAUUUAAAACAACAACAUCCCCAAUAAAGUGGGAUAUCUCCAAACUUAAAGUUGGUCAAGACAAAAGGUUUAAUGUAUAUUUACAUUUUGCUGAAAUUUGAAUAAGAAGCAUACAACAAUUUUGUUCUAUUCUAUUCAAUGGAUAAUAACUUCAUUUAUUCAAGAUCUUCCUUCUUACCAUCUAUUCCUAAAGACUUUGAAUGCUUUUUUAGAUGCUAGUUUUUCAAUUUCAAUGAAUAAAUUGGGUGUUGGAGCUUUAGAAACUUCAUUCAACAACCUUUUUUUAAGAUUUAAAAAUCUAUAACUCUUAUUUGAGACUCAUGAUCUUAAAUUGAGAAUGAAAGGAACAAAAUCCUCUCUUUUUUUUCUUUCAUUCAAUUUUCUCAUAAAAUUACCAAAAACAAAACAAAAAUCAAUUCCACCAAACAAAGGGUUUUUAUAUUAAAAAAAAAAAACCUUAAAAUCUAUAUUUACAUAGACUUCAGAUAAAUGGAAUAAAAUAGAUUAAUAUUGGUUUGAUUUAAUCCAUUGUCAAUGAUCGAUCAUAAACUUGACAAAUCAUUCAUUUUUUUGGUACAUGAAAUAUAGGAUUUCACUAAGUUAAUUAUUAAAAAAAAUAAAAAAAUUCUUGGUUGUAAAAGAAUGAAAAAAGAAAGGAGAAAGUAAUGAAAAUAAAAUGAAGUUAAAAAAAAAAAUUGGAAUACAAUUAAUAGGAAACCUAAGAAAUAAAAGGUGUUCCACAAAUUAUGAUUAUGAGAGGGUAACUAAGUAAAGUUAAAAGUAAAUAAAAAAAUUAAUGAUUGGUUUCAUACACUUUCUUUUUUUUUAAAAAAAAAUAUUAAAUCUAAAAAUUCUUAUGAAAAAAAUAAUAACUUAUAUUAUGUUGUUAAAAAUUAUAUUUUUAAUUCGUUUUUUAAAAAACCAUUAUAUAUUUUGUAAAACUUAUUAUUAUUUUUGUUUCUAAACAUAGAAAAUAGCAUCCAAAUUAAAUUAAAUAAUUUCAUAUCAAAAAAAAAAUAUAUAUAUAUCAAAUUAUUCAAUCAUAUGAAAACAAUUUUACAAAGGAAAAAUAAGUUUUGUUCUAAAAAUAUUUAAAAAAAUCAAAAGAAUUAAAAUCUCAAUAGAAAAUUUUUCAUUAUUAAGGUAAAUUUUAUAUCAAAAUCUUAAUAUUUUUAAAACAAUGUUAUAAUUUUCUUAAUAAAAUUUAAAUUUGUUUAAAUAAAUAAUACAAUUGAGUGAUAAAACUUUUUAUUCAAUAAUUAUCUAUUAUAAAAUAAGUGUUAUUAUUAAUUCACCAUUAUUUAAUUAAAUAUAAAAUUUUAAAAGAUUUAAAUAUCUCAAAAUGAAUGAAAUCAUUAUUACAGUUAUAUAAAGUAAAAAAGUUUUAUGUAAUUUUAAAAAAAAAUCAAUUUAUUUAUUGAAUAAAUGAAAGAUAGGUUAUGAUAAAAAGAAAAAAUUAAUAAUAAAUAUAAGUAUUAAAUACGUUUUAUUUAUUUCUCACAACACAUUCAAAUAUGAUUUAAAAUAUUUCAAAUUUAUUAUGAAGAAAAAAAAAAGUGAAGGAGAGUUCUAACAAACCCUAAUUAUCCUCAUCUCAAUUCUAAAUCUGAAAUCGGAAAAAUACUUUGCGAUCAUCUCCUAACAUAACCAGACUUCUUUCCUAUAAAUAAAUCAUAAUCAGUUGUUUAAAUAUUCUUCUUGUUUCUAAUUUAUGUUCACUACAUCUUUGAAAAAAAAAAACAAAAAUGAAAUCAAAAUACCUUAAAUUUGUUUUGAAAACAACCCAUUUUUAAAACAAAUUCUCCAAAAAUAAAAAAAUAAAAAAAUAAAAAAAUAAAAAAAUGUUUUUAAUAAAAGAUUUGUCAACUUUGUUUUAUGAGUUACAAAAGUUUUUUCUGUUUUAAAAAAUAAAAAGUUGUUUUAGUUUUCAAACAAACUCAUCAACCAAAUAAGAUAAAAUAUUAAAUAAAUAAAUAAAUUUAAAUUUAUUUCCUUCGCUCUUUUAAGCAAUGUUUUAAAAAUCAGAUCAAUUAUUAAUACGAAAAAGUUAUGAUUUACUAUUAAAUGGUUGGACUACUGGUUGAACUGUAGUGGAACCGAUAACAUCAUAAAUAUAUAAUUUAUAUAUUAUUAAAUUAAAAAUAAUUAUACAAUUUUAAAAUAUACAUAUAAAUAAAUUAAAAAUCAAUAAUAUUUUUUUUAUCUUUUAUAUUAUCAAAUUAAAUAAUGCAUAAGUAUAAAUAUAUUAAUAUACUAAAUUUUAUUAAAUGAGAUAUGUAUAAUAUUUAAAGAGAAUAUAUUAAAAAUCAAAGAAAAUCCAAUUAUUUAAUUUUAGAUAAUUUUAUCAUUUAAAAAAAAUUAUAUUAUUGUUAUUCAAUAUUUUAAUUUUUUUUGUUUAGAAAAGAAAUAUAUUAUUUUUUGUUUGCUUGCAUAGCAUCGAGUGGUGCCCCCCAUGCCACUUCCUAAGCGCUUUUCACUCACUGAUUUUUCCCUUCAACUUUAAUAUCAUAUUGUCCAUAAGAAAAAAAAUAUGGCUGGCAUUUUGAAAUGGACCUGAUUGAAUAAAAAAAGAAAGGGUGGCAAUAUAGGGAGGGCCUUGGAAUUGGGCCCAUUUUGAAUUAGAAAAAAAAACAAAAAAAACGGUCAUUGGACCCAGACUGUUCGGUUCUGCAUUGUGCGGAAGAAAAAAUUAUGGGCUGGCAUUUUAAAAUGGGCCUGGUUGAAUAAAAGAAGAAAGGGUGGCAAUAUAAGCUGGCCAUUGGAAUUGGGCCAUUUUGAAUAUAAAAAAAAUGGGUCAGUUUGGUUUACUCGGUUUACCGGUUCGACCAGUUCUUGACUGGUUUCCAAACGAGAAAAUCCAGAUCGGAUGACAGUUGGACCAAAAUUAAAAUUUAAAACUAUUUUAUAUAUAUAUAUAUAUUAAAGAAAAAAAUUGAGAGAAAAAAUAGAAGAUAAAAAAUAUAUAAGAAAAUAGAAAAUAGAAAAUAAGUUUAAAAUUAAUAAAUUAUUUUUAUGUUUAUUUAUUUUUAUAUUUUUCAUAUAAAGAUUAAAUAAAUUUAAAAUACAUAAAUUUUUUAUUAAUUUUAAUUAUAUUUAAUUUUAAACACAAUAAAAUUAUUUUUAAAUAAUUUUUAUUUUCUUAAUAUUUUUCAAGAAUAAAAAAUAACUUAUAGGAAACCGAUGAAACGUUAUUGAGUAUUUAUUUCUUUUAGAAAUUCAAACAUGAAGUUGGUUUUGAAUGGUCAUCCGUGAAUUGGUCAAAGUUUGUAGAAGAAAUGACGCCCACGGACCACGUGCCUUGGUUUCUUAGUCAAGCUCUAAUAAUAACAAAAAGUCAAAAAUCAAUCAGUAACAUUCUUGGUUACUUCCAAGUUUCAAUUAUAGUGGGAUUACUUUGAAAGUUCAAAGUCUCUUACAAAUUACGACUCCGUCCCGUGAAUACAUCAUGUUUUGAAAUGUUUCAAAAUUUUAUUUUUUAAACAAUUUUUGAAAAACAAAACAAUUCUUAAUUAUUUUUUAAAAUUUAAAUAUAAAAGAUAGUUUUUUUUUUUUAUUUAUACUUCAAAAAUAUACUAUCUAAUUAUAUAUAAUGUCAAAUAUUUUAAAGGAUUUUUCAUAGUGUUAAUUAUCAUUUAAAACAUUGUAAAACAUAAUUAAAAAAAAACUUAGGUUAUGGUUGGUUUCGGAAAAUAUAAUAAAAAAGAAAUAGAAAAGAAAUGGGUAAGUAUGUCUUUUUAAAAGAAUACUUUGAAAGGUGGGUUUAAAAGAUUAAUUUGCCUUAAAAGAAAAAUAAUUCCAAUUUUCAUUGGAUUAGAGCAAUUCAAGGACAUAUAUCAUUACAAUCUAUAUGUUUGAUAAGACUUGGAAGAUUGUUUUAUAAAUGAUUAAUUUUCAUAAUAUUUAAAAUUUAUUUGAUGAUGAUUUAAAAAAAAUGUUUUUAACGUUUUUUAAUACUUGAAAUUUUUUAUUUUUUAAGUAUUAAAAAGACUAUAAAUAUUUUUUUAAAAUUUCUAUCAAACAUAUUUUUAAUUUCAUUGAACUCAAAGUUAACUUCAUGUGUUAAUGGAUCAAAUUUAAUUGAAGUAUUGAAUUUUAAAAUUAAAAAGAAAAGACAAUUUUAAUUCUUACACCAAAAUAAUUUUAAAAUCAUUUCUAAUUAAUGAAAAAAGAAAAUUCAUUUAUAUUUAGCUCACUUGCUUAAUCCUGUCAAAAUGAUUUUUUUAUAAGCUCCCAUAUGUAUUUAUAAAUUUUAUAUAUUUAAAAAUAUAAAAUCAUAAAAUACGUUUGUAAAUAUAAAUAUUAUAUAGUUAAAAAAAUUAAAUAACCAAUAAAGUAAAAUUUUAUAUAAUUUGUUAAAAAAUUAAAAUUUAAUUUAUUUUUUAUUACUUUUAUUUUCAAAAUAAAAUUUUUAUAUAAAAUAUAAUAACUCUUACCAAAAAAACAAAAAUUCACCUUGUAUUCUUAAAACCAAUUUUUUUCUACUUCCUUAAGCUUUAAAUUUUUUGUUUAUAUUAAUUUCCAUCUUUUAUACAAGAUUUUCUAUUUUUAAAAAUAAAGGAGAUGUAUUUAAAUAUGUAUUAAAAAAAAGUAAUUAAAAAUUAUUUUAAAAUAAAAUAUUUAUAAAUUAAAAAAAUUAAAACAAGUUAUUAACAAAUUUAAUGGCCUAUAGACUCAUUUCGACAUAUUAUUUGUGCCAAUUAUAUUCAAUUUAACUUGAGUUGACCAGGUCAACUAUCCAUGUACUUUGAAGGAGUCAAUGGUCAAUAUAAAAGACAAAAAACAAAAUUAGUUGGUCCAUAUAAGUGUACUCAAUUAUUUAAAUUUAUUCUCAUUCUCACAAAAAAAAAAAGACACUAGUGGACAAAAUUGGGAUAGGUGAGAGAAUUUCUCAUCCCCAACCAUCUUAUUUAAUUUUUAUUUUUAAAAAUUUAAAUUAUAUUAGAACUCAAUAUAAUUUAUUCCCAUCUUAUUUAAUUUUUUAUUUUUAAACAUUUAAAUUAUAUUAGAAAUCAAUAUAAUUUAUAAAUUUAUGCAUUAAAAAUGAACAAAACUAAAAAUAAUUAAAUUAAAUUAUUUUAAAUUAUAUUUAUAAUCGAUGGGGUGAUAUUCAAUCUCAAUUUUUUUUAAAAAUAAAAUAAAAUAAAUUUGUUUCUAACUCUCCCUAAAUUCUUCGUAUCUUCAAGGAACAUACAAACAUUCAAAAAUAGCUUCUCUAAACGUUCUCAUUAGACAAACAUAUUUCAAAUAAAAUAUAAUUGAAUGCAUAUUUGUUAAUUUAAAAAAACAAAUAAAUAAAAAAAUCUAUGAAAUCAAUAUUGGAAAGUCACAAUAUCCAAAAAUCAAUAUAAUUAAUACUAAAAAGUCAUAAAUCAAAAUUGAUUGGAAACCGGAAAGACUUUCCUUAUUUUCCAUUUUUAAUAUAAUUUUAAUUUUUUUAAUAUUUCUAUUAAAUAAGUAAACUCUAAAUCAAGUAAGGUUAGUGUAUUGGAUUCAUAAAAAAUAAUUUUUAAAAAUAAUUAUAAACUUAAAUAUUAACCCAAUAGAUUAAAAAAAUUAGGAGCAAAAAAAUUAUAUUUUUUUUUUUCCGAAUUUUCUCAUUAAAGUAGCUCCAUUUUCUAAACUAAUUAAAAAUUUCUAUACUUUAAUAUUUUCUAAAAUAAAAUCAUCUUUAAAAAAGAAUUUAAAAACUAUUUUUUAAAAUUAUAAUAUCAAUCAUAUUUUAUAUACCACCAUUCUUUAAAAUCGCUUUUAUCACUCCAUUGGGAAAAUGUAAGAAAAAAAAAUAUAGAUGAAAAGAAAAGGUAAAGAAAAAUAAGAAAUAUAUUUAAAGUUAAUAAAUUAUUUUUUAUAUAUUAAAAUUUUUAUAUAAAAAUUAAAUAAUUUUUAAAAAAAUAUGUAAUUUUCUUAUACAUUUUACUCUCCUCCAUAUUUUUCAUAAUAAAAUUAAAUAUAAAAAAAUUAUUUUCCUUUUUUUUUUUUAAGUACUUUCCGGGAAAUAAUACGACCCUAGGAGUUAUUUGUUAUAAGACUUAUUUUAUUUUUAUUGUUUCCUAAUACUUUUCGUAAAGUAACAUGAACUUGAUUUGUUCUCAAGUUUUGACAACUAAUUUUCUUUGAAAAACGUGUCAGGGGAAAUUCUUGGCAAUUCGGCGCUUUUUACUAUUCCAUAAAGAAAAACAAAAAAAUCAAUUUGACGUUUAUGAUUUUAAUGACCAUCCUUUGUGUUUAGUUCAUGGAAAGAAAAUAAAAAAUGAUUUAUUAAAAGUGAAAGGAAUACGACUGGUGAAUGAUAUCAUCAAUCAUAAGCAAUAGUACUUAUGUAUUAUAAAAUUUAUAUUCAAACAUAAAUUUUAUAAAAAAAUCUAUUAAUUAUAGGCGAAGAAAUAAAGAAAGAAGUCGUCAUUGAUAAAGAGGUGAUAACCAUCUUCCGGAAUCAAUCAGGAGACUUGUAGAAAUUCACAGUAACUCCACGUUUCAUAAUCUGUCUCAAAUUCUCAAGUUCUCUAAAGAACGUUGAAGAUGAUAAAGAGGUGAUAACCAUCUUCUGGAAGCAAUCAGGAGACUUGUAGAAAUUCGCAGUAACUCCACGUUUCAUAAUCUGUCUCAAAUUCUCAAGUUCUUUAAAGAACGUUGAAGAUGGGUGAGAUGAGAUUUUUGGCUCUGUUUAUUCUUCUCUUUUGAGUACUGAUUUUUCAAGCAGCAGAGGCUAGAAUCAGAAGGUAUAAUUGGGAGGUGAAGUUGAGUACAAGUCUCCUGAUUGCUUCCAGAAGAUGGUUAUUGCCAUCAAUGGACAAAGCCCCGGUCCAACAAUCCUGGCCGAAGAAGGAGACACCGUCAUUGUUGAGCUCACAAAUGGUUUGUUGACAGGAAAUGUCGCAAUCCACUGGCAUGGUAUGAGACAUGUAGAGCAAAGAUUAAUAUAUAAUGUUUUCUUUUUUCUUCCCCUUUCUGGGCUUAAUUUUGCAGCUCUGAUGGUUCAUCUUCUUGAUAAUUACAGAUUGGGACGCCAUGGUUUGAUGAAACGGAAGGGGUGACCCAGUGUCCAAUCCUGCCAGGAGAUACCUUCACAUAUGAGUAUAAAAUGGAUAGGGUAAGAUUGAUCCGUGGUCUUAAUCAAGAAAGUUGGAACCAGUACUACUUUCAAUUAUCUGAUGAUAUUAUUCUUUGGUGUAUGCAGCCUGGGACUUAUCUAUACCAUGCUCAUUACGGAAUGCAAAGAGAAGCUGGGCUGUAUGGAUAGAUUCGUGUGUCGGUUACUUGUGGGAAGACUGAGCCCUUUUCCUAUGACCACGACCGGAGCAUCAUCCUCACUGACUGGUACCAUAAUACCACUUAUGAACAAGCCCUGGGCUUGUCCCCCAUUCCUUUUGACUGGGUCGGGGAGCCUCAGGUGAAUGCCAACCACUACUGCUUCCGCCAUAGCAUUCUGGUUUGUUCUGCUCUUCAUCUUCUGAUGUCUUUUUCUGUCUGUUAAUUUUUCAGUCCCUUCUCAUUCAAGGAAAAGGAAGAUACAACUGCUCCCUAGUUUCAAGUCCUUACGUCUGUAAUGCAACAAGUCCUCAGUGUUCUCCCUAUGUACUCACUGUAGUCCGGGGAAAACAUAUCGCCUUCGGGUCUCCAGCUUGACUUCCCUGUGAGCUCUCAGUUUCCAAAUAGAGGUUGGUAUAAUUAAAAACUUCACCGUGGUUUCUUAUUCCUUGCUUCUACUUGGUCAAGUCAUAUUCCAUACGAACUUUUCUUAGCCAUAUGGAAGAGUUUUAAACAUAUGAGGGGAUUUUGAGUCCAAAUUGAAGAAUAUCUACCCAUUUCAAAAUGGUUUAUUACAAAAACUAUGCAUGUUCUGAUACGGUUUUAAUUUAUAACGCUGCAGGUUCACGACAUGACUGUAGUUGAAGCAGAUGGGCACUUUGUGGAACCCUUUGUGAUAAAAAAACCUCUUCAGUUACUCAGGGGAGACCUAUUCAGUUCUGGUGAAGGCUGAUCAAGACCCUUCAAGAAAUUACUGGGUCACAAUCAGUGUGGUCAGUAGGAACAACACUGUCACUCCUCCGGGCUUGGCCAUCUUCAAUUACUACCCCAACCAUCCCAAGAAGUCUCCUCCAACGAUCCCACCCGCUGGCUCUCUUUGGAAUGACGUCGAGCCGCGCCUCAACCAAAGCCGUGCCAUUAAGGCUCACCAUGAUUAUAUUGUGCCCCCUCCCCACACCUCAGGCAGAGUAAUCGUGUUUCUAAACACUCAAAAUAAGAUAAAUGGUUAUGUUAGGUGGUCUGUCAACAACGGCUCCUUUAACUUCCCGCACACCCCCUACCUAAUCGCUCUCAAAGAGAAUAUAACUGGAGCCUUCGACCCAACCCCACAUCCAAAUGGUUAUGAUUUUGUAAACUAUGAUAUCUACAAUGUGGCGAAUAACACCAACGCUACAUCCAGCAACUCAAUUUAUAGGCUGCAGUUCAAUACAACAGUGGAUAUUAUACUGCAAAACGCAAACACCGUGAAUACGAAUAAUAGCGAGACGCACCCAUGGCAUCUCCACGGGCAUAAUUUUUGGGUACUGGGCUAUGGAGAAGGUAAGUGAUCCAAUAAAGUACAAUCUGAUCGACCCAAUUAUGAAGAACACAGCACCUGUUCAUCCUUAUGGAUGGACUGCCUUAAGGUUUCGAUCUGAUAACCCAGGUACCUGGGCAUUCCAUUGCCAUAUAGAGUCUCAUUUCUAUUUGGGUAUGGGAGUUGUUUUGAAGAAGGGGUGGAGAGGGUGGGAAAGCUGCCUUCAUCUAUAAUGGGUUGCGGUAAAGCCAAGGGUCUCCGCCGGUAGUAUCACUACAUGGAGGUAGGUUUAUGGCCACGGCCAGCAGCCCCGGCUAAAAGUAAGACACAAUGCUGAGGCCAGGCGAAUCUAUGGGCAUUGAACAAGCGAAUCUAUCCAUUAAUUUAUAAAUUGAUUUGUUGGUUUCUCAAGAUGCAUAUGGUCCAAGUUGGUCAAAGAGGUGGGUACGUGGGCAUUUAAACACAGUAUCACAUUUAAAACACUAGCAUUUGGGAAUUUCAUAGAAGCUUUUGAUAUCGUAAGAACAAGAGAGAAAGCCAAACUCAAAUCAAUAUGAACAACCAAGUUAAAAAUGUAGCCAGUCAUUUGGUGGUAAAGUCUGAUUACUGAACCACUCCAGCUCUGCAUAGGCUCAGGCUUAUUCAUAGAUGAAACAUAACGGAUAACGUUUUUCAGCAAUGGUAGAAUAUGUUUGGCAAUGAAGUUCUCCUGGAAAAGUCCACCUGAAAAGCCAAAGUUGAAAAUUACCUUUUAAAGCUGCACAUAACAUUUCCAGAAAAAACACCAAUCCCACACCCAAAGAACUGAAAAUACCUACCCUAACCAGCACAUGAGAUAUGGACCAAUUGUACAUUCUUCCACUUUGCAGAAGUUCAUAACCUGGGUCCAUUUCCUCACGGCCCAUACAUUUGGAUGUGAGAGAGGGGCAAAGGAAAACCACAAGAAGAAACUCCUCCGGAAACAGAGCAUAACAGAAAACAAAUAACAAGAUCAACAAAUGAGGCUUCACUUCAUGGGUUAUCAGUGAGCCUGCUAACUAGAAGGGCAAGACCAAAUCAAAUGUAAGCAUGUACGAUAUUCCCAAGCAUCUCACACUAGAGGCAAAACAGAGCAAGAUUCAUCAUCUAUUGAAACUAAAGGGAAUAACAGAGAAAGCAGUAACAACAAGCUCACAUCCAUCCCAAAGAUCAAUAGAAAGAUCAAGAAUAGAGCCUAUUAAACCAGAUCUAAACAAAGUGAGAACCAACAGGGAGGAAAUCAAAAGAUGGAGAAAACAGAAAGUAAUAAAAUAUUUCAUUUUGAUCUUUUCCAAUUCGUUAAAUUACCUCCAUUGUCUAAACUAAAUAAAUAAAUUCUAUACUUCAAUAUUUUCUUUUAAGUCAAACAUAUUUUAUAUUCCCCCAUUCUUUAAAACCAUUUUUGGGAAUUACUAUGUUAUUUCGUUUUAAAAUACCCUCCAUUGUUCUGAAAUUGACUGGGCAAAGCGUAUGGUUGCAUAAAUAAGAGACAAACAUUUGGGGGAUUAGUACAAGCAUACAACCCAUUCCCACAAUUCGCAGUAGCUCCACGUUUCAUAAUCUGUCUCAAAUUCUCAAGUUCUCUAGAGAACGUUGAAGAUGGGUGUGAUGAGAUUUUAUUAGUUAUUAGAAUCCAGAUAUAGGAACUUGUAUUGAUUGGAUACGGAAAGAGAAGACUACUUAUUUUUUUUGUGCUUUGCUAGGUAAGGUAUACCAAGAAAAAAAACCUAUUUAACAAUGUUGAGAAUGUUUACAGUUUAUAAUGAAACUUAGCAAAGAUUUUCGUUUUUCAAACCCUGGUUUGUACCCAGGUCGUUCUAUAUCCAUGUGACUUACUAUUAGAUUAGAUUUCUAUUAGAUUUGAUUUGGGUUGGAGUUUUUUAUUUUUAACUGGGCUCAUGUCAUGAUUUUGACUCCAAAAAUUCACCAGGAUUAGGUAGGUAUACCAAAGCCAAAGAAAAGAAAUAUCACUAACUCUUUGAUUGUGGACAGGAAAAUUCAUAUGUAAUUUACUUACAAAGAUUAAUGAAGAAAAAACAAAAUGAAGAAAAAUUUGUUUGUUUAUCCGAGACUGGAAAAAUACCGAGUGGAUCCAUUGAAAUGCGUUUUUUGUUUUUCAUUUUUUUAUUUUAUAGGGCUUAUUUAUUAUAUUAGGGCUAUACGGACUCGAACCGUAGACCUUCUCGGUAAAACAGAUCAAACUGAUUAUUAUCAAAAUGAUUUGAACUGUUUCAAAGACCCAACAUGCAUUUUUUUUGCAUUGGGCUCUUUCAUUAACUGAUAUAAAUAUCAGUUAGUCCACCAUAUUUUUUCUUAACAGAAAGAUAAAGAGAUGGCUCCAUGUGCUCUGAUUCAUUAUUUUGAUUCUGAUCCAGGAGCACUACCAAAGUUUUUCAAAGAGGGUUAUCUUGACGUAGGUCUGCCUUUGGCCUAGAUCAACUUAAGUUAAAUGGAGUCUCUAUCGUUCUGAUUAAAGAAUCAAAUAUGAAACUUCAUACACCUUAAAGUUCAUAGGACGAAAAGAGAUUUUUUUUGAGGUCCUUAUACUCAUUAGGCCUAGCAUUGAAUAGACUGGGUAUUCACCUUAUCAAUAUCUCAAAAUGAUGGGUUCUAUUUGGCGCUUAAAUUAAAUGGGCACCCAAAUCGGACCGAAUCGUUUGUCAGGCUAUUGUUCUCUUGUUCCCUCAAAGUCAUGGAGUAAGACAUCGAUUUCUCAAUAAGAUCAAUGCAUGAUGGACUCUCUUGAAAAACAUUGGCGCGCGUGUAAACGAGGUGCUCUACCUAACUGAGCUAUAACCCUUGUACUUGUGAUACAUAUUUUAUCAUGUAGAUAAUUUAUUGUCAAGAUGAAUAUUCCAUGAUCCAACAUGAUAACUCUUUGAUCUGUUUGAUUGGUAUUGCUUAUAAAUAAUAUUCUAUUUAUAAUCCAUCGAUGUGAUGGGUUCCAUUUGUUUCUCCUUAGGAUGAUAAAUGACCUACUUAACUCAGUGGUUAGAGUAUUGCUUUCAUACGGCGGGAGUCAUUGGUUCAAAUCCAAUAGUAGGUAGAACUUAUUAGAUACCAGAGUCAAUGGUAUCUAAUAAGUUUUCUACCCACCUUCUUUUAUUGAUUUUGUAUCUUUUCCAUCCUAUUCUAUUUGCUUUUUGGCUUUAAAAUGCAAUUUUAUUUUUCGUUGCAUCAGAAUCCCAUUCCAUUUGAUUGUAUUUGAUUGUAUUCAAUCGGCAGAAUCAAAAUAGGGUGUAUAAACAGAACUUCUUUUGAUUUUUCGGGCACAUGACUAGUUACGAAGUCACAUUGAUAGCCUCUACUCGUGUCCUAGCUCGUCUAAGAGCUAGAUUUGCCUCAAUUAUUUGUCUCUUGCCUUCAGCUUUCCUCAAGUUAGCUUCCGCUAUUUCAAGAGUUAGCUUCCGCUAAACUUAUGAACAUCAUUCAUAAGUUUCUUUAUUUAUUUUCAGUUUCUUGUAAUCAUCGUAAUUUUUUUUAAUAUAAUAUGUUAUCAUAUCCAUCAACAUAUGUUUAACAAAUGUCAAAAUUUUCUCUAUUUAUUAAGUAAAGACUGGUGUAUUUUUUCAAGUUCAAUGUAAUGUCUAAUAUUUUUGAGUAACUAAUUUAAUUAAUUGGUGAAUCUAUUAUCCAUCUCAAUUAGCAUAUUCAUUUUUGGAUUUUUUUUUAUAGGAGUUAUUUAGGAUUUUUUUUUUAAUGUUUUUCAAUUUUCAAACAAACAAUUUUCACGUAAAGCAUUUUGUUUUUUUGUAUUUAGUUGCCAAUAUUGAAUGUAAAAAAUGUGCUUUGAAGUCAACGAUUUUGGGAAUUACUAUGUUGUUUCGUUUUAGAAGAUCCUGCAGUGUCCUCAAAUUGACUGGGCAAAGCGUAUGAUUGCAUAAAUAAGAGACAAACAUUUGGGGGAUUAAUACAAGCAUACAAUCCAUUCCCACAAUUCGCAGUAGCUCCACGUUUCAUAAUCUGUCUCAAAUUCUCAAGUUCUCUAAAGAACGUUGAAGAUGGGUGUGAUGAGAUUUUUGGCUCUGUUUAUUCUUCUCUUUUCAGUACUGAUUUUUCAAGUAGCAGAGGCUAGAAUCAGAAGGUAUAAAUGGGAGGUGAAGUAUGAGUACAAGUCUCCUGAUUGCUUCCAGAAGAUGGUUAUUACCAUCAAUGGACAAAGCCCCGGCCCAACAAUCCUGGCCGAAGAAGGAGACACCGUUAUUGUUGAACUCACAAAUGGUUUGUUGACAGAAAAUGUCGCAAUCCACUGGCACGGUAUCAGACAGGUAGAAAAAAAUAUUAAUAUAUAAUGUCUUCUUUUGUCUUCCCUUUCUGUGCUUAAUUUUGCAGUUCUGAUUGUUUAUCUUCUUGAUUACAGAUUGGGACGCCAUGGUUUGAUGGAACAGAAGGGGUUACCCAGUGUCCAAUCCUGCCUGGAGAGACCUUCACAUAUGAGUAUAAAGUAGAUAGGGUAAGAUUAAUCAGUGGCCUUAACUAAGCCUCUUCCCAACAAGCUUCAUCUCCAGAAAGUUGGAACCAGCACUGUCAAUUAUCUGAUUAUAUUAUUCUCUGGUGUAUACAGCCUGGGACUUAUCUAUACCAUGCCCAUUACGGAAUGCAAAGAGAAGCUGGGCUGUAUGGAUCGAUUCGUGUGUCGGUUGCUCGAGGGAAGACUGAACCCUUUUCCUAUGACUACGACCGGAGCAUCAUCCUCUCUGACUGGUACCAUAAUACCACUUAUGAACAAGUCCUGGGCUUGUCCUCCAUACCUUUUGACUGGAUCGGGGAGCCUCAGGUGAAUACCAACUCCUAAUACUGCUUCCGCCAUGGCAUUCUGGUUUGUUAUGCUCUUCAUCUUCUGAUGUCUUUUCCUCUCUGUCUGCUAAUUUUUCAGUCACUUCUGAUUCAAGGAAAAGGAAGAUACAACUGCUCUCUAGUUUCAAGUCCUUAUGUCUGUAAUGCAACAAGUCCUCAGUGUUCUCCCUAUGUACUCACUGUAGUUCCGGGGAAAACAUAUCGCCUUCGGGUCUCCAGCUUGACUUCCCUGUCAGCUCUCAGUUUCCAAAUAGAGGUUGGUAUAAUUAAUAAAUUCACCGCGGUUUCUUAUUCCUUGCUUCUACUUGUUCAAGUGAUAUUCCUCACAAAAAUAUUGUAACAAUACAUUUUUAAGAGCCCAUCUUAAAUAUAUAAAUACUUUUUAAAGAUUUGGGUUCAAAACAAAACAAUAUCCACAUGCUUGGAGACUAAUUCUCAACUUUGGUGGAGGGGUUUGUUUGAUCUCAUAUGGAGUGUCUAUUUGUUUGAUCCUGUCAUCCAUGAGACAUAAUGAGAAAGGUUUUGAUCCAAAAUGAAGAAUAUCUGUACAGUUAAAAGUGGAUUAUUACAAAAACUAUCCAUGUUCUGAUACGGUUUUAAUUUCUAACGCUACAGGGUCACAACAUGACUGUUGUUGAAGCAGACGGGCACUUUGUGGAACCCUUUGUGAUAAAAAACCUCUUCAUUUACUCAGGGGAGACCUAUUCAGUUCUGGUGAAGGCUGAUCAAGACCCUUCAAGAAAUUACUGGGUCACAACCAGUGUGGUCAGUAGGAACAACACUGUCACUCCUCCGGGCUUGGCCAUCUUCAAUUACUACCCCAACCAUCCCAAGAAGUCUCCCCCAACAGUCCCACCCGCUGGCCCUCUUUGGGACGACGUAGAGCCGCGCAUCAACCAAAGUCGUGCCAUUAAGGCUCACCAUGACUAUGUUUUCCCCCCUCCUCUCACCUCAGACAGAGUAAUUCUGAUGCUUAACACACAGAAUGAGAUCAAUGGUUACAGGAAGUGGUCUGUGAACAAUGUGUCCUUCAACCUCCCACACACACCCUACCUAAUUGCUCUCAAGGAAAAUAUCAGUGGUGUCUUUGAUCCAACCCCUGCUCCAGAUUACUUUGACUUGGAAAAUUAUGAUAUUUAUACCAAGCCAAACAAUUCCAACGCCACGUCUAGCAACUCAAUUUAUAGGCUCAAGUUCAACACAAUAGUGGACAUCAUACUGCAAAAUGCAAACACCAUGGUCGUGAAAAACAGUGAGACACAUCCAUGGCAUCUCCAUGGGCAUGACUUUUGGGUACUGGGCUAUGGGGAAGGCACGUUUAACAUGUCCAGUGAUCCAAGAACCUACAAUCUGAUUAACCCAAUUAUGAAGAACACAGCACCUGUUCAUCCUUAUGGAUGGACUGCCUUAAGGUUUCGAUCUAAUAACCCAGGUGCCUGGGCAUUCCAUUGCCAUAUCGAAUCUCAUUUCUAUAUGGGUAUGGGAGUUGUUUUUGAAGAAGGGGUGGAGAGGGUUGGAAAGCUGCCUUCAUCUAUCAUGGGUUGCGGUAAAUCCAAGGGUCUCCGCGGUAGGCCAUAAUUUUGUUGAGAUAUUAGGAAUGUUUUCCUUAUAUCAUUAUUUCCUUAUAUCAUUUAGUGUUUAGAUAUUAGGAAAGUUAAGAUAUUAUGAAUAUUGAGAUAUUAGGAUAUUAGUUGUUAUUUCCUUAUAUUAUUCUUUCCUUGUAUCAUUCUUUCUCAUUCUUAGAAUGGUGAUUACCCUCUAUAUAUACUCUGUACGAAUGAAAGAAAGUAUGAAUGAAAAACUACCAUUCAUCAAUUUGAACAUGGUAUCAGAGCCAGGGAACUGAAAUCCUGGAUAUUUUGUCGUAAGGCCAACAAUUGCCCCUCCUUUGCGAGAGAAAAAAAAAAAAAAGUGAAAAAAGUACUAUUGCUUUUCAAUCUGAAGGUACUUUCAAUCCAUGAAUUAUUUUGACUGAAUCAAACUAUGACGUUUGGUCAUAACUCGUGGAGAUGCAUAUUGUCGAACGGGAAAAACUUUCCUACAUCCGAGGUAAGACAAAUCCACCAAAAGAGUAAGAAGAUGGAUAUGAAAAAUGGUAUGUUGAGAAUCAAAAGGUGAAGAGAUGGUUGUUAAUGUCCAUGAGUCCAGAAAUUAUGAAGCGUUACUUACGCUUACCCACCGCUCAAGAAAUUUGGAGUACAUUAUCAAAGGCCUUCUAUGAUGGAAGUGAUGAAUUACAAGUUUUCACUUUGAAUCAAAAAGCCUUCACUGCCAAACAAAACGGCAAGUCUCUUUCUGAAUAUUAUGGAGAGUUAACUGAACUUUUUUGCGAAUUGGAUCAUCGGGAUAAGGUAGUCAUGAAAGACCCUGAAGAUAUUGCAGCAUACCGAAAAUCCAUUGAACGACAACGGGUGCACAUCUUUCUUGCUGGAUUGGAUGGUGACUUUGAGCAAGUUCGAGGAGAGAUUCAACGCAAAGAUCCUCUUCCCGAUUUGGAAGAAUGCUAUGCACUGAUUCGACGAGAGGCAGUACGUCAUGCUAGUAUGAAAACAAAAUCUGACAACCCUGACACCUCAGCUAUGGUAGUUCGACAAUAAUUAACCCGAAAUUGGCAGGACCAAUCCAAGACCAACCAUCCUAAGACAGACCCUAAUAUUGAUAAGUCAACCUUCAAAUGCACUCACUGCAAUAAGACUGGUCAUACCAAGAGUCGUUGCUUUGAAAUUGUGGGAUAUCUAGACUGGUGGGAUCACAAUCAUGAUCAACGGAAGAAGGAUUCCAAGAAAACCUCGACUGCAGCUAUUGCCGAAAUAAAAACAGAGGCUAAUGUUGAUGAGAAAGUCUCUGCAUUGAUAGCCGCUACAGAUUAUGGUGGUAAGUUUUUAAAUACUUCUACACCUGUUAUUAAUAAUGCAUGGAUAAUUGAUUCUGGUGCUACAGAUCAUAUGACUUUUGAUUCUAGACAGGUUUCACUCGUUAGACCUUCCUCACAAAAAUUUGUUUCCACAGCCAAUGGUAACACAACCCUAGUCAUUGGGGAAGGAUCCUUAACUCUUAUUGAUACUUUGAAUUUGGAUUCUAUUUUAGUUGCUCCAUCCUUAAAUUACAAUCUUUUGUCAGUUUCUCAAAUCACUGCAGCCUUAUCUUGUAUUGUCAUUUUUUGGCCUGAAUUUUGUGUUUUUAAGGACAUCCAAACAAGACAGACGAUUGGUUUUGGUAUUAAGCGGGGAAAACUCUAUUAUUUGGACUUGCAGUCAAAGGAUUCAAAUAAGUUGCGACAAGCCUUGAUGGCAGAUGGAUCUGAGGGGGAGAAGAAAAAGUCUGAAAUUUGGUUGUGGCAUCGACGUCUGGGACAUGCUUCCUUUGGUUAUUUAAAAAAAUUAUUUCCUAAUUUGUUUGCAAAGAGUGAUAUUUCUGGUUUCCGUUGUGAUAUUUGUGAAUUGGCUAAAAGCCAUCGUGCUUCCUUUCCAUUAAUUUUGAAUAAAAGUCCGUCUCCUUUUAUGGUUAUACAUUCUGAUGUUUGGGGCCCAUCCAAAGUCCCAACUUUGAGUGGUUCGCGUUGGUUUGUUACUUUUAUUGAUGAUUGUACCAGAAUGACAUGGUUAUGCUUGAUGAAGACCAAAGAUGAAGUGAACUUGUUGUUUCAAAAAUUUCAUAAAAUGAUUGAAACUUAGUACAAUGCAAAGGUUCGGGUUCUGCGUAGUGAUAAUGGUGGAGAAUAUCAAAGUUCUGAUUUUCAAAAGUAUUUGGAAGGACAUGGCAUCAUUCAUCAAACUACUUGUUCCAAUACACCCCAGCAAAAUGGAGUCGAUGAACGAAAAAAUCGGCACUUGUUAGAGGUUGUUCGUGCUUCCUUGAUAGCAGCAAAAACACCGAUAUCUUAUUGGGGAGAAGCAAUCACAUCUGCCGUAUACUUGAUCAAUCGGGUACCUUCUAGCUCAAUUAACUUUCAAACACCUCUCCAAGCUCUUAUUAAUGUCGUAGUUGCCCCAACCGUCCCAAAUCUACCUCCUCGUGUUUUUGGUUGUGUGGCAUUUGUGCAUCUACACAAGCACCAACGCACUAAGUUAACUUCCCAUGCAUUGCAAUGUGUGUUUGUUGGAUAUGCAUUGCACAAAAAGGGAUAUCGAUGUUACCAUCUUCCAACUUGACAAAUGUAUAUUACAAUGGAUGUGGUGUUUCAUGAAGAUUCGAUGUAUUUUUCAUCUGAGUCUGAACUUCAGGGGGAGUACCAUAAGGAAAUUCAAACUCUUGAUUAUGAUUAUCAUAUCUCUAAGGAAGAUGAAUCUGAACAAUCUGAACUAGUGAACCAGGAAGUGGGUGAGUUGGAUAUGAGUGGUCAACAAUUUGGAUCCGAAGAUGUCUUCACUGAAAUACCAAACCAAUCAUCGUCUGUUGAGGGUGUUCUUAAUUUGGAACCCGAUCCAUUCAUGAAACGGUUACCACAUCAUCAUAAUAGAGGUAUUCCUAAACCCACAUAUGAACCUGAUUUGUCUACCAAAGUCAAAUAUCCCAUGAGCAACUAUGUGUCUAACCAUCGUUUGUCUGAAUCAAAUAAGUCAUUUGUAAAUCAAUUAUCUACUGUAGUUAUUCCUAAUAGUGUGCAGGAAGCCUUAGUUGAUCCAAGGUGGAAAGCAAGAUUGGUUAGCCGAUAUCCUCACCAAAGCUGUCUCAAGUCAAGUAUUCUCAAAAAUUUUUAGACAAGUUGGGCAUGUGUGACAUCUAUGCACCAACUUGAGGGGGAGUGUUGAGAUAUUAGGAAUGUUUUCCUUAUAUCAUUAUUUCCUUAUAUCAUUUAGUGUUUAGAUAUUAGGAAAGUUAAGAUAUUAUGAAUAUUGAGAUAUUAGGAAAGUUGAGAUAUUAGGAUAUUAGUUGUUAUUUCCUUAUAUUAUUCUUUCCUUGUAUCAUCCUUUCCCAUUCUUAGAAUGAUGAUUACCCUCUAUAUAUACUCUGUACAUGAACGAAAGAAAGUAUGAAUGAAAAACUACCAUUCAUCAAUUUGAACAAAUUUUUCUUCCCAAUUAUCAAGUAAUUGAGGUAAAGUUUAAUUGUAUCACAUUUUCUAUAUUAUGUUUUAGAUGAUACAAAUUCUUUUCAUUCUUGAAUAAUAAAAAUAGUUAGAGACUGUUCACAUGGAUCUUGUAGUGUAAUAUUAAAGAUUCUUUUGAUCAAAAGCUCAGAGUUUGGGGCUGUUGGGGCCAUUGGUACUCUGAAUUUCAUCGUUACCAAAUCCUACUCCUUUAAUAAUGACUGGUUCAGAGGUCAGCGUCCCCUCAAUAUCAAAUUAUCAAUAAAUUUGAUGAGGUGAUGUGGUGAGAUGCGCCCUAGUCAACUCUCCAAUUGCUAUUGUUGGAGUUAGUGUUGCCACUUGUGUAAUUUGCUUGAGACUGUUUAUGUAAUUUGUUUUCCAAGAUGUAUUCGCCAGUUUGGCCUAUUUUGGCUUCAACAAGGGUGAUCUGAAACCAUGUAAAAGAAUUCAAUACUGAAUGAUAUAAACAUUGUGUGUUUUUGUUAAUGUUCAAUAGUUCAAUAUAUAUUGACUAUAGUGUAGUUAAUUAGCAAAUCAAUACCUAUAAUUGUGACAGAAAUGAUAGAGUGAAAGUUCUACAAAAAAAAAACAAAAAACAAAAAAAACUAAUUAUAACAUAUCUAGAAUAUUUAGAAUAAGUGUUCCUACAAUUAUGGUCUAUCGGUGAGAUAUUGGCUCAUUUUAAUACUAAGCUAAUAAUUUUAGUCAUACUUCUUUUUUCUUUGUACAAUACCAAAUUUUAAUCACAUGUAAUCUCAAGCUUCUUGUCAUGCAUAUUUCCUAAGACCAACAUAAACCUUUAGGACUCUUCAUAGGGACCUAAAUCUCGGGAUACUGACCACCCCUAUAACAACCACUACAAGAAAAAAGCCUUUCGUUGACAGUUUUUCACCAUCAAGGUAGGGUAUAUAUGUCAAGGUAUGUUACUAUUUAUAUAUGUCAUCUAUGCCAGUGUCAAGAAAAGUUUAAAGCUAUCUUGACAUUUACAUAUGUCACCUUGACAUUUACAUAUGUCAAGGUUGUUUCUAUUUCUACCAAUGAUCGAAUCUUUGUUAGUAUGACAUAUGUCAAUGUUUCUUUCAUUUUUGUCAAGGUUGGAUUCAACAUAUGUCAAGAUUUUUUGAUCUUAUGUCAAUGUUAACUUGCUUUUCUAUUAAGGUUGCUACAACAAAUGUUAAGAAUAAUAUGUCAAGGUUUCUAGCUAUUGCAAUGUCAAUGUUGGGCAUUGGCCAACUGUCAAGGUUGCCUAUGACAAAUUUAAUAUUAUUUUACUAUAAUUUUUAGUUUUAAUAGAAAAUAAACUUGUUACCAUAUGAAACUUAUUUCCAAAUUAAAUUUGAUACAUAUUUAAUUAUGAUAAUAAUAACUAAGUCCUAAAACAAUGUAAAUAAAUUAUUACUCAAGGGAAAAAAUUAUUAUAGAUACAUUUGAAUACUAACAACACAAUAGAAUAAAUCUUUUUCUACUUACUCUCUAUUUUCUAUAUACAAAAAAAAAAAAAAUUACAAAUAUUCAAUUAAGAUAAUAUACAAACUUAAAUUGAAAAGUACAAUCCUAUCUUCGUAAGAGGUGGUCACUAAUUCUUCAUCAUCUUCUUCUUUUUUGCUAUAUUUCUUGAAUACCUAGUAGGAUAGACACACAUUAAUAGAAAAAUAAGAAACAAGUAUCAAAAUACCAAUUUUCAAAUUAUAAGGUACUUUCAAUUGCAAGAAUACAUCAAACAUAUAUACAAUUUGUAGAUACCAUAUCUCUAGCAUUAAUCUUCAAGCACCGCCCUCUAGAAAGACCCUAAAAUUGCCAAUACCUCUAUCUCAAACUUAUGAUAGAAAAAAUAAACGAUGUUAAGAAAAUGAAAAGCUCAAAUUAAGAAAUUAGAUAUCUAACUACAAUAAAAUAUUUUUAAGAUUGCUCAAUAACCUAUCUAUAAUAUAUGUUGCGUUAGAAACAAAACAAAAAUGCAAACAUUAACCUUCAACAAUCAUAUCGAAAACCUUUUCUUCAAAUGUGAAUACCACAUCGAAUGGCCCAUCAGCAACAUUAUCUUGCUAGCGCUGAGGUGUGGUUUUGAUUGAUGAAUUCCUUUUAAGCAUUGGCAGGAUGCCAUUAUGCUUGUAGAUGUGUUGUCAUUAAGGUUUCAUUUUGCUUUAAGGUUCCAAGCAAAUCAAAUAAUCAUUAGCAAGAAUUUAAAAAUAAUAAUAAAAAAAAAUAAAAAAUAGUAUUGAUUUCUAUACAAGAAUUAAGAGCUUCCUUUAGUUUCUGGUUUGUCCUAGUCUCCAAUAUGAACAUUAACAAUAAACCCCAAUACAACCAUAUUUUGUCAACCAAAGGGGUUUAAGGUUCUAUUCAGGAACUUUACACAAAUUUCAAUAUAAAACAAAUACUCAAAUGCUUUGUUCGAUCAACAAGAAAACAUGCUAAAUUUUGAGUUUUAGAUUCAUAGCCUAACAAAAUGAUUUGUUUUAAAUUUCACAUCACUUUCAAUUAAGCUUAACACAAUUAUCUAGUCUAAUUGCAAGUUUUCAAUUUCCCCCUUUGGUGGAGACCAAAAAAGAAAACAAAAAGAAACCAUUCAAAACAAAUUUUCCCCCAUCUUCUCGACUAUCAAACAGAGGACAAGCUAAAUUUACAUCGUCCACAACCUUUAGCAUGGUCCACAUUAGGUAGUCUUUCACAAAAAUGAAAAAAUUAACCAAACAAAAAUACAAACAGAGCAAUGCAUCAAACAUCUAUAAAAUUCCUCAUUUGGAUAGUGAGAAAAUGUAAGCAAAUAUUUUUUUUAAAAAAUAUCAUAGUCAUGAUCCAAAUAUCUUUCAACCGCCUUUAAAGAACCACCACACAACCCAUUUGGUUAAAAAAAAAAAAAAAAAAAAUUCUUUUUCUUUUCCUCGCUAAUGUUUUUUUCUUGGGAAACAAACAGGAAAACCUAGAAAUGGAAGAAAGAUGAUACAGGUCGGGGUCUUUGCGGCAGAGAUCAUCGAACAUGUACCAACAAUUGAGAUGAAACCAACAAACUAUAGCAUCAAAUUGGAACCAAAUGCCUCAAUACCUACAACAAAUGAAAUCGAAUGAGUUUAGUAGUCAACGUAAGCAUGAUCAAGUAGUAAAAUGUUACAUCUAACAUCAAUGCAGCCCCCACAAAAUUCAUGUUACGACACUCUUAAUAUUGAUUCCAAUGCUCUCCAAGAUGUAAUUUAAUAGUCAUAUCAGCAGAUUUAGAUCAACUAUUGGUGCUCAUGUUUGGUUCCUUGAAAAUGCGGGAAAAGAUAAGAAUAAGUUUUGAAUCCAAGAUUUCUCAUCAUUUGGGACUUGAGAAAGCAAUUAUUUCCACUCAACUACGCCUGAUUGACUAUUUGAUUCUGCUGAGGUGGGUUUUUUUUUUUCCAUUUUUUUCAAAAUUGAGACAGUGUAAAACUUGUGAUUCAAAAUUUUCUUUUCCUCUGUUUUCUCCACUAUCCAUGAAAAAGUAACAACAGAAAAUUCUGUAUUCCUUGUUGUAAUACCUUUAACAAAUUCUAAAACAGAGAAAUAACAAUCAAAAAUCUAAACUUUCAUGUGAUUAUAUUAAAAAAUGUUAAACAAAAACAAAAUCGAAAAGCCCAAUAGCUUCAGUAGCAAAUAAAGUAUAACACCAGAAGGAAUGAACAACAUAUUUGCAAAAAGAAGAUAGAUUAGAAGAGACAAACCGUGAAACUUAAAACCCAUUUAGAUUAAAGCAAAACACAAACUGAUAAUUCGAUCCAAAAAAUGAAAAAAAACGUAGAGACACCAUAGAGAGAUUAAACCAAAAACCCAACCCAAUUCGUCACUGCAACAAAGUCAAAGCACAAGAAACCAAAACCCCAAUUGGGAUUGAACUGAUCAGACACCCAAAUGAUCACAGACAUCAAAAACCCAGAAAAUCUACCUGAAAAAAAGGGGUUAAAAUUGAAGCAUGUGUCCUCAAAAAAAGACGAGAGAGAGAAAGAAAGAAAGAAAUAACAACAAGAACAUGAGCCUUUCCUUACCUAUAAUUCUCAAAGAUGGAAAAAGAAAGUCCACAGAGCUUAACGUACGCCCCCGUCCCGUAGGAUGACAUGUCAAAUCCUUACUUCUUGAGGAGGGAGUAAGCCUUCAUGCUUCGGUUCUGGUUUGAAGAACACACCAUGGCAGACCGGAACACACCAUGGUGAAGAUGGGAAGGUGAGAGAAAGAGAGAAACAACGAUCGAUCGGUAGCGUCACCGCCGGUGACAACUGAUAGUCGCGAUAUUGUUGAGAUGGGUGAGGCGCAUGGGUAUGGAGAGAGAACUGGGAAAGAAAAAGGAGGAAAGAAAGAAGAAAAAAAAAUGGAGAGUGGCGGUGGCAGAGAAGUGGGAGAGAAAAAUAUGAUCUCUUAGGGUUUCUUUGAAAUGAAUGGUAGAUAUGUGAUUAGAAAAUAAAUGGUCCAGAUUUCACCAACAUUAGUCUUAUCACACCAAAAUUUAAAUUCUUUUUCUAUGAGUCAACUUUAUGAGAAUCAAUAUAUGGAAUAUAUUUAUAACUUUUAUAAUGUCAAUUUACCAUAAUUAAUUUUCUUCUUUCCUAAUGUCUAAAUUUGUAUGAGUUAACUUAAAAAAUAAAAUUUUGAAACUUGAUAUUAUGCCGAACAAUUGAUAAAUCAAAAUUUCAAAUAUCUUAAUUUUCAAGCUUACACAAAUUUAGUAAUUAUUUUUAAAUCAAAUACAAGUUAAUUACUAAUUUAAAAAUAAUUAAAAAUAGUUUGUGAAAACAAGAUUAUAUUAAUACAGACUAAAAAAAAAUCAUUAACAUCAAUGAAUAAAAAAAUAGUUUAUUAGUAUUGAUUUUAUUUAUAUCCAGUUAUAAAAAAAACCAUAAUGUAGCAAAUUUUAUUUCACUAAAAUUAGUGAAUAAAAAAUUAUUUAUAAAAAUUUAUUUCAGUGCUAUUGAUAUAAACUAAAAAAUUAUUUAAUCAAUUUGAUUAAAAAAAAAUGAAAAUUGAUAUUAACAUUACUAAAAAAAUUUAUUAAAUAAACAUUGACUUCCUUAAUCAAAAUUUAUUGUUGUCACUUCAAUUUAUAAUACUUAGUAAGUAAAUUAGAUAUACACAUAUCAAACAAAUUAUUAUCAUUAUUGCUUUUAUUUAAGUACCUUGAAUACAUUGACUUAUAAAUUAUCUGUCAAGAUUCUAUUAUAUAAGUCAUAAAAGAAUUCAACAAAUUUUAUUUAUGUCAUUAUUGGUUUAAACAAGUUAUAUAUGUCAUAGUUGUUCAUUUAAAUAGGCAAUAUUGACACAUAUCACCUUAAGUCAAGAUAAUAUAUGUCAACAAUGACCAUUUUUCUUGUAGUGAACUAGCACCGGAUAAAUUUAAGGUACCAUUAAUGACAUAAUUCGAACCCAAUACCAUAUGCAAUUUAGUGGAACCACACUUCCUAGUUUAUGUUCUGACCAACUAGGCUACCUUGACGAGUAGAAAACAAGUACACAUAACCUCAAGCUUGCUUCUUAAGUCAACGCCAAACAUAGAGCUAUCAUAAACUUGAGCAUAUUUCUUAAAAAAGACAUCGAGUCUCACUUCAUAAACUAUCAUUCUAUUAGAAAGUGAAAUUAUUGUCCAUGUAACAAAUACCUUCUCUAUCUUGGAGACUUGAACAAUGAUUUAGUUAUUAUACAUAAAACUUCAAUGAUUUCAUCUGAAAAUCAAUUAACUAUAUUAAAAUCAAGCUAAUUCUCUUUUAUGUUGCUAUAGGUGGAAUGUAUCUGUGGCCGCAACUAGAUGCCCUGAUUUGCAAAUGGUUGCGUCUUUGCGCUACUAUAGGUAUGUGAAAUGCACAGCUACUUCAUUCUGCUGAUUUGAGAAGAUCCAAAACAAAAUUUAGAUGGUAUUAGAGUUAAUUCUCAACUCCAAUGUAGGAAUUUGUUUGGUUUCAUAAAGAAUGUUUAUUUGUUUUAUUAUGCGAUCCCACAAGACAUAGUGAGAAUGUUAUAUUUACAUGGGAUAUGAAGAAAAAAAUCCCUGCUGUUAUAUACCUAUGAACCCCUAUUAAUUAUGUAAAUGUGUUUUAAGACGUGAAGAGAUUUUGAGUCCAAAAUGAAGAAUAUCUGCACAAUUAAAAGUGGAUUAUGACAAAAACUAUCCAUGUUCUGAUACGGUUUUAAUUUCUAACGUUGCAGGGUCACAACAUGACUGUAGUUGAAGUAGAUGGGCACUUUGUGGAACCCUUUGUGAUAAAAAACCUCUUCAUUUACUCAGGGGAGACCUAUUCAAUUCUGGUGAAGGCUGAUCAAGACCCUUCAAGAAAUUACUGGGUCACAACCAGUGUGGUCAGUAGGAACAACAUUGUCACUCCUCCGGGCUUGGCCAUCUUCAAUUACUACCCCAACCAUCCCAACAAGUCUCCCCCAACAGUCCCACCCGCUGGUCCUCUUUGGAACGACGUCGUGCUGCGCCUCAACCAGAGUCGUGCCAUUAAGGCUCACCAUGACUAUGUUGCCCCCCCUCCUCUCACCUCAGACAGAGUAAAUCUGAUGCUCAACACACAGAAUGAGAUCAAUGGUUACAUGAGGUGGUCUGUGAAUAAUGUGUCCUUCAACCUCCCUCACACACCCUACCUAAUUGCUCUCAAGGAGAAUAUUAGUGGUGUCUUUGAUCCAACCCCUGCUCUAGAUUACUUUGAUUUGGAAAAUUAUGGUAUUUAUACCACGCCAAACAAUUCCAAUGCCACGUCCAGCAACUCAAUUUAUAGGUUGAAGUUCAACACAACGGUGGACAUCAUAUUGCAAAAUUCAAACACCAUGAACAAGAAUAACAGUGGGACGCAUCCAUGGCAUCUCCAUGAGCAUGACUUUUGGGUACUGGGUAUUAUGAAAAAGAAAUAGAGUAUAAGAAAAAAGAGAAACAGAGUAGAGAAUGAAAGAGAAGAAGCAACAGAAUGCUCUGUAUCGUUCGCAUUCAUCAUCUGAAAUAUGUGUAGGAAAGCUCUAGAUAUAGGAGGCUGGAAACAAAGAAUGUUAUAACUAAUCUGAAACUAAUCUGUAGCUAACCUGUAACUAAUUCCAGCUCAUCCUCUUAUAAUUGUUUAACAAACUAACAGAAUCUUAUUUCUCAUAGUUAAGAGAACUUUAAUACUCCCCCUCAAGAUGGAGAAUGAAUAUUAUGAGUUCCCAUCUUGUCAAGUAAAAGUGUGAACUGUGUUGGAUGGAGGGCCUUUGUUAAUAGGUCUGCUACUUGAUGUUGAGAAGAAACAUGAAGUGUUUUCAAUCUGCCAUCUUGGACCUUCUCCCUUACUAAGUGACAAUCAAUUUCAAUAUGUUUUGUUCUUUCAUGGAAAAUAGGAUUUGCUGCUAUGUGCAAGGCAGCUUGAUUAUCACAAAACAACAAUGCUGGUUGUGGAUGAUUUAUGUGCAAAUAUUUGAAUAAGGAAAACAUCCACAUUAAUUCACAUGUAGCAUUUGCCAUGGAACGGUAUUCGGCUUCAGCAGAUGAUCUAGACACAGUGUGUUGUUUCUUUGACUUCUAAGAGAUUAAGGAAUCACCAAUGAAAACACAAAAUCCACUAAUUGAUCUCCUGGUAUCUGGACAAGCAGCCCAAUCAGAAUCUGCAAAGGUUUUCAAUUCUAUGGUAGAUGAAGAGGAAUAAAAGAGACCUUGACCAACUGUAGCUUUAACAUACUGUAAAACAUGAUAUGCUGCUUGUAGAUGAGGAAUCCGAGGCUUGGCAAGAAACUGACUCAACCGAUUAACAGAAAAUGAUAAAUCUGGUCUUGUUAUUGUAAGGUAAAGUAAUUUACCAAUCAUUCUUCUAUAUAUAGAAGGAUCAUCAAGUAAAUCUCCUUCAUCUUGUGAGAAUUUAACAUUUGGAUCCAUAGGAGUCUUUCUAGUUUUGCAGCCAAGAUAUCCUGUGUCAGACAAGAGUUGCAAAGCAUAGUGUCUUUGACUAACAGAAAUUCCUUUAGAGGAUCUACCAACUUCAAGACCAAGGAAAUAUUUCAGAUUUCCUAGAUCUUUAAGUUUAAAAUAGCCAUUAAGAAACUUCUUCAACUCAUCCACAUUUUCUUGAUCAUUACUUGCUAUGACGAUGUCAUCAACAUAAACUAGUAAUGCAAUGAAAGAAUUGCCAUUGAUCUUAACAAAUAGGGAAUUGUCAGAAGCUGAUUGUUUAAAACCUGUGCUGACAAGAACACUAGAGAACUUAGAGAACCAUUGGCGAGAUUCUUGUUUUAGCCCAUAAAGGGACUUGUGAAGUUUGCAAACAGUGUUGAUAGGUAAGGACUCCCUCUCAUGGUAAAGACCAGGUGGUAAAGACAUGUAGACUUCCUCAUGAAGAUCACCAUGCAAGAAUGCAUUAUUGACGUCAAGCUGAGUGAGACUCCAGCCAUGAACAGCAGCUAGAGCAAGAAGAACCUUAACAGUUACCAAUUUUGCAACGGGAGAAAAAGUGUCAAGGUAAUCAACACCUUCUUGUUGAGUGUAGCCUUUGGCUACCAAACGGGCUUUAUAUCGUUCAAUGGUUCCAUCAGCUCGAUACUUGAUUCGGUAAACCCACUUGCAUCCAACAGUGUGUUUACCAGGAGGUAGUGUGGUCAAUGACCAAGUGCUAUUUUCUUUAAGAGCUCUCAAUUCUUCAGACAUUGCUGCUUGCCACUCUGGAAUAACUGCAGCCUCAGCAUAAGUAGUAGGCUCAAAAUUUGAAGAAAUGGCAUUAACAAGAGUUGUGUGAGGGGUGGAUAAUUUAUGGUAAUCAAGUACUUGAGAUAAAGGGUGGCAAGUGAUUGCGAAGCAAAAGAAGUUGAGGAACAAUGAUAAUCUUGAAGGUAAGAAGGUGCUCUCCUAAACCGGGUGGGACGAUCAAGAGAUAAUGAAGUUGGACUAAAAAAAGGAUUUGUUGAAUCAUUGGAAGAAAUGGAAAUAGGAAGUGGAAGAACAAGAUCAGAGAAAAAAUCAAAAUGACAGGGUUGUGAGUCAUCAUUUUGGAAAGGAAAUAUCGACUCAUGAAAAAUGACAUCACGGGAGAUGAAAGUGGCAUUGGUGGACAAGUUAAGUAGUUUAUAGGCCUUAUAACCAGGGGGAUAACCAAGGAAUACAACUUUAAUAGCACGAGGUGAAAAUUUUGUACGAGAAUGGUUCAAAGUGGAAGCAUAGCACAAACAAUCAAAGGCCUUAAGAUGAGAAUAUGAAGGUUUCUUUUUAAACAACAACUCAAAUGGGGUUUUGUUGAUCAAUAAUGGUGAAGGAGUGAGAUUAAUAAGAUAAACAGCUGUGAGAAUGCAAUUGCUCCAAUAAGGCAAAGGUAAGUUUGAUUGAAAGUGCAAAACCAGAGCAACAUUCAAAAUGUGUUGAUGUUUCCGUUCCACAACAGAGUUUUGUUGUGGAGUUUCAUUACAAGAAUGAAAUGACAAAAUUCCUUGGGCACGAAAGAAAUCAGAAAAGACCAAUUCAGGUGCAUUAUCUGAGCGGACAGACUUUAUUUUCACAUUAAAUUAAGUCUAAAUAAGAGUAAAAAAAUUUGGAAAAACAACAAAAACUUCAGAUUUUGCACGUAGAAAAUAUUCCCAAGUAAAUCGUGUACAAUCAUCAACAAUGGUUAAAAAAUAACGAUAUCCCUCAGUGGUGAUUGUAUGAAAAGGACCCCAAACAUCAAUGUGAAUCAAUUGAAAAGGAGAAUUUGAUAAAUUGUUUGAAGACAUAAAUGGCAAACGACGUUGCUUUGCCAAAUGACAUAUUGAACAAUGAGAUGGAGUCUCAGAAAUAUGAGAAAUAUUCAAAUCAUCCUUUAGAGUAUGAAUUUUUGCAUAUGAUGGGUGUCCCAAACGAUAAUGCCAAAGUUCAGUUGAGGAAGAAGAAAAAUUAUUACAAGUUGCUGAAAUGUCAAAUGAUUGAGACACUAAACUGGAAAAAUCCAAGACAUAGAGGUUCCCGUGUCUUUUACCCAUCCCAAUCAUUUUGGCCUGUGAAUGGUCCUGAAUAAGACAAGAAUGAGAGAGAAAAUUAACAGAAUAUUUAUGGCUUUGUGUAAGAGCACUGACGGACAAAAGAUUAAAUUGAAAUUGAGGCACAAAAAGAACAUCAGUCAAGGUGAUAUGAGGUGACAAUUGCACAGAUCCUAUUCUACUAAUUGACACCAAGUGACCAUUAGGAAGAGUAACGGAGGAAUUUGAUGCUGGGACUGAUGAAACAAAGGAAGGUAAAGAGCAACAGACAUGAUGAGUAUCACCUGUGUCCAACACCCAAGCCGAGGAAUCAAGGGAAUUGGGAAAAGAAACUGAAGAAAGGGAGAAUAUACCACUGAAACUGGAGACUGAUGGUCCAGGCUGCUGCAAUUCAGGAGUAGCAGGAGUAUUGUCAUGGAGCUGAGAGCUCAAAAGAGCAAUGAGUUGUUGACAUUGAGCUGGAGAUAGUGAAGCAAGUGGUGAAUCAGCUGUAGCAGAGGCUUCAGUGGUUCUAGAACUAGUUUGAUUUGCUUGAGCUUUAGCAUGAGGAUUCUUGGAUUUGAAUUUAUAUCCAGGUGGAUAUCCAUAGAGUUUAUAACACUUAUCAACUGUGUGACCUAAAAUUCCACAAUGAGAGCAAGUGGGUCGAUCCUUCUUAGGCUUGGAAUUCAAUCUGGCAGCUGAAAUUGCAACAGUGGAAUUGGAAUCAUUUGCAGCUACUGAAUCAGGCGGAGUAUAGAGCCCAUAAUUAAUGGAGCGUUGUUGUUCAUCUUGUGCAACUAGUGAGAAAACUUUAGCAAUUGGAGGAAGAGGUUCCAUCAUUAAGAUCUGAGAACGUGUUUGCACAAAAGAUUCAUUGAGGCCCAUAAGAAAUUGCAUCACAUAUUCCUGCUGCUGAAAUUCCAUCCAAGUCUUCAUAGUACCACAAGCACAUUCUGGAAGGGGCUGGAAACCCUUAAGCUCAUCCCAAAGAAUUUUCAGUCGGGUAUAGUAAGUACUUACAUCCAAGGAUCCUUGACUUAAAGCUAUAAGAUGUUUUUUGAUUUGAAAAAUUCUUGGACCAUUACUUUGACGAAAUCUAUCCCGAAGAUCAUUCCAAAUUCCCAUAGCGGUAUCAAAAUACAAAAGGCUAUCGACUAUGUCCUUAUGAACAGAAUUGAGAAUCCAAGAAAUUACCAUGCUGUUGCAGCGAAUCCACGUACCAAAAAGAAGAUCAUCAGAUUCAGGGCAAGGAAUACUCCCAUUAAUAAAACUGAUUUUAUUCUUGGCAGUGAGUGCCAUAACCAUGGCUCUGCUCCAAGUAUUAUAGUUAGCACCAGUGAGAUGAUGGGAAACGAGAACAAUACCAGGAUGAUCUGAAUUGUGGAGGAAAUAAGGAUUGGUUGAAUCUUCCAUAGAUGAUAAUGAGUUAGGAACACCGGUGGUAACCCGAUUGAUUGUGCUUCCUCGAGUCAUUAGAGAUGAAAGAAGACAAAACAGAGUAUGGCGAGCAAGAGCAAUUGCUCUGAUACCAUAUUAUGAAAAAGAAACAAAGUAUAAGAAAAAAGAGAAACAGAGUAGAGAAGGAAAGAGAAGAAGCAACAGAAUGCUCUGUAUCGUUCUCAUUCAUCAUCUGAAAUAUGUGUAGGAAAACUCUAGAUAUAGGAGGCUGGAAACAAAGAAUGCUAUAACUAAUCUGAAACUAAUCUGUAGCUAACCUGUAACUAAUUCCAGCUCAUCCUCUUACAAUUGUUUAACAAACUAACAGAAUCUUAUUUCUCACAGUUAAGAGAACUUUAAUACUGGGCUAUGGGGAAGGCACGUUUAAUAUGUCCAGUGAUCCAAGAACCUACAAUCUGAUUAACCCAAUUAUGAAGAACACAACACCUAUUCAUCCUUAUGGAUGGACUGCCUUAAGGUUUCGAUCUGAUAACCCAGGUGCCUGGGCAUUCCAUUGCCAUAUCAGUCUCAUUUCUAUAUGGGUAUGGGAGUUGUUUUUGAAGAAGGGGUGGAGAGGGUGGGAAAGCUGCCUUCAUCUAUCAUGGGUUGCGGUAAAGCCAAGGGUCUCGGCGGUAGGCCAUAAUUUUUCUUCCCUAUUAUCGACUAAUUGAGGUAAAGUUUAAUUGUAUCACCUUUUCUAUAUUAUGUCGACGAUAAUACGAAUUCUUUGUAUUCUUGAAUGAUAAAAAUAGUUAGAAAGUGUUCACAUGGAUCUUGUAGUCCUGAAACACUUGUAAUAUUGAAGAUUCUUCUUACCAAAAGGUCAAGAGUUUGGGGCUGCUGGGGCCACCGGUACUCUGAAUUUCAUCGUUGCCAAAUCCUACCGCUUCAACGAUGACUAGUUCAAAACUCAACGUCCCCUCAAUAUCAAAUUAUCAUUGUCAAUUUGAUGAGGUGAUGUGGAGAGAUGCGUUAUCAACCUAAUAUUUAGAAAAAGAGGGGUUUUAGCUACUCGCGAAUAGGUUAAAUUUUUUCCUACUUUUAAAAAAAAGUUGUGUUCUUAUGUCAUAUUCCUUUCCUUGUAAAUAUUGUUCUCCUUGUUCCAAUAGAUCCAAUAAAUAUUGAUCUCCCUUAAUUAGGUCUAUAGUUAAUUAUGAUCCGACUCAUGUUAAGAAAUAAUUCAAGCAUAAUUCGACUUUUAAAACGAGGUACUCAAUUCAAAUUCAAUCUUUUUUUUAAAAAAAUAAGGAUAACUAGAUUUGACUCAAAUUAAUCAAGUUGUAUUUAUUUUUUUAUAUAUAUUUAUAUCAAAAAUUAAAUAGUAAAUAUGAAAAAAAUAAGAUAAUAGCGAAAAAGUAAAAUUAAAAAAAUUUAGAAAGUAUAUGAUAUAACUAUUUUUGACAAUUUUCAUUAAAAUUUUUUGAAAAAUAAAAUUAAUAUUAUUAUAUAAGAUAAUACAAGUUAUAACUAUUAUCAUAAUAUUACAUCAAAUUGUUAUGUUCAGAUUUCUUGAAUUAUGACUCGAUCAAAUCUAAUUCAAAUUAUGUCGAGGUUUGUAAAUACUUACUCAAAUCUAAUCAAAGGUUGUGAUAGGUUGAGCUAAUCCACCCUAAUUGCACCUUUACUAAAAUCAAUUAAAUUACAAAAUAAUUAUUAAAAAAAUAUUUCUUUAUUAUGGUUACAACUUCUUUGAUAUAUAUAUAUAUAUAUCAUACAGAAAGAAACACACCAUUGUACAAAUAUAAAAAAUAUUAUACAUCUUUUCUUUGUAAAAGCUUAGGACAUCUAUAGGGCCUUUUUCUUAAUGGUUCUAAGCAAUUGCAAGAUCAAAAUUGUGUAGAAAAAUACAUUAAUCUUUCAGUGUUAUUCCACAUGAAGCUGUGGCAAUUGCGCCUUGUCAUAAGCUGAAUCAUCUUCACUAGAUGGUAGUGCUGGCAAUUUGACGUGACUUUCAUUUGCUGAUGUGGUAUUAUUGUUGGGAUAAUCGAACCGGUGCCAUCUCAUGCUGCCAUGACAAGUGGAUAUUAUGUGGAUUUCAAACAAUUUUAAGUAAAAAAAAAAAAAAAAACAGUUUAUUAUCAUAGAAGGAGGGUAUGAAGCUUGAGGCAUGAGGGCCGAGAGGAGUUCAGUUGACUUGUAUGAAUGAUGCCAUGGUGGAAGGCCCUCACCGCCCGAGUUGUUGAUGUGACAUCCUCCAAUGUUGAUUGGGUCCACAUUGAUACUUGUUCCAUGGCCCAGAUUUGUAAAAUAUUUACAUAAUCACAUAGAUUAAUCAUACAUGAUUAAAGGAUACUAACAAUAGGAAAUCACUAUAAAGAACAUACAUGUUUGAGCCAUAAUAAAAAACCGUGAUUGAUUGUUGCAACUAAAUCUUCCUCUCUAUAAUCUUGAUAACAGCUAUGGUGGUUUUAUAGGAAAACAGAAAAACAGAAAAACUUUUUUUUAUCUAAAUUAGAGAGGGGACUUAGCAUAACUCAAAUUGGAUUCUCAUUGGGCCCUCCCAUAAUGGGCUUCAAUGAGAUCCAAAGCUUGUACUUGUCACUUAACUGAGCUUCUACUCAAAAUAUGUAAAACUCAAUCCAAAAUGUGAUCACUAGUUAAUUGGGUUCAUUAUGUAAUAGACUAUCCAUUAACCCGUUUUUGCAAAUACGAAUUAUUCAAUUAAUGUUAGCUCAUAUAAAAAAUUUUCCAACAUGAUUAUCAUAGACAUUCGUCGAUGGGUGGUUUGUGGAAAAAAAAAAACAAAAAGCAAUUUUAGGCGGCUUUUUAAAUUUGGAGUAAGGAAAAUCCAACAAAAAAUAUUAAUAAAAAAAUAAAGAAGAAAAAAAAAUGAAAAAAAAUAAAUAAAUUAAAUAAUUCAAUUACCAGCUUCUUCAAUCUAUCUUCCUGUUUUUCAUUUUUUUUUAGGUAGAACGAAAAAACCUUGAUCAUUCCUGUUAUCGGCUUCUAUCGGCUUCCAUGGCUUUUCGACGUUCAUGCCAAGAAAUAAAUCUUUGCAGUGGUGUAAUUCCCACAUAGGACGCCAAUGUAGAUACCAGUAACCUUAUUUUCCCAUUUGCAUGGCCGGGUAUUUCCACGUGAUUGGUGUUUUUAGUGGAUUUCAACUUUUACAGAUUGCUUUUUUGACUUCUUGGUACAAGCCAAUUGGUGGCAUGAAAUGUACAUCUCGGAAUCUCCCCCGUUAUCUGGUCUUGUAAGUUGAUCUCUUUUGGGGUUGUGGUGGGUAGGUGACCCGAUUGGGGUUAACCGACUGUUGUACCUCCAGUAAUGACAUUUUUAGACAAUGGUGAGAUAAGGCUUGGAAUUGGUGUUUGGUAUUUUGAUCUUGCACGUUGUUUGGUGAAACCCUUUUUAGAUGACUCAAUGGGCUUGGGUUGAUUAACAUAUUUAUCAAUUGAUUUUAUUGAUUAAGAGUAUGGUAAUAUUUCUCUUAGAAAUAUUUUAGUGAAAGUGUUUUUUUAUAAAAUAUUUUUAAGAAAAUUAUCUAUUAAGUAUGUCUUCAAAAUGCAUUUUUAAGUGUUUUUUAAAUUUUUUAAAAAUGUUUUCAAAAUUUUAUCAAACAUCCAUUUUUCUUUUUCAAAAUUAUUUUAAAAUUAGAAGUGCUUUUUUAAAAAAACUAUCAACAGACUCUAGAUUCCCGUGUUGAGAAGAUUUCUCAUGCUUCAACGAAUUAAGUAUAAACAUCAUACAAAAAACCCUUCAAAAUUCCAUCAAGAAGUAAAUUGAAUUUGGUUAAAAUAAAUCCAAACCAGCAUAAUCUCCUAGGAUAGGUGAAAUUUUUUUACAUAUGGGUUAACUUUAUUCACUUUCCCUAAUUUUGAAUUAAAUUCAUCUAAUCACCAUUUACUUGAAAUUUCAUCAAAUAUUUUUUUUUUUAUUUGUUAUUUUUAUUGAUUUAUUAUUUAAUUUAAAAUAAGAAAAAUAUUUGAUAAAAUUUCAAGUUGACGAGGACUAAAUUUAUUUAGUUCAAGGAGGGUGAAAUUUACCAUUUUAAAUGGUAAUGCAUCAUUUCUAAUUUCAAGAAUCAUUACAUGUGGAUAAUACAAUAGAUGAUUAAAUAUGACAAAGUCAAAGAAAAAAGUGAGUAGGAUGCCAAUGCAUAGAAGCUACUUGACCCAUAAGGUUAAAGGUACAUUAGCCACCCAAAAUGGGCUGAGUUUCUUAGUCUGAGUCAUUCUCCAUACCCACUUUGGGCCAAGUUCGACUAGGCCCAAAGGCGAUAUCCAGGUCGACUUACGACCCAAUCCUAUCUUGGUUUGGGCCUUGGCAAGCUCGGGUUAGGCUUGCUAUUUUUUUAUUUAUAAUGUAAAAAUGGUUUAAAUAUUCUUCGUGUUUCUAAUUUAUGUUCAUUACAUCUUUUGAAAAAAAAAAAUCAAAAUACCAUAAAUUUGUUUUGAAAACAACCCAUUUUUAAAACAAAUUCUCCAAAAAUAAAAAAUUGCUUUAAGUAAAAGAUUUGUCGAACUUGUUUUAUAAGUUACAAAAGUUUUUUCUAUUUUAAAAAAUAAAAAGUUGUUUUAGUUUUCAAACAAACUCAUCAACCAAAUAAGAUGAAAUAUUAAAUAAAUAAAUAAAUUUAAAUAUAUUUUCUUUGUUUUUUUAAGCAAUGUGUAGACCCCCACUUUGGGAGGUAAUUGUUGUAGCAAAUUUUGCCAGGUGGAGCAGCUUUAAGAGGCCGCGUGGUGCCUCUUGACAGGCUGCUGAAGGAUCAAGUAGUGGAUUUGAGAGGCAAACCAGGUGGUGACACCUGUAAAGUGAUUCUUCAGGCAGUUAUGAGAUAUUUUUUUAGGACUGCCAGCUGCAUGAGUGAGGGGAGGUCGUCUGGCCGUUGGAGGAUACCUUUUUCCUGCCAGCUGCAGGGUAGUGGAGAAGAGGCUGGUCUGGGAGCAGGCCGUGGGAGAUAUUUUUUGGGGGAGUUUUUUUUUGGAGAGGGGGAUUCAUCUUUCAGAGGAGGAAAAAAAGUUGAGGGGGGAGAGAGGAAAAGAGAGGACGGCUACAGGAAGAGUUUUUUAGGGGACUUUCUCUGGGAAAGCUACUAGAGAGAGAAGGAAGCUCGCGGGAGAGAGGGGUAAGCUUUGGAGAGAACUAGGGAUGGAAGGGGGGAGGAGUAGCAGAGAGGUGAGUUUUUGGAGAGCUUAGAGAGAGAUAUUUUUUUAGGGCAUUGCUUGACAAGCAAGCCGGACAGGAGAAUAAGUUUUCUUAGAGCUUGAGGAGAGCUCAGAGAGAAAACCAAGGGGAACUUGCUGGUGAGAAUAGGAGGGGAUAUCUUUUCUUUUCUAGAGGUAGCAGAGUGGAGAAGAAACAAGUUUGAAGGUAAGCAUCUCGGGAGUAAAAGGACUUCCUCAGGUAUGAUUGCUACAGGCUUAUUGAUUGUUUUUGGCUGUUUAUCACUCUCCUAUGUCUCUUGUUGAUAUUUGAAUAUUUGUUGAUUUGCUUGGGGUGGAUAAUGGAGGCCACUUAUUGCUUGUUGAAACAUAAUCCUGUCUACAUGUUUACCACUGUUAACCUUAGUAUGUUUUGCUCCUAUUAUGAAAAUGCCCUCAGUUGCCUUUGAAAUGAUUUUUCUCACCUAAUCAGAGGGUUCACGGAUGACUCAUGAAGUGAAACCUCUGAAAAUCACCUUUACUCAUUUUCUUUUGUGUUCUUUUCAAUGGUUUUUUUUUCUUUGUUGUGACCAAUACUUUGCUUCUGGGCCUCGUUCAAUGUAAUGGCUGUAAAAAAGUAGAUCUGGGUCUAGUUGUGUACUCAUUCAGAGAUCAAAUAUGUUGGGAAGAGACUAUGAUUGGGUGAUGAGAUUCUACUAUAAGGUUCAAGGGAGGUUCAAUUGGUUCAAUGAUGCCACUCUGAAUUUGUUGAUAUCCUAUAUGUGUGUAGAAGAGAUGCUCAGUGGGUCUCCUUUGGGUAUCAAAACUCUGUUUUUCCUAGAUAUCAGUGGCAUGCUUAAAGGUAUAUUAUCAGGUCCUGGCCUGGUUGUAAGUAUAUCUAUUUCAUCUGCUGGAUUCUUGCGAAGAAAUCUCCCUCUAGCAGUUCUAGGAAAUGGGAAGACGUCAAUGGGAAUGUGUCUGUGGUUUCUGCUCAUGAGAAUAUAUUGAGUGAUCAGCCUGAGUUGCUGCAGCAACUUGGAAUGGACCUUUCUUUCUGUUCCAAUACUGAUCUAUGACCCAUUGAUAGAAGUCCACUUGGCAGAUUUUUGAAGAUGGAGAGGCUCGAAAACCAUCUAUGCAUACUGAUGUAGGUCCCGUGUCUGAGACAAGAGGUGCAGAAAAUGCCGAUUAUGCUGAUUCUGAUAAUAAAAACAGUGGGAUUUCUUGGGUCCUUAUUGUGAUGGUUGCCCUAUGUCACACCCUCAUGAGGAAGAAGACACCAAAACAGAAUAUCUCGGUAAAAUAUUAUGGUAUCAGCAGGGAAUGUCUCAAUGUCGUUACUGAUGAGUAAACUGACAUGGUUGCUGAGAAAGGCGUUUGUUUUGACAAGUCAACCACAGUUGAGAUCUCUGGAGACGCGCGGUCAUAGCCUAGAGCUCGCGCUGGAUGAGAUAUCAUUUGACUUGGCUGUGUCAAACAAAAAGGCGUACCAUACAGACUCCGCGGGAGCCUCAUGCUGCAUGCUAACUGAUGCUGAUUUUCUAAACUAUAAGUUUUGGAGGAAAACAGAAGGCCGGAGAUCAGCAUCAAGGCUUUCUUCUUCUCAAACCACUCAAUCAAGCAUCCGAUGAAACGCUGCACUUGAUCCUUGAGACACUGCAAGCAGCUAUAAAGACGGGUCAUGAAGCAUCUGCAGCAAUAAAACCCAUCAAUCUCAUUAUCCAUCAAGUCAAGCCAAACCAUUUCUCCAACCUCUUCACAGCCAUACCCGUCUUUCUUACCCCUGAACAUACCUAUUCUCCAUACCCAUUAAAUCUACUCCUCUUCACCACUCCUUCCACUGAUCCUAAGCCUUAUCUCUCUACACUACACGCCUCCAUACCCAUCUUCUAAUGCCCGUCACCACACCACUCCCUCACACUAUCCCACUCACCCAUGUUCAAAAGAAUGCGUGGCUAAAACACUGAGGAUGUUAAGGAGUUCCAGAGAGUGCCAGGGUGCAGAUGUAUAUAUAUUUCCAUGCAGUGAACAGAUUGCAAGAUGCCCACGAACAGAUCGGUACAGUCGUCUCAACAGUUUUGAAGGCAAGCCACCUGCUUCUCAUAUUUCUGGGGUCUUCGGAACGGGGUCUGAUUGGACAUUUUUCUAGUAUCCAACCGAAUUUGAUGCUGGAAGUGGGAGAAAUUCAAGGAAGGCCUGCGAAGACUACCUCUCAUGUCUUUGAUAACGAGAAUCAUUCCAGCUUGGAUUGAUAUUAUCCCAAAAGCUCCAGUUUUGCCAAAAGAUCCAAGAAUAAACGAAGCAAUGAAUGCUAGAAUCAUGGUACAAUCUUUCAAACGAGUUCAAGGUGCAGUUGCAGUGGAAAUCCUCCUAUCAAACUGAUCUCAUUCUCCAAACAAGCAGCUGAAACUUUGAUGAUAAGUGGGUCUAGUCAUUUAUGGUCGGACUCUCCCGGGGAUUGAGCACAUAGUUACACAGUUGUGAUUAUAUCCCCAAGUACUAACAUGAGUGAAGAUUUGAAAUCUCAGCAGUGGUGGCACCAUGUUGAGAAGGGAACCCUCCUUGAAGCUGCAGAUCACCAACUUUUGAAGAAUUUGAAGAAAAAUAUGAAGAAUUUGAAAACAAAAUAUGGAGGAACACCUCAAUUCAUUCUGUGAUACCUCCCUUUACAAUGAAUGAAAGCAUAAAUAAAUAGCCUACGGAUAUGAGACAAUUCCGGAAUGGAAUUUCCCUUACAUGGAAAGUGAAUAAACUCUUACAUGGGAAGUGAAUAAACUACUCUUACAUGGAAAGUGAAUAAACUACCUUGCUAGAAUUACUCCUAAAUAUAUAAACUACUCUUACAUGAAAAGUGAAUAAACUACCUUGCUAGAAUUACUCCUAAAUCAAUUAUAAUAAAGGUUGUACAUUACACUAAUUAGGGAAGUAAACAGAGGAUGCUGGCUUGAUUUCCAACACUCCCCCUCAAGCCGCGUUGUAGAUGUUGAUCAUUCCAAGUUUUUCUGUCAGAUCUUCGAAGUUAACUCGAGCAAGAGCUUUUGUGAGAAUGUCAGUCGUUUGACAGUUUGUCGAAGUGUAGCUGACUUUGAAAACUCCUUCUUCAAUCUUUUCCUUGAUAAAGUGUCGAUCUAUCUCCACGUGCUUAGUUCGAUCAUGAUGAACCGGAUUCUUAGCGAUACUGAUGGCAGCUUGAUUGUCACAGUAUAACACCAUGGGAUGCUUCAAUGGAACCCGUAAUUCUUCUAACAGCCUGUUCAACCAGAUUCCCUCGCAGAUACCUUGUGCCAUAGCACGAAAUUCUGCCUCAGCACUGCUACGGGCUACCACUGACUGUUUCUUGCUUCGCCAUGUAACCAAGUUCCCCCAGACAAAUGAACAAUAGCCUGAAGUUGAUCUCCGAUCAGUCACUGAACCUGCCCAAUCUGCAUCUGAAAAAAUCUCAAUCUCUUUAUUUGUUGUUCUUUGAAAGAAGAGACCCUUUCCCGGUGUCAUCUUGAGGUAUCUCAAUAUUCUGAUCACAGCAGUCAUGUGUUUUUCGGUUGGAUUAUUCAUGAAUUGACUUACCACACUAACGGAGAAGCCGAUGUCUGGCCUUGUAUGAGAAAGAUAGAUGAGUUUCCCCACAAGACGUUGAUAUCUUCCUUUAUCAACUGGCGCACUUCCAUCACUUUCUUCCAGUUUGACAGUUGUAUCCAUAGGUGUUUCUGCCGGCUUGCAUCUUAGCAUUCCUGUUUCAUUCAAUAAGUCCAGAACGUAUUUGCGUUGUGAGACUGCUAUACCUUUCUUUGACCUAGCAAUCUCCAUUCCGAGAAAGUACUUGAGGUUUCCAAGAUCCUUGAUCUCAAAUUCCUUUGUCAGUAAUUUUUUAAGUAAGUCAAUUUUCUCUUCAUGAUCACCUGUCAAAAUUAUGUCGUCCACAUAUACAAUGAUAAUUGCCAGUUUCCCUUCUAGGAAGUGUUUCACAAAUAAUGUGUGAUCGGAUUGACAUUGAACGAAUCCGUACCCUUUCACUACCUUAGUGAACCGUUCAAACCAGGCCCUGGGAGAUUGUUUGAGACCAUACAAGGAUUUUCGGAGUCUGCAAACCUUGUUGAAAUUUGAUGUCGUCUCAAGUCCAGCAGGAAUGUCCAUGUAAACUUCUUCCUCUAAGUCACCAUUGAGGAAGACAUUCUUCACAUCAAGUUGGUGAAACGACCAAUCGAGAUUAGCUACCAAGGAUAAAAGUACACGAACAGUAUUGAGCUUGGCAACUGGAGCAAAAGUUUCUUGAUAGUCAAUGCCAUAGGAUUGGGUGAAUCCUUUGGCAACCAACCGAGCCUUAUACCUGUCCACAUUACCAUCUGCCUUGUACUUUACUGUGAAAAUCCACUUACACCCAACUGGUUUCUUACCUCUUGGGAGGUCAGUAAUUUCCCACGUACCAUUCUUUUCCAGCGCCCGAACUUCCUCAUCGACUGCCGCCUUCCACUUAGGAUACUUGAAAGCUUCCUGAAUAUUCUGAGGAACUUGUAUCUCUGUGAUGCUAGAAGUGAAUGCACGAAACGUAGGUGAUAACUUAUCAUAAGAAAUAAAAUUUCCAAUGGGAUGCUGAGUACAUGAUCUAACUCCUUUCCUCCAAGCUAUGGGCAUAUUAAGAAUAUCAUUUUCUAACUCGGAAUCAACAGUACCAUCAGGAGCGUUGUUACCUGGAAGUUUGCUUGGAUUAGGACCCGGUUCUGCCUCAUGGGUUUGUUGAGAAAGUGUUUUUUCCUCCGUUUCCUCUUGGAUGUGCUCCUUAUCCCACAAGUCAACAAUGGACUCGGGUUGAUUAAAUGACUCUGGAGGAAUGUGAUUUUCAGUGGUGAUGGGUGACUCACUGAAUGACUCAAGAUCCCAAAAUUGAUAUUCCUGAGUUGAAUUCUCCCCCUGAAUAUCGUUUUUGGGAUAGUAAGGCUGGGUUUCAAAAAAGGUGACAUCCAUUGAAUUGUAGAAUUUUCUUGUGACCGGAGAGUAACACUUAUACCCUUUUUGAUUUGAAGAAUACCCAAGAAAGAUGCACUUGAGUGACCUAGGAUCAAGUUUACUUCUAUGUUGUUGAUUGAUAUGAACAAAGACAGAGCACCCGAAAAUUUUGGGUGGGACGGUGGAGAUGAGACGAGUAGUCGGAAAGGAUUUUAGGAGUGUUUGACAAGGUGUUUGGAAUUUUAGUACCCUAGACGGCAUCCUAUUGAUGAGGUAGGCUGUCGUAAGGACAGCUUGCCCCCAGAAUAAUUUUGGAACAUUCAUGGAGAACAUUAGUGAUCUAGCCACCUCUAACAAAUGUCUAUUUUUCCUUUCAGCGAUUCCGUUUUGUUGUGGGGUAUCAACACAUGAACUUAAGUGAACUAUCCCUUCUUGUGCUAGAAAUUCUCCUAGAAUGGAGUUGAAAUAAUCCCUAGCAUUAUCAGACUUUAGAAUUUGUAUUUUUGACUGGAAUUGGGUCUGAAUCAUAUUUUUAAAAUUUUUGAAAAUUUGACUCGUUUCAGAUUUUUCUUUCAUGAGGAAUACCCAAGUUAAUCUAGUGUGAUCAUCUAUGAAUGAGACAAACCACCUAGUACCAGUUACAUUUUUUAUUCUUGACGGACCCCAGAUAUCGCUAUGAAUCAUUGAGAAUAGACUAGACUCUUUAUAGGGUUGAAUGGGAAAAUGAGACCGGACUUGCUUUGAUAAUUGACAGAUUUCACACUCAAAGGAUUUUGGAUUUUUAUUAAAUAAUGAAGGAAAUAAAUGCUUGAGAUACAUAACAUUUGGAUGACCUAAGCGAUAGUGCCACAACCUAAUUGCACUAUCGUUAUUUUGACAUGAAACCGAAAAAGAAUUACUACCAACUGUCAUUUGAGGUUGUUCUUGUGGAUCGUGGCACUCCUUAAGGAUGUAGAGUCCAGAGCAUUCCUCAGCAUUGCCAAUCGUCUUCCCCGAAUCCAAAUCCUGAAAUUCACAGUGAGUGGAGGAAAAAUUAGUAAUACACCUCUUUUCCUUAGUGAGUUUACUAAUUGACAAUAGAUUACAGUCCAAGUUAGGAACAAGGAGAACAGAGUUGAGAGUAAGAUCCCUUGAUAGCACAACUGAACCUGUUCCGGCAACCUUUGAUAGUGAACCAUCUGCUAUUCGGACUGUUAAAUUAUUUGGACAUGAGCUAUAUGUAUCAAAAAUUGUCGCAUCUCCCGUCAUAUGAUCAGAUGCUCCUGAGUCCACUAUCCAAGGUUUUUUACGUUUCUUACCAGCAGUGAAGGCACUCAAAAAAUUACUUUUGUGAGCCAAGGUUCCGGAACCAAUGACCUGGUUGGAAGAUGAGCCAGUUUGUGACUGUACUGACAAAAGAGGAGACAGUAGUUUCUGAAGCAUCUCCAUUUGCUCCUUAUUAAAAGGGCUAGCUUCAGGUUGUGGCGAUUGUUCAUCGGUAGCCACAUGAUUGCCUCGUCCUUCUUUCUCAAGUGGUUGACGUGGCUUCCAAUCUACUGGCUUUCCAUGAAUCUUCCAGCAAGUUUCUCUUGAGUGUCCCGGCUUUCUGCAAUGAUCACACCAAGGUCUACCUCCUUUAAUUUUUUGACGGUUGUCAAAAGGAGCGAAUUGAGUCUUAAGAGCCGAGCUUUCUGCCAUAUUCAGUUGUUGAUGGGAUCCCAUCAUGAGAUUUUUCCGACUUUCUUCGCGACAGACUUCAGAGAAUGCCUCUCUGAGGCUAGGUAGGGGUUUUACUCCCAUGAUUCUUCCUCUGAUUUCAUCAAGAUUUUUGUUCAAACCUAACAAAAAUUUAAACACACGUUUCCCUUCGACAAUCUUUUUAUACAAAAAACCAUCUGUAACACAAUUCCAGUUAUGAACCUCAAACGUAUCAAGUUGACGCCAUAGACGAGUAAGAGUAUUGAAAUAUUCAGUUACCGUAAGGUUUCCUUGACGCAAAUCGUGGAGGAUGCCUUCAAUCUGGAUGAUUUCAGAUGUGUUUUCCUUGUCUGAGAAAGUUUCUUUUGCAGUGUCCCAGAUUUUUUUGGCAGUAUCAAAAGACAGAAAAUCUUCACCAAUGUCAGCGGUCAUAGAGUUGACUAGCCAGGACAUGACCAUAUUAUUUUAUGCUCUCCACUUUUUGUAGGUUGAUGCUGUGGUUUCUGGUGCCACCGAAGCUCCGGUGAUGUAGUCAUCUUUCUCCUUUCCCCGUAUAAACAUUAAUAUGGACUGAGACCAUUGCAAAUAAUUUUGCCCAUUCAGUUUAUGGGCUGUGAUUGGAAGAUGAGAGGUUUCCAUCUGAUGAGAGGAUGAAGACGAUGAGAUGAUGAUAUCAGAAGUAGAGGAUGAUGAGUUGGUAGCCAUUCCAAAGGCUGGACCGUAUUUAGGCAUAAAUUAGAAGAAUAGAAUUGAGUAAAAAAAAACUGACUAAAGAUGAAGACGAUGAGACAGGAUUAAACCUGCUCUGAUACCAUGAAGAAUUUGAAGAAAAAUAUGAAGAAUUUGAAAACAAAAUAUGGAGGAACACCUCAAUUCAUUCUGUGAUACCUCCCUUUACAAUGAAUGAAAGCAUAAAUAAAUAGCCUACGGAUAUGAGACAAUUCCGGAAUGGAAUUUCCCUUACAUGGAAAGUGAAUAAACUCUUACAUGGGAAGUGAAUAAACUACUCUUACAUGGAAAGUGAAUAAACUACCUUGCUAGAAUUACUCCUAAAUCAAUUAUAAUAAAGGUUGUACAUUACACUAAUUAGGGAAGUAAACAGAGGAUGUUGGCUUGAUUUCCAACAACUUUCAAAGCAGGGUACCAUUUGCACCUCAAGUCCGCGUGCAUGGCCACCUUUUGCAUGGCCAACUUAGGGCCGCGUGUCACUCUCCCGAAUUCCUUCCUUUUGACUUUAAAAAUAAAUUUCCUAAACCUCAUUUUCUAAAAUGAUUUCUUUAAUUCUGUUUUUUUUAAUUAGUUUCGAAUCUUCAAAUUUUCCCAUCCUUAGCAUUUUUCUUAGGUUCCAAAAAUCCCAUUUUCAAUAAAAUUUGGUUACCAUUUUCUUUUCGGCAAGCCACUUUUGAAUUUUCUUUGUUUUCUAAAAAUGUUUUAAAAUAAGUAAGGAUUAAAUUCUGUAAUUCCAAAUGAUGGAAUUUACGGAAUUAAUUCAUGCAAGAAUAAAACGGGCAUUGGUGGGGGUCCGACAUAUGUGACUUUGUAAUUGAUUGAUUGAUUGAUUGAAAUAAUACCAUGCAUGAUAUUGGUGUUCCUUUAUCUAGUUGGGUGAUAUGAGUGAUAUAUUUUAUGCACAUUACUAUGCACUAAUCCCAUUUUGUGAUAGCGUGUUGCCGUUUGCUGAUCAAAUACGCAUCCACUUCCACUUCGGUUAUCCUCUAUUGCAUAUUUUGAUACUCAUAUGUGCAUGAUUGAUUCGAGUAUUCAUUGAUUUUCUCAUUGAUUGUCAUAUAAGCUUCAUCUCAUUAGUAGAGACCCGACUUUAGGGACUUAGAAGGGUGCUACGGUCUUUACCGUACAUUCCCGAUAAGUAACCUAACCCCCGAACCCGAUCCGAUUUUUCACAGACCGCCUUUUCCAAAAUAAGGAGUCACACUUAGGGUUUUGCUUUCUUAUUUUGUUUACCCUUUAAAAAUAAAACAAAAAUAAGUGGCGACUCCAAGUCCUUUUUCUUAAUCAAUAAAUUAAAUCAUUUUUUCAAAAUCAAAAUCGAGAGCUUGCCAUUUGAGUGGGUAACGCAUUGAGCCGAAAUGCGGGGUCCACACAAUGUUUUAAAAAUCAAACUGAUUAUUGAAGCGAAAAAAUUACGAUUUACUGUUCAAUGGUUGAACUAGUGGUUGAACAGUAAUAAAACCGAUAACAUCAUAAAUAUAUCAUUUAUAUAUUAUUAAAUUAAAAAUAAUUUUAAAUUUUUAAAAUUUUAAAAUAUACAUAUAAAUAAAUUAAAAAUCAAUAAUAUUUAUUUUUUAUCUUUUAUAUUAUUAAAUUAAAUAAUGCAUGACUAUAAAUGUAUUAAUAUACUAAAUUUUAUUAAAUGAGAUAUGUAUAAUAUUUUAAGUGGAUAUAUUAAAAAUCAAAGAAAAUCCAAUUAUUUAAUUUUAGCUAAUUUUAUCAUUUUUAAAAAUAUUAUAUUAUUGUUAUUCAAUAUUUUUAAUUUUUAUUUUAGAAAAGAAAUAUAUUGUUUUUUGUUUGCCUUACAGAGCAUCAAAACAUCUGUAGCCGGAUGGUGCCCCCAGGCCACUUCCUAAGCGCUUUUCAUUCACUGAUUUUCCCUUCAACUUUAAGAUCAUAUUGUCCAUAAGAAAAAAAAUAUGGGCUGGCAUUUUAAAAUGGGCCUGAUUGAAUAAAAAAAGAAAGGGUGGAAAUAUAGGGAGGGCCUUGGAAUUGGGCCCAUUUUGAAUUAAAAAAAAAAAAAAGGGUCAUUGGAUCGAGACUGUUCGGUUCUGCAUUGUGCGGAAUAAAAGAAUAUGGGCUGGCAUUUUAAAAUGGGCUUGGUUGAAUAAAAGAAGAAAGGGUGGCAAUAGAAGCUUGCCCUUGGAAUUGGGCCAUUUUGAAUAUAAAAAAAAAGGGUCAUUGGAUCGUUCGAUUUACCGGUUCGGGAGAGAAUCCAGACCGGAAAGAUUAUCAGAUGACAGUUGGACUAAAAUUAAAAUUUAAAACUAUUGUAUAUAUAUAUAAAAGAAAAAACUUGAGCGAAAAAAUAGAAAAUAGGUUUAAAAUUAAUAAAUUAUUUUUAUAUUUAUUUAUUUUAAUACUUUUUAUAUAAAGAUUAAAUAAUUUUAAAAUAUAUAAUUUUUUAUUAAUUUUAAUUAUAUAUAUUUUUAAACAUAAUAAAAUUAUUUUUUAAUAUUUUUUAUUUUCUUAGUAUUUUUCAAGGAUAAAAAAUAACUUAUAGGAAACCGAUGAAACGUUAUUUAGUAUUUAUUUCUUUUAGAAAUUCAAACAGGAAGUUGGUUUUGAAUGGUCUACCUUCAAUUGGUCAAAGUUUGUAGAAGAAAUGACGCCCACGAACCACGUGCCUUGGUUUCUUAGUCAAGCUCUAACAAUAACAAAAAGUCAAAAAUAUUAAUCAGUUCCAACUUCCAACUGUAACAUUCUUGGUUACUUCCUUUCAAAUGUGAAGUCUGGGUUUCAACUUUCAAACCCUUCCACCAC
Molecule: long non-coding RNA, 97159 nt
Filed under: Vitis vinifera (wine grape)
Lineage: Eukaryota; Viridiplantae; Streptophyta; Magnoliopsida; Vitales; Vitaceae
Description: long non-coding RNA (VVIN_LNC002272)
Rfam family: tRNA (bases 63788-63860)
Source: RNAcentral